This 100686-nucleotide long non-coding RNA is filed under the name Triticum aestivum (bread wheat). RNAcentral describes it as "long non-coding RNA (TAES_LNC021826)". The stretch from base 97367 to 97453 matches the Rfam family "MIR1120/MIR1122 microRNA precursor family". Lineage: Eukaryota; Viridiplantae; Streptophyta; Magnoliopsida; Poales; Poaceae. The record is from RNAcentral.
GAAACCUUAAGCUUCCUCAUGAUCCCAUCUCUGAUUUCAAGUACUGGGCCUACGUUGACAGUGAGGAUUACAGUGAAGAUUACUCUGGUUCUGAUUUUGAGGUUGAUAUGCACGAUGAUUUGCUGGAUGUGGUCAUGGAUGAUGAUGCUGAUGAUGCUGAUGGUGAAUUCAAUUAUGUGGAUGAUUAUGAUGAUGUUGGCUCAGAAUCUGCCAUGUAUGAUGAUGUCGAUGACAUCUAAACGCUGACCAUGGGCUUUCACUUUGGCGGGAUUUGGAGCUGAAAUGAUGCGGUGUUCACCUGUUGUUGAAUGAAAUCCUUGAAGUGGGGUUCGAGCACUUUGUUAUGUGUGAUUCUCUUGUGUUCAUGUCACCUGUUACAUUUUUGCAAGAAACUAAUCCAUCCUCUUGCUGUGAGACUGGGUUGUUCGAUUAUCACUCUUUUCACUUGUAGUUUGUGCUGCCUUGUGACUUGUCAUGGAAUUAGAUUCUUGUAAUGAAGUAUGACACCCCUGUUAUGAUUUUGGUUUCUUUGUGUUUGACCCCAUCGCGGCCACUGAAUCCUCUCAAAAUGGCGCAAUGCCAUAGAUGUCGGUGGCCAGCAAAGACCGCAAGCUCGUCGUAGUUGCUUGCAAUAAUGGGAUGCUGUCUCAUGCGCUCAGUCGCAAUAGGCAGCCAUUAUUUGAUUUGUCACAUGGAGUAGCUCAAGUGGAACACUAGAAAUGGUUAUUAUUUUAUUUGGAAUAUCUGUGCAACAAUAGAAAUGGUUGAUGUUGCACAUCCUUUAUUCUAGAAUGAAGCGUUCAUAAGUACUGAUUUGCCCUGCCUCUUGGCUGUCUAGAAUAGGAGGGCGUUUUUGGAUGCUUGAAGAUUAAUCCUAAUCUAGAUGGUUAGUACAAUAGUUGAAUUCCUGCCUAACGCUUGUAGAGAUCAAACAUAUUCUGUGUGUCUCACCAGUCACCAGAUAUAAUAUUUGCGGAAGGCAAUGCUGAUUUAACCAUGUGUGUGGUUCAUUUUCUCAUAUCGUGAUGUUCUCAGUUCAUCACAGAAUCAUUUUUUAUCGAAAUAUCAUAUGUUUAAGAUAUCUGAUGUAUGUUCAUCACAGGAUCAUUAUUUAUCAAAUUAUCAUAUGACCGACCAUAAAGGAUAACCAGGCUAGAAAAUACACACACACAAAAAAAAACAUACUAAGCUGCUAUAACCCACAUCGAUUGCUCAGAACAUAUGAGCUGAACAUAAGAAUCCUACCAAGACCUCCUCUUACUUGGGGUGAAGAUUAACAUAAUCAUGGGGACCAUAUACCUCAAAUAAUUCAGCUAAAAUGCUAUUCUUCCUUCUCGGGUUGCAUCCCAUGUCCUGACAUAGUUGAUCAUUAUACCAGAUGUGAAGAAGCCCAAUACAGGACCUCCGGAAGUAGACACGAGAAUAGCGCUUCAUGAACUUCUCCCACUCAAGGAUAUCACCCUGCAUCGCUUUAACACUUGGUGAUCUGAAUCCACUAUCAAUGAAAUGCGCCAGCCAUUUGGCCCGAAUUUCUGCAGUGUACAGAUUCGCUAGACUCUCUGAAUAACCGAGGACCGCGAGUUGUGGAAUCUUAGGAUGUAUGCACUCCCUGAAUAUAAAAUAUGAAGAGUAUAUUCAAUAACCUAAUCUUGAUUGAAAAUAAGGAACACAUGUAAACAAAAGUCAGGUAGUAAUAGUGAAGUAACCUGUAGAGAGGUAUAGUCGAGGAUAUUGGCCCAACUGCAAUACUCUGAAAGUAUUCUGAAGUAAACAUGUUCGUGAUCUUCUGGUCUCCCUUGAAUCCCGUUCCGAAGAUCACUAUAUCGCUCUUUAUCGGCGAAGAUUCACCUUCAACAACUACACCUUCCUUGCAGAAGCUAAAGGUCUUGGACUUUUUCAGAAUAAUGCUGCCUUCGUCUAGUCUCUUGUAGUGGUCCUUUGUUGUAAUGGCAAUCAAGCAUGUCACUAGUGCCUCAAAGAAGCUAUGCUCAGGUACCAUGCCAUGCUUCUUCAUGGGGAUGGAGUAGUAGCUCUCAGCAAACUUUGAGAACAACCACCUCUAUUCAUAUACAAACAAGAACUAAGCGUGUGUCAAUUUAGUUUGAAACCUAAGUGUAAAUGGCAUCAAUACAAAAUAACAUGCUGAUUUUCAGUACCAGGGGAGUCAAGAUGAUGGCUAAGAGGCAUAGUAGGAAGCCCUCACCAGGCUUGUGGAUAAGUAAUUCAGAGAAGCGAUUUAGAUAUAAGUUUGCUAUAGGGAAACCCCACGCAUAGUAGCUUGGUAUGAUCCAAUGCUUUGUUCGGACAACCAUUGUACAUGGAUGUUCAGUACCUGCAGGGGAUCGGUAAAUUUUAUAUCUAAGUUCUUAUCAAGAAUAAUUGUUAGAUUUCAAACAAUGUAAUCAUGACAGGCAAUGCAUAUAGUUUCGUAGAAUGACUAUAAACAACCCUUUGUUUUGUCAUGCAAACAAAAAUUAUGAUGACAUAGUUACUUCUGCGAUAAAAGAGAAAAUAAAUUUUAGUUGUAGGAUUGUGUACCAUUUACGUCUGCACAUUCGGCAGCUACGUCGAGAGCUGAUUUCAAGUAGCCAAUGACAGUCACACGCUUGCCCUUUAACAUUUCGGUAGCUUUCUUGGUGCCCAUUUUGGCGUAAUCCAUGGUGUGAAUCACCUGCCCAUCAAAUGCUUCUGGACCUUUGCCUGGAGGGAAAGUGGGUAUGUUGGGCACACCACUAAACCGCCCAAUGCAAAGAACCACAAAGUCUGCCACGUGUGUCUGUAGACAGGAAAAAUAUAAUGCAUUUAAUAUCUCAUUAGCUUCACUGAUUGAAAAGAGACAUUACAGGCUAGGCGUUAGAAAAUGGAAGCAAAGUGGUUUUCACUUUCAGGUUUGGAAAUAUUUCAGCAACAAUUUCAGCGAUUUCGGUCAAAGGGCUGAAACAGUUGAAUUCAACCAAAAUUUUAAAAUUAUUGAAAAUAGUUAAAAAGAUGCUUGAAUUGCUGUGUAGCACUGAAAUUGCUGAAUAUUUUGUCCAAAAGCUAAAUAUUUCAGUGUCUACUGAAAUUCAAUGAAUUUCAUCUAAAUCUCACUGAAAAUGAAAACAAUACAAACACGGUCGACGGAGGCAUGGAUUAGCUUCAUCUAUGAAAACUCCUAGUUCGCCGACCAAUCAAUAUAUGUACCUCGAUGUUGCCCUCGGCGUCGGCCACAGUGAGACGCCACUCACCGUCGGAGAACCAAACGCCUCGCCGCACCCGGCCCACUCCUCCCACUCCACCACCUUCUCCUCGCCGACGCCGACAUACUCCAUCCCGACCACCCGGUGCCCGAACCUGACGCAGUCGAGCACGCCGAAGUGGCGGGUGUAGGCGUCGAGGUAGUCGGCGACCUGUCGAUGGUCCGGGAAGACCUCUCUCACGGACUCCGGCCACGGGAAGUCGGAGAACUGGUACAUGGGCCGCUCUGACUGCAGCGACGUGCAGUCCGGGGCGCGCGCCCACACGCCGCCCAGGAGCUUGUCCGCCUCGAAGAUGGCCGGACGGCAGCCGCGCUCCAGCAGGUGCUUGCACGCCGUCAGCCCGCUCACGCCGGCUCCGACGAUGGCCACCCUCUUCUUCUCCAUCCCGGCUACUAGUUUACGAGUAUGAACGUGUGUGUUCGAUGGUGAUCAUAUAGGUGGCAAGAGAGCAGUUUUGCACGACGUGCUUUGUUGAAAUUCUUGGAUUUGGAUAACAUACUUAAAGCACGGCGCCAUUCGAUCUGACGUGUUAUUUUUGUUAUCAUUCGUCCGGAGUCCACACUUAGUCUUUGCUGAGCAAAUAUGACAUCAAUUGUCCAGCCACACAAUGAUAGGCCUUGUCGCUGAGCAAAUCGCGGCACGUGUAUACGUUGCAUGUGUUGCAUGUAGCACGUACAAGGCCACGCACACGUAUGUAGACGGGUACGAUAUGUGGCGCACUCGAGAUAUUAUCCAUCGUCAGUGCUCCACAGUGCAGAUGGAGCUAUAAACAAAAGGUUCGAGAAGUUUCGGAAACUCUUUAGAUCACAAAUUAGCACAACAAGAUGCAUCUGGCGCACCAUAAGUUUAUAAACCCAAAUUUAAUCGACCCUUAUAGAAACGAAAACGAUUUGGUUUACUACUUCAAUAAAUAUUGAUUUGGUUACGUAAGGUUAGUCUUACUCGAUUUUCAACCAUUUGUGAAUUGUUUUAGAUUUCAGAUUUUAUCGAUGGCUCAGUAAUCAAACCUAAAGAGGUGGGAGCGUGGGAGGAGUACUCUACUUCUAUGUCUUAGACAUGCCCAAGUACAAUGAGAAAAGAGAAAAUGUUGCUCAUUGAGGCUCGAUGAGUGAAAGACUUUUGCUCAUUCAGCCUGUGCUAUGUGCAAUUCCAACUCAUGUGAUUCUAGUGCCCGGUCUUCCACCGAAACCGCGGCGGCAAUGAACAAAAUUAUACGGUGUUUCCUUUGGUGCGGCCAAGCGGAGGCCAAUGGUGAAAAUAGUGCAGUUGCUUGGGAGACAGCAUGUACACCCAAGUGGUCAGGUGGCUUGGGGAUCAUGAACGUGCACUGGCUAAACAUUGCCAUGCAGGCUUGAUGGGGCCAUGGUCCCGUAGAUCUGAUGAGUCAAGGCCGUGGACAGAAUUCGAGCUCAGGGAGCCGGAUGAAUCGAUGACAUUAUUCAAGGCGGCGACAAGAGUUCACAUAGGUCAUAUUAUGCUAUUCUGGAAGGAUCAUUGGAUUGAUAGCCUGAGAAUUGAGGAGCUGGCACCGCAAUUGUAUGCCAGAAUUCCACAACAGGUGCGAUCGACACGAAUUGUUUGCACUGCUCUAACGGAUGGAGCUUGGGCAAGGGACAUGGAUCCCAAUCUGGACUUGAGCACGUUGGUGGAAUACUUGGCACUAUGGAAAAGAAUUUCCAACGUGUACCUACUUAUUGGGGUUGCCGAUACUAUUCGUUGGUCUUAGGAGCAGGAUGGCGAUUUCUCGGCACGCACACACUGCUAAACUUGCGGGAUGGGAGGUGGUGCUCACUCUGGAGUUCACGUAGAAAUUGAAGGCCCCGUUGCAGAGCCGAUUCUUUGCUUGGCUAGCCCUAGAUAACAAAUGUUGAUAGACUGGCAAGACGGGGCGUACUGCACCAUGAUGCAUGCCCGUUUUGUGAUCAGCAUGGUGAAACCAUCAACCACAUCGUACUUGGUUAUGUAUUUACGAGAACGGUGGGGACUGUGGUGUGCACCGCCUUGGGCAAGCAAGAGUGGGUACCUACGGCGUAUGAGGUGCUAGGGACAUGGUCUGCAAGCAAGGAUGGAGAGGGCCACCCACGGAAGGAAACCCAUACCAUCACUAUUCUAGGUUUGUCGGAGCCGUCGAAACAUUGAAAUGCAAUUGUCUUUGAGAGUGUUACACCACCCCGAGAUUUGUAGUACAAGUGUACAACAGAUUGGGAAUGAAGCCACACUUGAAAGCAGGGAGGGUUAUUGAGGGGAGCUCUCAACCUUCUUUGGGGCGAUGUCGAGGUGGAUAAAGAGCGAGUAGUAGUUGUUAAUUCUUUUUUUUGCGGAAGUAGUUGUUAAUUCUAGGAUCCUGUAGAGUGGACAGAGUGUUUCAGUUACAUGUGACACUCUCAGAUAGAUGUGUUUUUUUACCCUCUCUUCUACUCCCUCCGUUCCAAAUUACUUGUCUUCGAUUUGUCUAGAUACGGAUGUAUCUAGCACUAAAAUAAGUCUAGAUACAUCCGUAUCUAGACAAAUCUAAGACAAGUAAUUCAGAACGGAGGGAGUAUAAUAUAUGAUAUGCACGCUUGUGCGUGCUUGAGAGAAAAAAAGAAAGAGAAAAUUUCUUGUGCUCCGCUAGCAUCAUGCAUACUAGCGAUUAAGACUAGGCUAUGGGAUGAUAGGUGGAAUAAUAGGUGGCCGAUGGAGGUGGAACAUAUCCUAUACCCCCAACUAUCGAGUACUAUCUGGUCACCUGUAUUAUUUGGGGGAUUUAAUGGCCAAUAAUAACUAUCAACACUAAACCUUACUUUAGCCAAUCUCUACCUAAUAAUAAAGCAAAUUGGGUUUCCGUCGUCCGUCAUGCACUUUUGCAGAAAACCCCCUGCAUUUUUCAUGAAUUAACCCGCAGUACACACUUAAGUCAUAACCGAACCGUUAUUUUACAUUUUUACGGAACCCCCUGACGUAUUAGAUAAUUCACCCGCCGAUCAUAUAUAAGUCAAACAAAUGUUUUUCUAAAUUAUUCAUAUCUUUUAAACCGUAACUCCGAUUUUAACAUGUUAUAUAUGAAAAUUGAUUAGAAAAAUGUGUAGAAUAUGAAUAUGAUGUUAUUUUGUUUGUUAAAUAUUUUUUAAAUAUUAUUUUGGAAGAUAUUUAAGUCAAACAAAUAUUUUUCUUAAUUAUCCAUAUCUAUUAAACCGUAACUCCGAUUUUAACAUGUUAUAUAUGAAAUUUGAAUAGAAAAAUAUGUAGAAUUUGAAUAUGAUGUUAUUUUGACCUAUUAAAUAUUUUGAAAUAUUAUUUUAAAAGCGAACUUGUAACCUAUAGGGCACGUCCGUUUUUCUUUCGUACCACGACGAUCUGGAUUGCAAAUAAACAACCACUAAAAUCAUAAAGAGACGAAAGAAAACAUCGAUUAACCACACAUGAGCACCUCUGAAAAAACUGGCAGGGGAAAAACAACAUUCAAACACACUUUGGUUUGUGUGAACACUGAGGCCACUGAGGGUGAGAAGGAGGAUAAGCGGCAACAUAAAAAUGAUGCCUCGCUAAAAUAAAGUGCAUGAAUAUAUUAUGGUUAUUGGGUUAAGAGUGUGUGUUAUUUUUUUUCUCCCGUUGCAACGCACGGGCUCUUUUGCUAGUCAUGUCAUAAAUUUCAGAACCAAACUAAAUAUGUAACUCCAGAAACAAAGCGACUAAUUAUGUGUUGAUAGUGUUAAUGGGCCAAAUUCAUAGCCCAACUAGGCUACAAUGUUAUCCUAUACUAGAUGAUACACUAUGCAUUGGUUGUAAUAUAUAUUUAAUCAGAUUUAGUUGUAUGAAAUAAUAAUUUGGAUUACAAAUAUAAGGACUAAAAAAUGCAUGUGAUUAUUAAUAUAAUUAUAAAAUACCCCCACUGUAAAAAAAAAUAAGACAUUUUAGAGACGAGUCUCUAAAACGUUUUAUAUUAGAAUUAAAAGAUUUUAAAUAUUUCAUGCAUGGUUGCAUGAUGAGAUUGGACUUAUCCAAUGUAUGGUUGCACGAUGAGAUGGCAUUGUUGCACAUUGAGAUAAAUAUGUUAGCAGGGAUCACCUACUUAGUUAUACUAGAUGAUACCCCGCAUGUUGUUGCAUCCGCGGAUAAUUUACAAUAUAUUUCAAUGAGAUUUGGUUCUAUGAAAUAUGAAUAUCUGGAAUAGAAAUAUGAGAACUAAAAUUGAAUAUACAUAUAAAUUAUUGUGUUUGAUUAUUUUAUAGUUUUAGAAUAUUUAUUAAAUAUAAAUAGCGUAAUAGAAUGGAAGUUCUAAUGCAUGUUUGGAUGUUGAAGUGUGAUUUUCCUAUGCAUGGUUGUAUGUUGAGGUAGACAUAUUUUCAUGUAUGUUACAUGAUGAGAUGUCAUGCUUGGAUGCUACGAGAAUGGGCUGGUGGGGGUUAGGUAUUUAGAUGCAUGAAUUGUUUUAUUCCUAUGCAUGUUAUGAUAGACCUAUUCCCAUGCAUGUUACAUGAUGAGGUGACAUGUUUGCAUGCUGAGAGAAAUGGGUUAGUUGUGGCUAGUUAAUUAGAUAUAGAAGAUGAUAUUUUCAAAUAAAAAACAAUAUUUGGCUUCUCUACCCUAAAUUUGCAUGUUCAAAGUAUUAUCUGAUAGUUGAAUAACAAUGUCUAUCAUUGCACGCCUGGUGAAAGAUAUUUGGAAUUUCCCGGCUUGUUGUACUUGUCACAACACUCCUUGUUGAAUGUCCACCGGGAUGAGUUGUUGUAGGCAGACAAAAUCCAUUUAGUGCCUCCUUUCAAGAGAGACAUGGUGCCAUCUAUUGUAGGUGUGGUGUAUUGAAUGGAAUUGAUGGUAUUAUGAUUAAUAUUAUGUAUAUAAGGCUGAUGCUUUUUUUAAAGGAAUACAAAACAAAAUUACUGCAUGAGGAAAGCAUUUAGGUUUGCAGGUAUCAUUCCACAUACACACUUUUUGGUGUUUUGACCCUUGAUAAGACCUUACAUGUAUUUACGUUUUACCUAAAAAAUAGCAUGGUUACUACUGUGAAAAGAUUGUUCUAGUGGUUGUGUUCAUGCAGUUAUGUCAUCAUUAGUGUUUGCCCAAACCAGGCUCCAGCUUCAAAAUUUGCCAAAAAAAUGGCUUAAGUUUCAACCUCUAUCUAUCUACGUAGCAAGAAGAUUACCCACCUGAUUUUUUCUUUGGGUUAAGGUUAUAUUUACAUAGUAAUAUGUUAUAUCCUUUGACACUCCAACAUUUCAUUCCUAAAAGAACUAAAUAUAAGGUUCUAUUUUUUAUAAGAUACUGCAAGUGACAUGUGAAGGUUCAACCUUAGAUGAUAUAAUAGGACACAUGUUGAACACUACAAAAACCAUACUGGCAAAUGAAUGUCUGCCCACCGUCCCACUCUUUGACCCAAAUUGAUGUUUUUAAGUACCAAAAUCUUUUGUUACAACAAUUGAGAGAAGUGACGCCAUCGUAAACCUAUAUUAGCCAGCUUAAAGUUGGAGGUUUUCCCUUACUUUGUCCAUGUCAAUAAAAAAUCAAAAUACCUUGACAUUUUCAGAACAGGUCAGAGUCAAAUAGCAAUGAUUCAAAUCACUUCUUUUUACAUUACGCGUAGAAGGUAGGUAAGAGUUAUCCAUUUUUUAGAUAGGGGUAACAUUCACUCCACCUGCCUCCAUACACACCAAGCCACCAACAUAUGCAUGACGCAACUAUAUAAAUUGCGAAGAUUAUGUACAUGCUAGUAUUGGAAAAGCUAGAAAAAAUAUCACGGGGUUUCCGUUUCAAGUGAAGCAGAGCUUGGAAUUUAGUUGAAUUUGAUGAACACUGCUAGAUCAUAUUUGCUUCCUAUGUCAAAGUCAUCCCCUAAUUAUUGUCCCCACAUUUUUUUAUAGCUAGCCUUCUACAGGCUUGGGAAGCAACAGGGAUCGAAGUCACACAUGGCUUUGUAGUCGUUCUGCACAUUCAACCACACAUCUUUUGACAAACUUCAAAUCAUCAACAUUUUGUAGACUGCAUCAACGAAGGCCCCUCUACAGAAAUAAAACAUGGGCACCAGAACAAAAGGGUAAAUUGCACUGACAUUCAUAGAACUUGUCGCAUGUUGCACCCUAGCCACCCUUGAAUAGUGCUCACUAGUCCAAGGUCAAAAAGAGUACAUGUCGGACCAUAAAUUGCUGAUAAGCAUGUACCUCCACAAAAAGAAGUUGCCACAGUCUCAACAUAUUGUUCCCGUGCUCACUCCACGGUGUUCAAUGAAAUAAAUAUCGUCAAAUUGUGUCUCGACAUGUCACACAUGUCGCACGGUGUUCAAGGCCAACGUUCACUUGGACACAUAUCAGUUUGCAUCAAACUGAAAUCUUGCAAGCUUAUUUUACAUAAUCAAAUUUUCACAAGAUGAACACAAAUGUUGUGGAUUACCACAACUUGGUCGUACAAAUUUAUUGUGUCUGCAAACAAAAUUGUGAAAAAAGAUGUUUUCCUGCCAAUAAUAUAGCACAUGUCUAAACUCACACACACAACCACUUUUUUCUCUCUGCGCAGGUUUGUGCUACCAUCAGAAGUAACACAUACACUGAAGUUACAAUAUUGGCCAAUAAACAUGCAUUGCCUCCCUCACUGAUUCAGUGAUUCUAAGCGAUAGUUCUAAUUAACAAAAUAUUUCACUAUAUAAAUUUUCAGAGAAAUGAUAUUGACAUUACGCAACACUGAGAACCUCAAUAAAAUUGAUGGACGCUGAAGUAGAUAGGGAGUGAGAGGAUAGUUUUUCAGCAGGAGAUGAAAGAGGCACACUUCUGGUCACUGGGUGCAUGGUUGCAUAUAGGAUGUAACCCUAGAAAUUCAUAGAUUCGUCGUGCUAGUUACAAAGAACAAUUAAUAGAUGACAAUCGUAGUUGAGCAAAGUUGAGCGAAGAAAAAACUAAGAAACAAACUCCCAUUGCUUUGAACUGAUACUCACAAGUACCAAAUUCAUUGAUUACAACUUUUCAAAGAAAUGAUAUGCCAUCAUGCAUCGGUGAGAGAUAUCUUAAGGAUACACAAUGUAGGUAAGAGGUAACUGGAGUGUUUUCAGAUUUUGAAAAGAUCACACUCCCAUCCUUCGCAUGCACAGAUAAAUGCAUGUUAGCUCUAUAAUUUGUAGUGUACAUGCUAGUGCCGGAAAAUCUAGAGCAACUAUCAAGGGCUUUACGUUCCGAGUGAUGCAUGGUUUGAAAUUAAAACAAACUUUCAUGAACUUAGCUAGAUCAUAUUUGGUUUCCAUAUGCUCGCCCUAAUUUUCAUCUCUUUAUAUAUUUUGGAGCUAGUUUUCUAGGCUUGAGAGGCAACGGAGAAUUGACACAAGCAAUUCUUGAUACAUAAUCUGUUCUGCAUAGUUAACCAUUUGGUGCCCUUGUUAGCGCUUGAACUUCCAAACAGUAUGUCGGUGAAUUAAUUUAUUACAUGAAUCUUGGAAGUAGAAGUAGAUGGAACGGCAAGAUGUCCUUGUGUUGAGAUGAAGGGGGUUUUGAGGGUGCAUUAGUGCACGCAAGCUAUAUACAUAUAUAAGGAGCUGCAGAAUAUCCAGCAUUUCCUGGCCUAUCAUUCAGACCAAGCCAUUUGUUUGUGAGCAAAUACUUUCGGGGUGACUCAUGUACUUGUGCGGCACACAAUCCAUGCUGAAAGUCAGGCAUGGGCAGUAAGCAGUUGGUAAGUUGUUGCUGGUAAAUGGAAAGCCAGUCAAUGUCACCUUUAAACAAGAGAGUUUUUGCGGUACCCUGAAGUGAAUAUAGACCAUCCAUUUGUUGAGAUCCAAUGGAUUAGGCUAACUGACACUCCAAUCUAUUAACAUUGAGCAGGUGGUAAGUUGUUGCUGGUAAAUGGAAAGCCAAUCAAUGUCACCUUUAAACAAGAGAGUUUUUGCGGUACCCUGAAGUGAAUAUAGACCAUCCAUUUGUUGAGAUCCAUUGGAUUAGGCUAACUGAGACUCCAAUCUAUUAACAUUGAGUACUGUUACAAAAGCUUAGGGAGUACCUAGUUUGUAGGGGUAGAAACAUACCUUAGAAGUCUCGGGUUAAGUCUAUUUGCUGGUGGCAAUCACCGGCGGCAGGCAAGCCGGUUGACAGGUUGGAUCGCUACAUCUUAUGCUCAUCAGCAGAAGUGAUGGGGUCAGAGGCGGCGGAGCGGAACUGCGCAGUGCAGGCACUUGAUCUCAUUGCUUUUGCGCGCCCUCCACUUCCACGGACGGCCAGUUACCUUUCAUGCACCUCCGUUCUAGUGUUUCAUGAACAAGCGAGCCAGUUUGUUUGACGGGAUUGGAAUAUGAUCUCGACAUACAACCAUGCGAGGGUGCGUUAAGACAUGCAUCAAAGGCGGGCGGGUCGCGGAGCAUGUGCCUGUGAUCGAUAAUGACAAGAAGAUUGUAUCGGGAGGAACAUGCGGAGCCCUAGUUCGCCGAAGGGGUUAGGGUGUGUACAGUACUGAAUUACCCUUUUAGUUUGCCUGGGAAAAGUCUAAACUAACCUACUAAAUGAAUGGUGUUAUUUGGUUGGUACUCUAUCUCCUGUAUAUAUGGAGUAUAAGCGCACCGUAAAAGUACACUUAAAUAAAGGCAUAGUGAAAAAUACACUUUUUGUGGUAUAAUGAAUGUAAUAAGACUGAAGUAGUGUAAGAAGUGAAUAUAAAAGAUUUAAAAUUCAGUGAGUGCGAAACAAAUAGAUUCACUGAAACAUUAGAGAUGAGACUUUUUGUAUGAAACUAGAAAAUCAGUGUUACAAUUUAAAAUAGAUUUCAUAUAUUAUUGUUUUACUAGAAAAGCAGUGUUGUUACUCCUAGGAUAAAAUGAUGUUGUGGUGCCUGUGUUUAUGUAGUUAUGUCAUCAUUAGCAGACAUGUGUUUCAAUUUCUAGCAAAGACAAAUAAAUCUUUGAAGCUCCCUCUAUCGAUAUAGCUAGAAGAAUGUGGACCCGAAUUUUUAUUUGGGUAAGCUAUAUUGACACACUAAUAAAUAAAUAUAAGUUUAUGCACUUUGUAAAGAUACUACUAGUUAUAUGGAAGCCUCAACCCUUAGCAGGAUGAACUAGGAUAUAUGUACACCGACCAAUGAAGGCCUGCCCACCACCUCAGUUGUUGAUUCAAAUUGAUAUUUCCAAGUACCAAAAUCUUCGAUUACAACAUUUCAGUGAAAUGAAACAUUAUCAUUCAUCAAUGAGAGCCAGCUUAAAGUUGCAAGUACGUAAGAUAUAUAAGUAGCAAGCAACCAUUGAGAUAGUGGCAACAAUCACUACGCCCGCCUCUGUACGCACCAACACAUGCAAGAUACAGCUCUAUAAAUUGCAGAGGACGUGCUAGUAUAUGAAACCUAGAGAAACUAUCACCAUCUUUUUGUUUGUAGUGAUGCAUGGAUUGGAAUUUAGCUGAACAUCAUGAACGUUGCUAGAUCAUAUUUGCUUCCUAUGCUAGCUCUGUCAUCCCCUAAUUUUAAGCUCCACAGUAUGCUAGAGUUAACUAGCUAUAGGUUUUGUCGGAACAAAAAAGGCAGCUAUAGGUUUGGGAUGCAACAGGGAUCUAAGGCGCACAAUGCUUUUGACACAUGCAACUGAACAUGUUUUUGUGGCUUACUAAUGAAGAACAAAGGGAAAAUUGUGCUGGAUCAUAGAAUGUGUGAGUAUUUGCACGUUAGUACACUUCAGAAAUGGUUGAUAGUUAUAGGUCAAAAGGAGUCAUUCUAGGACCAGAACUUACUGACAGGGUUGUACCCUGGACCUUUACAGAAGGGCCCCAAAAUUUAUUGUAGUCUCAACAAAUUGUUCACCUGAUCACUUGCAAGGUGUAUAAUGAAAUACUCUCUCCGCAUUCUGGGUCUGCAUGUUGCAUAUAUAGGUGGAGAUUUACAUCUGAUGUUUACAUUAUGAUACUAGGACACAAAUGAGUUUGCGUAGAGACUAAAAUCUCAUAAGCUUAUUUUAUAGUGUGGCCUUUUCACAAGUUUUUUUUCUUUUUUGAAAAGGAGUUUUUUUUCUUUUUCGAAAAGGAGGAUAACCCACGACCUCUGCAUCAAAACGAUCAAUGCAUGUGGCCAUAUAUUGUUAAGAAAGAAAAAUCCAGCAGCCGAACAUCCUUGACCUGGAAAUAAAGCGGAAAUCAAAGCCUGAGGCCAUAUACCUCGCGACAGUAACUCUCCCUAAUAUCCACUAACCCUAUGUUACAAGACACACCAGAAACAAAAAAUACACAACUCUUAGGCUACACCUUCAAGAAGGAAUCGCCGCACGUGCGCCGAUGAUGGCAAGUCCACCACAAGGUUGACCUCCAGAUUCUCACCCCAAAGGUAAGCUUCAAUCCACCACCUUCAGCAAGGACACGGUGCAGGCGCGCGUCGACAUAGGCUGAUUAGAGAUCUUGUGUUUCCACCGGAGUGCAUAAACUCAUUUUUGAAAGCCAUCUACAAUCCGCCCUCAUCCGUCUACCGACACCACGAUAGUGGAAUACUUGUGGAGAAGACAACGGAAGACAAAGACGUCGCAUACCGCCUGCUCAUGCUACUGUCGCACCACCUUCGAUCCAACAGAAACAGGCUAAACAUGACACCUCUAUCAGAGCCACCGUGCAUCACUUGCUGGUAUCAGGCAUGACUUGAUGUAUUCAUAUAAGAUGUAUUGCAUAGCAUCCACCGGUGCCUUCACCUACCGAAAGAGGCACAUGUGUCACCUACCGAGCCAUAUCGAACCCGAUAUGUUGAUCGAGGGGACGUCCCAUACCACCACUGAUACGUCUCCGUCAUAUCUACAAUUUUUGAUUGUUUAAUGCCAAUAUUCUACAACUUUCAUAUACUUCUGACAACUUUUUAUACUAUUUUGGGACUAACAUAUUGAUCCAGUGCCCAGUGCCACUUCCUGUUUGUUGCAUGUUUUUUGUUUCGCAGAAAAUUCAUAUCAAACGGAGUUCAAACGGGAUAAAAACAUACGGAGAUUUUUUUGGAAUAUAUGUGAAUUUUGGUAAGUGGAAUCAACGCAAGGCGCACUACAAGAAAUAUGUCAACUUGUGACCACCACUAUUGGUCACUGAAUGGUCAUAGUUUUUUAUUUGCGACCUUUUUGUGACCAAAACCAGAAGGUCAAAAGCUGGCCGUCGUAAACUGACAUUUUUGACCUUUUCUGUGAGAAGGCCGUAGACAUUUACGACCAAAAUAAGCCUACUGUCUUGUUUUGGUCACUGGCAACCUCACCAGGCCACGUAGUCAUCCAGCGUGGCAAGCUGAUGUGGCACAAGAUUCAGCCCGGUCCAAUUCGGUGUUUAUAUGGGCCGAGCCCAUUAAUUCGGCCUUUUUAAUAUUUAUUUUUCCUAUUAAUUUUUGCUAGCUACAUGGGCCUAGCCCAGCAAUUCAGCGUUUUUUCUUGGCCAUUGCCUUUUAUAGUACAUUUUUUUCAGCCUCAACCCUUUUAUAGUCCAUUUCUGUUUUGGGCCUCGGCCUUUUUACAUUCCAUCUACUUUUUGGGCCUUGGCCUUUUCGUUUGUCACACUGGUCAUCUUUAUAUUUCUCACACUUUCACAAUAAACAAAUGAAAAAUAUUUCAAAUGUGGCAAGAGAACAUAUGAAAUUAUAAAAUGAUACCAAUAUUAGCACCAAAUAUGCUGACUACUGUACAAAUACAAAAUUACAGUAUUUACAAUAGUGUUCAUACAACCAGAUAUGCUGGCUACUGUAUAACAUAACUAGCACUACAUUAUUACUCGCUACUCUUUACUUUGUCCGGCUUCAAGCUUCUUCAAAUUUCUUCAGCCCAGAGCUCAUGUAAAGAGAGGUAACACCACACUUUUAGAGCUAGAUCAAGGCACAAAAUGUUUAUUUGGUUGGGUCAUGCUGCAACAAUCACAUAGAAGCAUAAUUAUAAGCACAAAUACACCAAUCAUCUCAGUUCAAGCAAAUCAUCUAUAGUAGCAAAGCAUGAAAAAGGAAGCAGCACAUGGUAGUAAUGUUUACAACAACUCAGUUGAUGACUUCAAAUAGGAAUAAUGUAUACAAGUAUAAUAUAGAAAUAUGAGAAACUAUCACAGUACAAAAAUGGUAUCACGGAUAUAUAUAUAGCUAACUCAAUAACAGACUGAAAUGUUUUACUCAAUGUAUGGAACUCAAAGAACUUUUCUGGUUAGUCACCAGCAUCGUGCAUUUUAACUUCAAUAACUGCAGAAAUUAGAUAGUAUAUGAAGGCAAUAUUCUAAAGAUAUAUCCCUCUCAAACAUACAGAGUACAACUGAAGCAAAUGCAGCUGCUCUUGCUGAUAUAUCUCACUAGACAUGGUCUUGCUAACUUACUAUGUUAACACAGACUAAUCCAAGUGAACCAGCUAAUUCUAGUUCGUCCACUGACCACACAACGAAUGAAUGCAUCAAGGUUUGAAGACAGUACUACGUACAUCCUACAACACCGAAUCAGCACAACAAAACCGAAGACCAUGCAACCAAUGAGCUGCAGGUGCGGCACUGAAUUAGGAGCAGAAGAAACCGAGCUUUGCGCCAGAUGCAGCUAGCAAGCAUAAAGAAAGGGGCGAACAUGGAAAGCAAGAUACCUUGAUCUGGUACAGCUUGAGUCAUGCCAACUAGCAUUCGUUACUUUGCCGGGUGCCUAGCAUCCUCAAUGAUGGGGAUGACAUUGGUCCUCUUCUUGGCCAUGUUGACAAGAUACCUACCACUCCGGUGAGAGAACUCAACGGCAUACACCAACCCAGUCUGCAAAGUGACAAGACUUCGUUAAGACAACUCACAUUAAGUAGCAUUCACUUGAAAUACACAAAGGAAAUAGCGACGAGAUCUCACCGGUCCAACAAUGUCAGACACAUGAGACAUGGUUGUUCCAAAGGCAGCUCCGAGGUACAGCACACGUGUUCCAGGAGCCUGAACCAAGAACCACAAAGUCAGCUACUACAACAAUGGUUCCAGUCUGAAUUACAUCCUUGACAAAACAAGGUAUUCAAACAAUCCAGAAUGCAAGCAGAGGCACAAAAAGGACUUACAACCCAGAUGUUGUCCACACCACCGAGCACAGUAGCAGCCAGCUUGGAUCUGAAGGGGUUCCACACCCUAUACUCAACCUUGGAUGCGUCCUCGUUCUGUACAAUUAACAAAACAGCAAUAAACAUCAGUCUACUGCAUGUGUAGAACAGUCACGAACAUCAAUUCAAAUCAGCACCAAUAAGUGCAUCUCUCAGCCAGGACGGGUGCAUCAUAAGUUUACAAGGAAAUAACUUAUAAUGAAAACAUCUUUGCUUAAUCCCCCUGGAUGGAUAGGAAUAAUGCAACCAAGGCCUAAGUACCUAACUACUAGUAUCUACUAACGAUAGAUACAGAUAGCAAGAUAUAUGCAUACCGCAUACCAGAUACAACAUAUAAUGAUCAGUGUGUAGUGUAUAUAUUCUGGUGAGUGUGUAGUGUGUAGUGUAUAUAUUCUGGUGAGCCAGUAUUGAUCCAGUAUGAAAGAUCUAACAUAGAACAAUCAUUUUUUCCCUCUAUGGAAAUACAAUGGUAGCAUCCAGAGGCAAAUACAAUACUUAGUGAUUAAUUACUACUGUGCAUGAAAACAUGAAUGUACACGAGACUUUGCAAACUGGAUAGACUUUGCCAACCAUAACAGAGAACUAAAUCUUGUUUAAAUUGUCCCGCAGAAGUUCAUAGAAAAUUUGGAUGACUAUUUGGCAAAAAAAAUCAAAAGGGGCUGCUCAUCUUGGCAGAGGAAUUCAUGGCCAAUGACUGGGAGGAGGGGAGGGGGCACGAACGAGGGUCCUUCACCUGAUUGGGUCGUCGGCCGGAGUGGGGCGCGCGUUCGCCGGAGUGGUGCCCUGGUCGGACCGAUCAAGAGCUGCUGCGAGGGAGGACCCGCUCCCUAGGAGUCGCGUCAGAGGAUGGAGAAGCGGCGGAAGAUGGUCUCCUACCCGCCGUCCAAUGUGGCCGGAGCUAGCCGCGAUGAGGAGCCAGAGACCGGCGGCGGCCUCUCCUUCAACUGCGCCUAGACCUCGUACACCUUGGCCAGCCUGUCCUUCAAUUGCGCCUGCGUACAAGCACACGAGCGCUUCAGAAUCACUGACGAAAUUCAAUAGAGCCAAGGAACGAGAGGAAGGGGGCGAGAUCUCGAACCUUGGAGACCUUGGCGGACUCACCGGGCCGCCGCUCAUCGCCGCCCCGGCCGCAGCCGUCAUCCCCGCUACGCCUCCUCCUCCUCCUCCUCCUCCUCCUCCUCCUCAGAUCGUCCGCAUCAAGCAGAUCUAGCCCCGCGCAGCCGUGGUGCGCGCCAGCGAUCUGGCGUGCGGUGGAAGAGCAUGAACUGCUUGCAGGCGAGCAGGCGGUUGGUCAUGCAUGAACUUGCGGGUGCGCAAGGGAGCGGGAGCGGCAUCCGCGAUGGGGAAAAGGGAGCGGGAGCGGCUAGGGGCGACGCCUCUCUCUCUCUCCGGUGAGGGAGGCGGACGGUGGUCGAUCUAAAUUGGGUUAGGCGGGCGGACGGUGGUUGAUCUGAAUCGGGGGAGAGGAUGAGAGGGCAUCAAUGGGAGUUAGGGUAGGAAGAGAUGGUGAGGUGAGGGAGGGAUGAGGUCGGCGGUGGUGGGUGAGGAGGAUGGUGAGGCGUGCGGUGGGUGGGAGAGGACGGGGACGGGGAGGAGGUGGUGGCGGCGGCUGCAGGGAGAUUGGGAGCAAAGAGGAGGGGUGCGAUGGGGGGAUCUGAUCUAGGGUUUGGGCUGCGGGGGUAUCUAUUUUUCUUUUUUUUCUGUAGAUAGAUGGAUGGAUGGAUGGAUGUGGGAUGGAGAUAGGGAUGGAUGGAUGGAUGGGCACCAUGUCGUCGAUCCAUGGGAAGAGUUUUGAUUGGUCCGGAAAAUCAGUGAUUUAAAAUAGAGCUAUUUUGUGAAGCAGCUAUCAAAAGUAUUUUGCAAACGGGCAUCACAUAAAUUUUCACUCAAGUUAGACCACAUUUUAUGGAUGAGCACUAAUUUGUAUGCAUUUCUGAUCUUUGUAGUUAUUUUUAAUCAUUUUUCGAGUGUCCAAAAUAAGAUUUUUUGUGAAGGACCUAUAAUAUAUUUGUUGUAAAAUUGGACCAAAUCAAUUUUCUAAAAUACUAGGCCAUGUUUAAUGCACAAUUGACUAAAUGGUUGGGUGUCAAAAGUUUUGAUCCACCUCUGGUGAAAAAGACAAAUUCCUUCCGAUUCAGUUGGAAGCGGGUCAAAUUAGAACUGCAACUGCCUCAUAGUUUGCUCUUUAUUUUUUUCCAAAAAUCAUUUCUAGGUACAUAAGUAUCUAUUCAAUCAGAGAAACACCAAAAAUUGUCCAAGAUUCAACCACUAGCUAGGAACGGUCAUGCCCGCUGUUUUGACCGCAUUUUGAAACGGGCAUAAGAAAUUCAAAAAAAAUCAAAAAACUGGAAAACCUUCGCAUUGUGUCAUUAUAUGUGGCCAAGUUACCAGGAAAAAUAACAAACUUGUACUACGAUAAUUAUUUUUAAAGGUGUUCUUAGAAACGAGCUAUCAUGCGUGAAGAUUCAUGGCUUUCAAGCCAAAUGAUCAAUCUUAUGGCCACAUUCAUGGAAUAGUUUGUUAAAAUGAUCUCAUAUUGUGCAAAAAGGUGCAUCUUGGAAUUCCAAACAAUGUUGCACAAUGGAGUUUCCAUUUUCUUUGCACAGAAAAUUCAUUUUCCAUUUUUUGAGUGCCCGAAAUGAGUUUUUUUAAGGAGCUACCAUAUAUUUGUUUCAAAAUUGGACCUAAUCAAUUUUAUAAAAUACUAGGACAUAUUUAAUGCACAAUUGACAAAAGAAAAAAGUCCAUUUUACUACCCUGAACAAAGUGGGUGGUUCACAUUACCCCCUGAUCUAUUUUUCGGUUCCUUUACCCCCCUAAAAAAUCUCAUACCAGACAAAAAACACCCUAGGUGGUUUACCCAGACCGGAUGGUGACGUGGACAUGGUCAAAGGUGGUAUUUGACCUGCGGGUGGGUCCCACUCGUCAGUUAAAAAAAAUCAAAGAAAUAGAAGAAAAAAAGGGAGGCCCCUACUGCAGUGGCAGCCGGACACAGCGGCGGCGGCCAGUGCGUGCGGCACCGGCAGGCGGCCGGGCCGGUGCCGGGGCGGGCGGAGACAGCGUGCGCCGAGCGGGGGAGGUCGGGCGNNNNNNNNNNNNNNNNNNNNNNNNNNNNNNNNNNNNNNNNNNNNNNNNNNNNNNNNNNNNNNNNNNNNNNNNNNNNNNNNNNNNNNNNNNNNNNNNNNNNNNNNNNNNNNNNNNNNNNNNNNNNNNNNNNNNNNNNNNNNNNNNNNNNNNNNNNNNNNNNNNNNNNNNNNNNNNNNNNNNNNNNNNNNNNNNNNNNNNNNNNNNNNNNNNNNNNNNNNNNNNNNNNNNNNNNNNNNNNNNNNNNNNNNNNNNNNNNNNNNNNNNNNNNNNNNNNNNNNNNNNNNNNNNNNNNNNNNNNNNNNNNNNNNNNNNNNNNNNNNNNNNNNNNNNNGUGCGCGAGGGCAGAGCGGGGGCAGUCGGAGCCGGCGGGCGGCCGGGGACGACGGCGCGAGCAACGCACGGGGGCGGAUGGGAACGACGGCGCAAGCUCGGGGAGGAGGUAGGGCGGCGCAGGCGCACGGCCGGAGCUGCGAUGGGGCGGACGACGACGGAGCCAACGCCGCGGAGGGCGAGGGGAGGCCGAGUGGGGUGCGGCGACCGGGGCGAGCUCCUUCGAGCGGCGUCGGGUUCCCGAAGAGAGAGAGGGAGGGAGGGAGAGAGAGAGAGAGAGAGAGAGAGAGAGAGAGAGAGAGACCUGACAAUUGGGCCCCAUCCAGGUCAAAACCGUCGUUGACUAGUGCCACAUCAGUAGCGGGUGGACACAAAACCAGCUAGGGGGGUGUUCUGUCCGGUUUUGGUUUGUUUGGGGGGUAGAACAAGCCGAAAAAUAGAUCAGGGGGUAAAGUGAACCACCCACUUUAUUCAGGGUAGUAAAAUUGACUAUUUUCUUGACAAAAUGGUUGGGUUUCAAAAGUUUUGAUCCACCUCUAGUGAAAAAGAUAAAUUUCCGUCGAUUCAGCAGGAAGCGGGUAAAAUUUGAACUGCAGCUACCUUAUUGUUUGCUCUAUAUUUUUUCCAAAAAUCAUUUCUAGUUACUUAAGUAUCUAUUUAAUCAGAGAAACACCAAAAAAAAUCCAAGAUUCAACCACUAGCUAGGAACGGUCAUGCCCGCCGUUUUGACAGCCUUUUGAAACGAGCAUACAAAAUUCAAAAAAUUGGAAAACCUCUGCAUUGUGUCAUCAUAUGUGACCAAGUUUCCAUAAAAAAUAAUAAACUUGUAAUACGGUAAUUAUUUUAAAAAAGUGUUCUCAGAAAUGAGCUAUCAAGCCAAAUGAUCAAUCUUAUGGCUACAUUCAUGGCAUAGUUUAUUCAAAUGACCUCAUAUCAUGCACAAGGGUGCAUCUUGGAAUGACAAACAAUGUUUCCUAAGGAACUUUUCAUUUUCUUUGGAUGAAAAAUUCAUUUUCCAUUUUUUCGAGUGCCCAAAAUGAGUUUUUUUGUGAAGGACCUACCAUAUAUUUGUUGCAAAAUUGGACCUAAUCAAUUUUAUAAAAUACUAGGCCAUAUAUAAUGUACAAUUGACAAAAUGGUUGGGUGUCAAAACUUUUGAUCCACCUCUAGUGAAAAAGACAAAUUCCCGCUGAUUCAGUUGGAAGCGGGUCAAAUUUGAACUGUAGCUACCUCGUAGUUUGCUCUUUAUUUUUUCCAAAAAUCAUUUCUAGGUACAUAAGUAUCUAUUUAAUCAGAGAAACACCAAAAAAACUCCAAGAUUCAACCACUAGCUAGGAACGGUCAAGCCCGGCGUUUUGACCGCAUUUUGAAACAGGCAUAAAAAACUCAAAAAAAUCAAAAAAUUGGAAAACCUCUGCAUUGUGUCAUUAUAUGUGACCUAGUUUUCAGGAAAAAAUAAUAAACCUGUAAUACGGUAAUUAUUUUUAAAAAGUGUUCUCAGAAUUGAGCUAUCAUGUGUGAAGAUUCAUGGCUUUUAAAGUCAAAUUAUCAAUCUUAUGGCCACAUUCAUGGCAUAGUUUGUUCAAAUGACCUCAUAUCGUGCACAAGGGUGCAUUUUGGAAUGACAAACAAUGUUUCCUAAGGAACUUUUCAUUUUCUUUGGACGAAAAAUUCAUUUUCCAUUUUUUCGAGUGCCCAAAAUGAGUUUUUUGUGAAGGACCUACCAUAUAUUUGUUGCAAAAUUGGACCUAAUCAAUUUAAUAAAAUACUAGGCCAUAUAUAAUACACAAUUGACAAAAUGGUUGGGUGUCAAAAGUUUUGAUCCACCUCUGGUGAAAAAGACAAAUUUCAGUCGAUUCAGUUGGAAGCGGGUCAAAUUUGAACUGCAGGUGCCUCAUAGUUUGCUCUUUAUUUUUUCCAAAAAUCAUUUCUAGGUAAAUAAGUAUCUAUUUAAUCAGAAAUACAUGGUUUGAUGGCAAGACAUCGAGGUUUGGACGGUGGCCGAGGGCCCCAACUCUAGAGCGCAUACGCUUGCAUGACGUCGCGUGGUCACCGCGUGACAGUGGUGUUGCCGUGCGUUAUGGGCGGCCUAGGCAUGUAUAGUGGGUUGGGCACUCCCCAGAUAGGUGCUAGGAAGAAAAUUAUAACAUAAGAUUCUCAUGAGGAGACCGAACUAUGCUCAAACAUGAAUUAGCAGCCAAGUGUUUGAUUAGCGGUACGGGAAAUGCACAAUGCCAAUGGGCGUGCGUUUUGGCUGAGGAUGAUCAUAUACUAAGAAGAAUGUCUUCACAAAUUUUUAGGGAAAUCAAGAAUAUAUAAAUAACACUUCCUUCACAAAGUGCUGCUCUGAACAGAAUAGGAAAAUGAAUAUUGUUGAGUUAUUUUUGAACUAGGCAAGAAAGGUUUUUGACAUAUUUGAUGAAGAUGUGAUCCAAAAAAUUUAUGAGAAUUUUUUGGGAAUUUUUGGAAUAACAGAAAUAUAGGUUGCUUCACAACCUAGGGCAAAAAUUGACACAUGGACAUGACACAUAGGCAAAACUGAUGAGAUGGCGCCUAGUCAUCACAACCCACCACAAUCUACAAGGCUAUGACCAUCUAUAUUGGUCGUUAACAACUAGAAAUAAGGCAGCAGACCAACACUGUUUGCUUUAUGACCAUUUCGUGUAAGGAAAUUACGACCUUUCUGACCAAAAUGGUCGCAAUGGUUUAGGGUUUGGAGCCCCCCGAACAGCUUUUGACCAAUUGGUCUCAAAUGGUCAUAGGUCUAUGACCAAUUCUUCCAGGGUCACCGACAGAAGGUCACUAGUUGACAUAUUUCUUGUAGUGGCGGUGCCCGAGAGGCCCACAAGACAUAGGGGCGUGCCCAGGGGGCUUGUAGCCACCCCAAAGGUUGGUUGGAGGUAUUAUUCGGACGCAAGGAAGCUAAUAUCCAGAUAAAAACUGUGUUAAAAUUUCAGCCCAAUCGAAAUUACAGAUCUCCGGGAAUUUAAGAAAUGGUGAAAGGCCAGUAUCUAAGAGCUCGUAAACAAAAAGAAAACACACACACACACACACACACACACACACACACAUAUAUAUAUAUAUAUAGAGAGAGAUCCAAUCUCGGAGGGGCUCCCGUCCCUCCGCCGCCAUGGAGGCCAUGGACCAGAGGGUAAACCCUUUUCCCAUCUAGUGGAAGGUCAAGGAAGAAGAAGGAGGGGGGAUCUCUCCCCCUCUUUCCCGGCGGCACCGGAACGCCGCCGGUGCCAUCAUCGUGACGGCGAUCUAGACCAACAACUUCGUCGCCGUCAUCACCAACUCUCUCCCCCUCUAUGCAGUGGUGUAACACCUCUUGUCCCCGCUGUAAUCUCUACUUAAACAUGUGCUCCAGGCUAUAUAUUAUUUCCCAAUGAUGUAUGGCUAUCCUAUGAUGUUUGAGUAGGUUCGUUUUGUCCUAUGGGUUGAUUGAUGAUCGUGAUUGGUUUGAGUUGCAUGUUUUAUUAUUGGUGCUGUCCUAUGGUGCUCUCCGUGUCGCGCAAGCGUGAGGGAUCCCCUUUGUAUGGUUUGCAAUAUGUUCAUAAUUUACUUAUGGUGGGUUGCUACAGUGACAGAAGCUUAAACCCGAGUAAAUAGGUUGUUUGCGUAUGGGAGUAAAGAGGACUUGAUACCUUAUAAUGCUAUGGUUGUGUUUUACCUUAGUGAUCUUUAGUAGUUACGAUGUUUGCUAGAGUUCCAAUCAUAAGUGCAUAUGAUCCAAGGAGAGAAAUUAUGUUAGCUUAUUCCUCUCCCUCAUAUAAAAUUGCAAUAAUGAUUACUGGUCUAGUUAUCGAUUGCCUAGGGACAAAUCACUUUCUUGUGACAAAAAGCUUUGUACUAAAACUAACUUAGUUGUUUAUUUAUCUAAAUAGCCCCUAGUUUUUAUUUACGUGUUCUUUAUUAUCUUGUAAACCUAUCCUAUCACACCUACAAAGUACUUCUAGUUUCAUACUUGUUUUAGGUAAAGCGAACGUCAAGUGUGCAUAGAGUUUUAUCGGUGGUCGAUAGAACUUGAGGGAAUAUUUGUCCUACCUUUAGCUCCUCGUUGGGUUCGACACUUAUUUAUCGAGAUAUGCUACAACUGAUCCCCUAUACUUGUGGGUUAUCAAGACCUUUUUCUGGCGCCGUUGCCGGGGAGCAAUAGUGUAGGGUGAAUAUUCUCGUGUGUGCUUGUUUGGUUUAUCACUAAGUAGAUUUUAUUUGCUGUUCUAAGUUGUUCUCUAUCUUUAGUUAUGGAUAUGGAACACGAAAUACAAAAAAAUAGGUGUACUUGCUACUCAUGGAGAUGGGGAACCUCCUAAAAUCCUCGAUGCUCAUUAUGUGAAAGAUAUUAUGCACUACUUUAAUAAUCCUGAGAAAGCCCCAUUCAAUUAUAUAAUGAGAGACAUGUUGUAUCAACGUGAAUACUUUAGGGAUUAUCCCUUGACUCAGAAAAUGAAACUAUUAUGGGAUAAAAAUUCAUAUGUUGCAUUGGUAUGCUUGGAUUUUAUGCCAGAGAUAUGAUUAUACUUGUUGCUCUAGGAUGAAGGCUCCACACCUUCCCUUCUCAUGUAAAUUUAAUGAUAAUAAAACCUUGGCUUCUUAUGCUAAUGGUAUAUAUGAUUACUAUGAUGUGGAACAAAUAGAAGAAUUCGUUGCUUUUAAGGGUGCUUAUGAAAUUGAAUCUUUGUUUGGAAAGUAUGAAACCCUUGAUGAUGAUGUUUAUAGGCCUGAAAAUUUUGUUAUACUUAAAUAUUGCAAUGAGAAUUAUGAAUACAAUGCCGAUAUUGAUGCAUUUAUUGAGAAAGUCUCCGCUGUCCAAGAAGAGACUAAUAUUUUGCAGGUAUCUAUGGAAGAAGAAAUUGAUGACACUAUGAGGUCAUUGGAUGAAAAAGAUGAUGAGGAGAGCGAAGAACAAAAGGAGGAAGAGAGGAUAGAUCACCCGUGCCCAGCUUCUAAUAAGAGUAUCUCUUCAACUCAUACAUUUUUUUAAUUUCCCUUGGUGCUUACUGAAGGAUGAUUGCUAUGAUAAUUGCUAUGAUCCCUUUGAUUCAUUUGAAAUAUCCCUUUUUGAUGAACUUUAUGCUUGCUAUGCUUGUGGCCAUGAUGCCAAUAUGAAUUAUGCUUAUGGAGAUUAAUUUGCUAUAGUUCCUUAUGUUAAGAAUGAAAUUGUUGCAAUUGCACCUACGCAUGAUAGUCCUACUAUCUUUUUGAAUUCUCCCAACAACACUAUACCGGAGAAAUUUGCUCUUAUUAAGGAUUAUAUUGAUGGGUUGCGUUUUGCCGUUACACAUGACGAUUUUGAUAGAUAUAAUAUGCAUGUGCUUGCUGCUCCUACUUGCAAUUAUUAUGAGAGAGGAACUACAUCUCCACCUCUCUAUGUUUCCAAUACGAUAAAAUUGCAAGAAACUGCUUAUGCUAUGGAUUAGCCUUUACUUUGUGUUCAUGAGUUGUUCUUUUAUGACAUGCCGAUGCAUAGGAAGAGAGUUAGACUUCGUCAUUACUUGAUAUAUGUUAAUUUGUGCUCAUAACUAAAUCACGAAUCAUUUUUAAUUAAAAUAGGCUUUGAUAUACCUUGGGAUCCGGGUGGAUCCAUUACUUUAGCACUAUAUGCCUAGCUUAAUGGCUUUAAAGAAAUCGUUACCAGGGAGACAACCUGGAAGUUUUAGAGAGUAAUUUAUUUCUGUUGAGUGCUUUUAUAAAGUUUAAAAACAAAAAUAAAUAAAGUGGGGAACCUAAAACUUUUCAAAAAGGAAAGUGAAAGUAAGAAAGAUGAACACCGUUGAAGUGGGGGACGUCCUUGAACUUUGUUCAUGCCUAUGGAAACUUUGUGAAUCUCAUUGUAUAAGCCAUGGAGAAGUUAGAGUACAGUAGUUAUAAUGCAAAAAUAAAAUAUGAAUGGGUUUGCAAUAGUACUUAAAGUGGUAAUUUGUUUGAUUAUACUAACGGAUCUCACGAGGGUUUUGUUAUGUUUUGUGUGAUUGAAGUUUUCAAGUUUUCGGUGAGAUCACGAUGGAUGAAGGAAUAAGGAGUGGCAAGAGCCUAAGCUUGGGGAUGCCCGAGGUACCCCAAGGUAAUAUUCAAGGACUCCCAAGGAACUAAGCUUGGGGAUGCCCUGGAAGGCAUCCCCUAUUUCUUCUAACGAUCAUCAGUAAUUUUACUUGGAGCUGUAUUUUUAUUAUUCGUCACAUGAUAUGCGUAAAUCUUGGAGCGUCGUGUGCUUUUUAUUUUUCUUUUUUUGUUUAUUUACUAUGCUGGUAUGAGAUAGUCCUCGGUUGAUUUAUAGAAUGCUUCAUGCACUUCACUUAUAUCUUUUGCAUAUAUAUGGCUUUAUAGAAUACUUCAUGUGCUUCACUUAUAUCAUUUGAAGUUUGGAUUGCGCAUUUCCCUUCACAUAGAAAACCGCCAUUUGUAGAAUGCUCUUUUGCUUCACUUAUAUUUUUUAGAGCGUGGGCAUAUCUUUUGUAGAAAUAAUUAAACUCUCUUGCUUCACUUAUAUCUAUUUAGAGAGUUAACAUGAAUUGGUCAUUCACAUGGUUAGUCAUAAAAUCCUACAUAACUUGUAGAUCACUGAAUAUGAUAUGUUUGAUUCCUUGCAAUAGUUUUGCGAUAUAAAGAUGAUGAUAUUAGAGACAUGCUUGUGAGUAAUUGUGGAUUGGUAGAAAUAUUUGUGUUAAGGUUUGUGAUUCCCGAAGCAUGCACGUAUGGUGAACCGUUAUGUGACGAAGUCGGAGCAUGAUUUAUUUUUUGAUUGUCUUCCUUAUGAGUGGCGGUCAGGGACAAGCGAUGGUCUUUUCUACCAAUCUAACCCCCUAGGAUCAUGUGUAUAGUACUUUGUUUUGAUAUAUGAUAGAUUUUUGCAAUAAGAAUGUGAGUUCUAUAUGACUAAUGUUGAGUGCAUGGAUUAUGUGCACUCUCACCCUUCCACAAUUGCUAGCCUCUCUAGUACCGCACAACUUUCGCCGGUGCAAUAAACCCACCAUAUACCCUUCCUCAAAACAACCACCAUACCUACCUAUCAUGGCAUUUACAUAGCCAUUCCGAGAUAUAUUGCCAUGCAACUUCCAUCAUCAUCAUAUACAUGACUUGAGCAUUCAUUGUCAUAUUGCUUUGCAUGAUCGUAAGAUAGCUAGCAUGAUAUUUUCAUGGCUUGUCUGUUUUUUGAUGUCAUUGUAACGCUAGAUCAUUGCACAUCCCGGUACACCGCCACAGGCAUUCAUAUAGAGUCAUAUAUGAUUCCCUCACAAGUUGGGAUGAGUCUCUGGACUUAAAGAAAAAUAAAAGAGGCCAAAGAAGCCCAAAAAAAAAGAGAGGCCAAAGAAGCCAACCAAAAAGAAAAAAAAGAAGAACAGAAAAAUAAAAAAAUGAGAGAAAAGAGAGAAUGGACAAUGUUACUAUCCUUUUUCCACACAUGUGCUUCAUAUACCAUGAUCUUCAUAAUAGAGAGUCUCCUAUAUUGUGACUUUCAUAUACUAGUGGGAUUUUUCAUUAUAGAACUUUUCUUGUAUAUUCCAAUGAUGGGCUUCCUCAAAUUGCCCUAGGUCUUCGUGAGCAAGCAAGUUGGAUGCACACCCACUUAGUUUAUUUUGAGAUUUCAUACACUUAUAGCCCUAGUGCAUCCAUUGCAUGGCAAUGCCUACUAACUCACAAUGAUAUCUAUUGAUGGGCAUAUCCAUAGCCUGUUGAUACGCCUAGUUGAUGUUGGACCAUCUCCUUUUUUGUCUUCUCCACAGCCGCCAUAUUCUAUUCCACCUAUAGUGCUAUAUCCAUAGGUCACGCUCAUGUAUUGCGUGAAAGUUGAAAAUGCUUGAGAACAUUAAAAGUAUGAAACAAUUGCCUGGCUUGUCACCGGGGUUGUGCAUGAUGAAAUAAUUUGUGUGGUGAAGAUGGAGCAUAGCCAGACCAUAUUAUUUAUGUAGGGAUAACUUUCUUUGGCCAUGUUAUUUUGAGAAGACAUGAUUACUAUAUUAGUAUGCUUGAAGUAUUAUUGUUUUUUAUGUCAAAUGAUAGACUAUUGCUUUGAAUCACUCGUGUCUUAAUAUUCAUUCCAUGAUUAGAUUAUAUGAUUAAGAUUAUGCUAGGUAGCAUUCCACAUAAAAAAUUAUUUUUUUGUCAUUUACCUAUUCGAGGACGAGUAGGAAUUAAUCUUGGGGAUGUUGAUACGUCUCCAUCGUAUCUAUAGUUUUUGAUUAUUUCAUGCCAAUAUUCUACAACUUUCAUAUACUUUUGGCAACCUUUUAUACUAUUUUUGGGACUAACAUAUUGAUCUAGUGCCCAGCGCCAAUUCCUGUUUGUGCAUGUUUUUUUGUUUCACAGAAAAUCCAUAUCAAACGGUGUCCAAACGAGAUAAAAACUUACAGAGUUUUUUUUUGGUAUAUAUGUGAAUUUUGGGAAGUGGAAUAAACACAAGGCGGUGCCCGAGGAACCCACAACCCACAGGGGUGCGCCCUGGGGGGUAGGGCGCGCCCAGGGGGCUUGUGGCCACCCAGAAGGUCGGUUGGAGGUGUCCUUUGGAUGCAAGGAAGCUAAUAUUCGGAUAAAAAUCGUGUUAAAAUUUCAGACCAAUCGGAGUUAUGGAUCUCCGGGAAUUUAAGAAACGGUGAAAGGCCAGAAUCUGAGAGCGCAGAAACAGAAGGAAACAGAGAGAGAUCCAAUCUCGGAGGGGCUCCCGCCCCUCUGCCGCCAUGGAGGCCAUGGACCAGAGGGGAAACUCUUCUCCCAUCUAGGGGGAAGAUCAAGGAAGAAGAAGAAGAAGCAAGAGGGGGGCUCUCUCCCACUCUCUCCCGGUGGCACCGGAACGCCGCCAGGGCCAUCAUUGUGACGACGAUCUACACCAACAACUUCACGGCCGUCAUCACUAACUCUCUCCCCCUCUAUGCAGUGGUGUAACACCUCUUCUCCCAGCUGUAAUCUCUACUUAAACAUGGUGCUCAACGCUAUAUAUUAUUUCCCAAUGAUGUAUGGCUAUCCUAUAAUGUUUGAGUAGAUCCGUUUUGUCCUAUGGGUUGAUUGAUGAUCGUGAUUGGGUUGAGUUGCAUGUUAUAUUAUUGGUGCUGUCCUACGGUGCUCUCCGUGUCGCGCAAGCGUGAGGGAUCCCCGCUGCAGGGUUUGCAAUAUGUUCAUGAUUUGCUUAUGGUGGGUUGCUAGAGUGAUAGAAGCUUAAAACCCGAGUAUGUAGGUUGUUUGUGUAUGGGAGUAAAGAGGACCUGAUAACUUAUAAUGUUAUGGUUGGGUUUUACCUUAAUAAUCUUUAUUAGUUACGGAUGUUUGCCAGAGUUCCAGUCGUAAGUGCAUAUGAUCCAAGGAGAGAAAGUAUGUUAGCUUAUGCCUCUCCCUCAUAUAAAAUCGCAAUAAUGAUUACUGGUCUAGUUAUCGAUUGCCUAGGGACAAAUAACUUUCUUGUAACAAAAAUCUCUAUACUAAAACUAACUUAGUUGUUUCUUUAUCUAAACAGCCCUAGUGUUUAUUUACGUGUUUUUUAUUAUCUUGCAAACCUAUCCUAUCACACCUACAAAGUACUUCUAGUUUCAUACUUGUUAUAGGUAAAGCAAACGUCAAGCGUGCGUAGAGUUGUAUCAGUGGUCGAUAGAACUUGAGGGAAUAUUUGUUCUACCUUUAGCUCCUCGUUGGGUUCGACACUCUUAUUUAUCGAGAAAGGCUACAAAUGAUCCCCUACACUUGCGGGUUAUCAACCACCAGCCUCAGAAAGACCAUCGCCACCUUAAGAUCCAGACUCUGAGUCACCGACACAACCCCGGAGUUCGCUGCUGUCGAUCAAGAGGGGCCGCCGCCCCAAUUCCGUGCACUACAGGGAGCACCCACUGUCGCGCCAGCCACUGUCGUCGCCCAUGCAACGGCAACAGCUGCCGCGAUCCCGCAUCUAGCGUCGUGCACGCCAGAGGAAGCUCCCGCCGCCGCGCGCAUCCUGCAACAUCCCUGGGAGCGGGAUCCCAAGAUCCGCCACCACCAAUGCCGCCACAAGGACACACCACCUGGGCCAUCAUCCCCGGCAGAGGGGACGCCGCCGCCGCCAUGACCGGAGCCGUGUCUCCAAGGAUCCAUCACUGUUGAUUGGACACAUCCUCACCCUACAUACGAAGCCGCCGGAGCAACACCGAACCACCGGGAAAGAGGAACUCCGGAUUGGAUCUCGCGCCGCCAGUCCCUGCAGACCUCUGGGCUGCAGCCCAGAUCCCCGUCGUCCUCAUCACCGGUGGCGCCCGGGCCUUGCCAGCGUCCGCCUCUGGGGACGACGAGGUGGAAGAGAGGGGGAAGGUGGCGGCGACCAGGGAGCUAGCCCCCCCCCCUCCCCCGAUCGCCCUGGAAGGAGCGAGCGAGGGUGAGCUUUACCACAACUUGGCAAUACAAAUUUAUUGCAUCAUCAAAUAAUAUUACGAGCCAAAUACUUUCCAGGCAAUGGUAUAGCACAUGCUGUAAACUUGCCCACAUGACCGCAUUUUCUUAUGUCCACGUGUUUUUCAAGUGUUGCCAUCAAAAUCAACACGUAUUGCAACAACAGUACCAGCCAAUCAAUGCGCAUUGCCUUCGGCUGAUUUGAAGUGAUAUUUCCAAUUACCAAAAUCUUUGACCAUAUAAAUUUUCAGAGAAAUGAUAUUGACAUUAUGCAACACAAAGAGUUUGUCAUAAAGUUGAAGGACACAAGAUAGGUGGUAGGAAGUAACCGAUGGUUUUCCCACAAUCAAGGAGGAUAGUGUCUGCAUGUACGGUUGCAUAGCAGGAUGCAGCCCUAUAAAUUCAAAAACACGUAGAGCAGCUAGCAAGGGCCUUUGGUUUCCAGAUUUCGGUGAUGCUGGCACAAUGCCAUAGCCUCAAUUUCAUCUCCACAUUUCUAGGGUUUGCUAGCUAGGCUUGGAAGGCAAUAGGGAACUUACACGUGCAAAUCAUGUCAGAUCAUCUGUUCCGCACUUUCAAAUGCGCACGGUGUUGCCCUUGUGCCUCACUCAGAAUUGAGUUAUCAGCACCGGAGCCACACGCGAGCAAAGGAGCGGAAGCUGAACCUGCAAUCUCACACAGUUGCGAGAUAGGAGAUGAUGGACGUAAAUCAAAAAUGUUCUUUACUGUUUUCUCUCAACUAGAGUUGUGGCCCGUGCAUCCCACUUAGCCAGUGCCGUCCAUUGAGGGAUAUUGCGCCUUCCUAGAGAGUUAUGUUGAUCAUCAAGAAAGAACCGAGUGCAACUACUGCUCCGGUCAGAAUACUUGGUGGGACGCGGUGGCAGCGAAAUUCGCGAAAUAUGUGGACAUCUCUACCUUGAUUGGGAAGGUCAACUUUAAGCAUUGUUUUGGAUAAGCAAAUCAAACGGCGCAUGUGCUAGCUAGCUUUAGCUAUUGUAAUAAAGUUUUUUCUAGUUGGACCGACGAGCCUUCAAAUUGUCUGGUGAAUGGUGAGCAAGCUCAUAGACGAUGUAUCUCUAUUGAUUAAUCAAUAAAGAUAGCCAUGAUGACCUUCCUUAAAAAAACGAGUGCAGACCCAUACAAUCAUAACGCCAAACCGAUCAAGGAGCAGACAAGUAACAACCGCUUGGUUGUAGCCCACCAAGUGACAAUUAUGCAAAGUUAAAUGUAGAUGUGUCCUAUAUGGAGAGGGAUGGGUCGGCUGGUUCCGGAAUGAUAUUUCGCGACUGUCAUGGACAGGUGAUUUUCGUUGCAACACGUGUCAUGCUCAAUUUCCUAGAUCCCUUGGAGGCGGGUUUUUGCUUGCGAGGAUGGACUUCGACUGGCCCUUCAAUGGACGAACUUGCUUUAGUACUGGAGACUGAUACAGGAGCGGUAGAAUCUCUUAUUCAUGAUAUGCUCGAAAAGCCGUUCAAAUAUGGCCACCGACCGGAAGAGAUUUCUUUAGCUUUAAUCGUGACCACAAAAAAACUAGUCAUCACCUAGCCUAUGUGGCACACUUUUUGUUGGAUGGGGAACUUCAUGAAGGAUUUAGCUAAUAUGGUUGAUGAAGAUUGUAGUAGUAUUGGUUUUAUAAUCAAUGAAUUUCUUUCGGGUACUACUAUGGCGGUAAGCCAGCCAGAGAAACAAUCUGCACCGGUGAGUUGUGUAGUUCUUCACUGCUAGGAGGUCAUCUGGACAAGAUGCGAAAGCGGCUUCUUAUGUAGAAGCAACAGUAAGGGGGUUUGUCACUGAUCCUGCAAAUUCUGUUAUCCAGUACCUGCGACACUAAGUUAACAGUGGCGGAAAGGGUACGCAAGCAUUACAGCUCAGUGGCAGCAAAGUUUGACAGUGUCGGCUGCAAUGAAAGAUGUAGGUCCGCUAUAGAGAGCACGAACGCGACACAGACAUUUGUCUUUAACGUGGGAAAAAAGGUUCGCAAAGUGAACACCUAGAGUGUCAUUGCCAAUCCAAGAACAAGCCGAAACACAGUGGAGAGACCGUUGCCAAUCUUCACACGCGUAAUGGAGCGGAAGAAAGAAAUGCCAAAAGUAAGGUAUUUCCAGAAGUUGUCUGAAGUUUAUGCCUCCGAUAUGUUGAAUUAUAGAUGAGCUUUGGGCCCAUACAAAUAAUAAUUCCUGGUUAAUAUCUAAGGCUCAUAUGGGGCGCCUAACAUUGAUUGAUGGGAAGUUUAGUACCAUACUGCUACUGAAGAAGAGUUGAGACCUCUUUAUAAGGUAUUCUCUUCUUCAUGCUAACGGAGGUUGAAAAGAGGAGUGGUCACGCACGCUACUCCUCCAUUGUCCGACUCGCCACGCCUCGCCCGCAUGUCGUGUUCCGUGAACCAGCUGAGCUUAGACCUAUGUCAUGCGUGCGCUUUAUUUUUGCUAGUCAGAAACAGUUAAUUAAUCAGAUAUUAAUUACGAGUUCCUAAUGGAAGUGUCAUUGCCCAAGAUGUUGGACUGUGAGUUGUUUGCCGACUUGGUUGUGAGCCUAAGCCUAGGCAGAAGACUCCCACCUAAUGGCCUAUAUAUUGGUGGUAGUGGCAACUUCAGCGGACAUGCUCAGUUCCUCCUUGCGCAUAACCCUAGCUGUCAUAUACUAUUCCACUUAGAGCAUCUCCAGCCGUUCAGCCCCCCAGGGCGCCGAAAAAGCGCGGCCUGGGGGUGAGCCGGCGAUAAACUCGGCGCUGGGGCGGUUCGGCACCCAGCCGUCAUCCUCCAGGUCGGGCCCAGGCGCCGAUCCCAGUGUUCAGCUCAAUUAUGUCCAAAAACGGUCCGAUAUCUGCGUGAAUCGGCCCAUAUUCGGCGCGGUUCGGCGUGUUUCGGCGUGAAUUUUCGCAUACAAAUAGAAAUUAAUUAGUUUGUCACAUAGUUCGGCAUGGAUCGGCAUGUUUCGGCGUGUUUCAUCACAUAAAUCAAAUAGUUCAAUACAAAUUAUAUAGUUUAACAAAUUAAAACUCAAGUUUCAUCACACGUCAUUCCCGGCCUCGCCCUUGAGCCUUCAUAGGUGCUCCACCAGAUCGUGUUGCAAUUCUUGAUGCACCUGUGGGUCUCGGAUCUCCUGACGCAUAUUGAGGUAGUUAGUCCAGUUUGCCGGUUGCUAGUGAUCAACUUGGGCAAGAGGACCCUGCUUGUAAUAUGGUUUUGUCCCAAACAUUGGUUCUUCCUACUCGCUCCCAAUGAUCAUGUUGUGCAAGAUGACACAGCAAGUCAUGAUCUCCCACAUUUGAUCUUUCGACCAGGUUAGAGCAGGGAACCGGACAACAACAAAUCGAUAUUGGAGCACACCAAAUGCUCGCUUGACAUCCUUCAUGCAAGCCUCCUGAAUCUUGGCAAACCAGGCGUUCUUGCCCCCUGGCACAGGGUUCGAGAUGGUCUUCACAAAUGUCGACCAUCUCGGAUAGAUGCCAUCAGCUAGAUAGUACCCCUUGUUGUACUGCCGCCCAUUGACCUCGAAGUUCACCGGAGGAGAAUGACCUUCAACAAGUUUGGCAAAGACUGGGGAGUACUGGAGGAUGUUGAUGUCAUUGUGAGUUCCUGGCAUCUCAAAGAAAGACUGACAAAUUCAGAGGUCCCGUGUGGCCAUUGCCUCAAGUACCACACUGUAACCACCUUUGGUGCCUUUGUACAACCCCUGCCAAGCAAAUGGACAGUUCUUCCAUUUUCAAUGCAUGCAGUCGAUGCUUCCAAGCAUCCCAGGAAAUCCUCUUGCUGCAUUCUGUGCUAGGAUCCGAGCAGUGUCUUCCGUAUUGGGUGUACGCAAGUACUGCGGUCCAAACACUGCCACCACUGCCCUCCAGAACUUGUAGAAACACUCAAUGGUGGUGGACUCAGCCAUGCGCCCGUAGUCGUCGAGUGAAUCACUGAGAGCUCUGUAUGCAAGCAUACUCAUAGCUGUUGUGCACUUCUGGAUCGCGGUAAAUCCAAGUGUGCCGGUGCAAUCCAUCUUGCACUUGAAGUAGUUGUCAAACUCCCGGAUGGAAUUCACAAUCCUGAGGAAAAGCUUUCGGCUCAUCCGAUAACGGCGCCAAAAUGUUUUCUCACCGUGCAAUUGAGAGUCGGGAAAGUAGUCCGAGUAGAGCAUGCAGUAGCCUUCCAGACGAUGCCGGUUCUUUGCUUUCACCCGUCCAGGCACCGAGCCACCUCACCGCGGCUUUUCACUGCUCGCGAGCAGGUCGGCGAGGGCGUCGAACACCAUGAAUGCUCCUGCUCCUGGACGUCGGCUUCGGCUUCCUCCUCAUCUUCGGAGUCCAUUGCCGGGCCGGGCAAUUAACCGAACACCUUGCGGGCGAGGUGGGCGCUAGCCGGCCGGUGUACAGACCCUGCGCGGCCGAAACUCCGAAAAAAGUUGACCGGACGGCGGCGAAGAGGCUUCCUCGGCGAAACCCCUUCUUUUCCCGGCGGGAGAUGGCCUACCUAGCUGCGGUGGGCGGUGGAUGCCACCGGGAUCGGCAAGGUGGCACAGGGUGGCGGCCGAGCGUGGGGGGUAAGAGGCGAAUCUGGACAGGUGUCUUGACUUUUCGCCUGCCAAUGUGGCCCCAGGAGCGCUUUUCUCUUGCACCGGUGCCCCCGAGCGCCCCCAAGUGCGCCGGGUUCAGCCUGCGAUCGCCGGGCGCAAAAAUGGGCCGAUCCGGUGGAAUUCGGCGUCCUGGGGGCGCGACUGGGCUGUUUAUUCGGUGCCGGCACGGAAAACUCGCCUCGGGAGGCUAUUCUGGGGGCGCAGCUGGAGAUGCUCUUAUUGUUGCUACUUUCGUCGAUCCCAUCAUGUCGACCACGUGCAUGACCGUUUGGGAGAGCAGGCCUUCGAAACCCCGCCCUUUGCGAUCCUACAUUGGGAGAAGGGCAAUAAUAUAAGGUUUUUAGGGAGCGUCUCAGCACGAUUGCUCCCUGUUUGUCUUUGUGACUUUGUCCUUGUCCUAUGCUUCGACUACUUCCACGACACAGCCGUCAUGGUUGUCGACGCCGCCACCAAGAAGAAUGUUGCGGAGGAAGCCGCUGCCACCUCGGUGGCUUUAGCCUGGACUAUGAGAGGGCAUGAUCUGCUCAUCCCCUAUUUACUCAUUCAUGUGCUAUGCGUAUUUACUGUGUUCAUAGAUGUUUCGGUUCACUGUUCGGUACAUGCUCACAUGUUUAGAUAUUGGUAUGGGCUUCACACUGAUACUGCUAGCAUCAUGAUUUAUUCGUUGAUUAAAUUAAUCAAAAAAUUCUAAUAUAUCCACAAAUCCAAAAACUUUAUUUAAACAGGUACUUUUUGAUUCAAGGCUUUGCUACAACAUCGAAAUAGGGGCGGCACACAUUUUAAGCAUUAUCUUGUGGCUCACAACGAAGAAAGUGUUCUGGGUCGCUAGUGGCACUCCCACUAGAACGAUUGCCCCUGAAGAAAAGGCGUUUACGAAGGAAACCACCAUCUUUUUGUGGGAGCCAUUAUGAGUGCGAUCAGAGAUAAAUUAGUUGACGUAUGUCGGUAUAUACGGGUUGCCAAGAACUUAUGGGAUGCGCUCGAAGUUAAUUAAGUUUGGUGUAACCAAUGUUGGAAGAGAGUUGUAUGCUAUGGAGCAGUUCCAUGAUUACAUGAUGGUUGAUAGCCGUCCUAUAUUGGAUCAGGCUCAUGAGGUACAAUGCUAUCACUAAGGAGCACGAGCUCCUAAAAUGUAAGUUACCGGACACGUUUGUUGCGGGAUGCAUAAUUGCUAAACUCCUCUUCCUUGAGGUACUUUGCUACUUCUCUCAAGCAUUUGAGAUGUGAAUUCUCGGUUAAGGAUGUCAUUGGUCAUCAGAGUGAUAAGCAGAAUUCGGGAGCAAAUGACUCAUACAUGAAAGGGACCGAGGGAUCUUCUACCACAAAUAUGAUGCGGAAGAAUCUCCGCAAGUUCAACGGAAUGAACAUGGUCCAGCAGAAUACCACCUUCAAGAAGAAGGGUAAGCAGAAAGACGAAAAGAAAGAUGACUUCACUAAUCAUAGAUGUAUGGUACCAUUUUUCCAGGAGAUGCGUAGAAGAAUGAAAGAUCAUUGUGGAACAUAUCAGAACUGAAGAACAACAUGCCGACAUAUUAUAUACUAUAUAUGUAGAAUUAUAUAUAGCGUAGGAAUAUUCAAUGUCAAGAAAGAAAUGAUAUCAGUAGAGGCACAAUUAUUCCAUUUAGUUACGCUUCUCAGAAAUCUCUUCUUAAGAGUAAUACUAUAUAUGCAGAAUUAUACUCCCCCCGACCGGAAAUACUUGUCGGGGGAAUGGACGUAUCUAGUCGUAUUUUAGUGUUAGAUACACCCAUUUUUAGUCAUUUCUAUGAUAAGUAUUUCUGGACGGAGGGAGUAUCUAAUGUUAACAUUUGUUGUCUAUUACUGAGAACUAGCUAGUUUUACGUAUGUUGCUACAAAACAAUUACAAUACUAGAUAAAAAGAAUAUAAACAAUGACUAUGGGAUAUAUACUUACAUUAUCUUUUAGAAAAAGACUACACACAACAGUUCAAUCUUGCUAGUGAUAUAUAGAAUAGCAGAAGUGUGAUGGACUAUAACUUCAUAACAUAUUUGUCUAAUAUCCAAAAUUUCUGUAAUAUGGUCAGAUGGAGGGCCGCCGUCAGCGUCCGUCCACAUCCAUCGCGGGCUACCAUACAGUCGCCGAAAGUAGCCCACACGCUAACGGAGAAAUGCACGCACCGCCCUUCUGACGCUGCCCGGGUUCGAUGGUCCAAGCCUAGUUGGCACCGCCACCACCAGAAAAGCAUCACCACAACCAUGCCACCACCUUCACCGGCCGUGCAUGCCAUGGCAAAGGUUGUUGUUGUCGAAAUCGCUACAGUAGCCGCUAAUCUGAAGAAGUUCAGAGAGAGGCAGAAGGAAGAAGACAGUAGUUUUUGUGCCGCACCACAAGCUGCAGCGUUUUUUGUUAUUCCCAUCUGCUAUAUCUCUUGUUACAGCAGUUGUCAACUCGCUAGCUACCUCCCGAUCCGCUGGCCAUGAUCCGAUUCUGCCGUGCCAUCCCACGGCCUCGUCACACAGCUAUUGCGGAUCGGGAGAACAGGUAAACCGCGGGAUCGUGUGCAGAGUGCAGCACGCCCGUCCUAGCUACUUGCACGCGCCACAUGCGGCCAUGCAUUAUUAACAGAAAACAAAGCUAACUAUCGUGACAAUAGAGAUUACAAAAAGCUAACAUUUCACCCCCUUAAUCUCUUUGUCCAUCUCCAAUCUUAGCCACUCCCAGACGCUGCCGCAGCUCGAUGAACUGCACCCUGCCCAACGCCUUCGUUAGAAGAUCAGCUAGUUGGUCCUUGGUGCCCACAUGAUCAAUUUGCACUUUUCCGGCAUCCAUACAGUCACGGAUAUAGUGAAACUUGAUGUCAAUGUGCUUGCUGCGGUCAUGGUGAACAGGGUUUUUGCUUAGCUCAAUCGCUGAUUUAUUGUCCACCAUCAGUUUGAAGCUCUUCGGUGUUUCUCCCUUCAUGUCUGCUAGCAGACUGUUGAGCCAUACACCCUGACAAGUAGCUGCGCAUGCUGCCACAUAUUCUGCUUCACAAGAGGAGAGAGCGACAAUUCUCUGUUUCUGGGAGCUCCAUGUGAUCAGAUUCUUACCGAGGAAGAAGACCUGACCUGAAGUGCUCUUCCGAUCUCGAACAUCUCCCCCGUGAUCAGAAUCACUGAACCCAAGCAAGUGUGCAUCGCCAUUUCCUGCUCUGUAGGUACAGCCAUAGCUCAUUGUGCCCUUUAUGUAACGCAGAAUUUGUUUGACGGCUGCCCAAUGAUGAGUACUUGGCUUCUCCAUGAAACGGCUGACAAUCCCAACUGCAUGAGCUAUGUCAGGACGGGUAUUUACCAGGUAGCGAAGACUGCCAAUAACUCUGCGAUACAGUGUUGCAUCUGCAGGUUUACCCCCGUCUUCCUUGAUCAGCUUCAGUCUGCACUCCAUGGGAGUGGUGCAGCUGUUGCAAUCACUCAUACCGGCCACUUCCAGGAUCUUUCCGGCGUAGCUCUGCUAUUUGAGUGUGAUCACCCCAUCUCCUUGUUCCACUUCUAUGCCCAGAUAGUAACUGAGACGGCCAAGAUCGCUCAUCUGAAAUAACUGGCACAUCUGUCGCUUGAAUUCAUCGAUCUCUGUCAGGCUUGUCCUUGUGAUGACAAGAUCAUCUACAUAGACACCCACCAGCAAGAAGGAUUGCUUGUCACCGCGGCGAUACACUGCAUGCUCGAGAGGGCUGCGAGUAAAACCCAAUGACGCCAUGGAAUCAUCAAACUUUGCAUACCAUGCUCGUGGAGCCUGUCGCAGGCCAUACAGUGCCUUCCGCAACUUCAACACACUCUGCUCCUUGCCAGCGAUGACGUAUCCCGGUGGUUGUGCCACGUAAACCUCUUCACUGAGCUCGCCAUUCAGAAAUGCCGACCUUACGUCCAUGUGAUGAACUUCCCAACCAGAGUGCGCGGCGAGCGCGAGCAGCAGUCUGACAGUUUCCAUCCGUGCCACGGGAGCGAAAACUUCCUCAAAGUCCACCCCCUGACGCUGUACAUAUCCCUUGGCGACAAGACGGGCUUUGUGCUUGACGAUGUUGCCCGCCGGAUCGCGCUUGACUCGGUACACCCACUUGAGCCCGAUUGCUUUGUGUCCGGCAGGCAGCGAGACAAGCUCCCAGGUGUUGUUGUCGUUGAUGGACUGCAUCUCGCUGUCCAUGGCGCCCUUCCAUGCCUUGUCCGUGAGGGCCUCGUCCACAUCCCGCGGCUCCUCGGCACUGAACAAGCAGCGCACGAGCAAGCAGCAGUCGAACUGGUCGUAGACGGCCUCCUCCUCCGUGUCUGCCAUCACCUCGGACGUCCGCCGGUAGCGGCGUGGUUGCCCACUCUCCACGUCACACCCGUCGUCGUGCGGGAGUGGCAUGACCCACUUUGCAUCUCGAGUCGCCACGGGUGUGUUCAACUCUGGUGAAUUUGGCUCCGCCGCUGGAGUGGAGGGCCCGGCGUCAUGCGUGCCCGGAGUGCGCGACACCGGCGUCGCGGGCGCCGCGGUCGUCACGGAGCGCGGCGUGCAGGUGAACGUCUCUCCCGUGUCGACCUCCGUGGUGCCGUGCUCGGUGAUGUACUCGACGGUGAAUGUGCGCGGCGCGCUGACCACGCUCGGCGCGCUGUGAGCCUCCCAGUUCCACGGCCUGCUCUCCUCGAACAGCACAUCACGCGUCACCUGCACCUUGUUAGUACUGGGAUCAUACACCCUGUACCCUUUUGUGCCUUCUUCGUAGCCAACAAACACCAUGGGCGUUGAGCGAUCGGAGAGCUUUGUGAUGCCGGGGCCGGUUCUCUUGACAUGCACCGUGCAGCCAAAUGUGUGCAUGUGCUGCACCGUGGGCGGUCGUCCGCGCCAUGCUUCGUAUGGCGUCACUCCGGUGAGGCUUCUCGUCGGCGUCCUGUUGAGGAUGUACACGGCCGUCCUCACCGCCUCCGCCCAGAAGAGCGCUGGCAUGGCCAUGCUCUUUAGCAUGCACCGUGCCAUCUCGACGACGGUUUGGUUGCGGCGUUCGACAACCCCGUUUUGUUGGGGCGUGUACGGGGCAGUGGUGAAGUGCUUGACGCCGUGGUUGAUGCAGAACUCCCCAAAUUCGCCGGAGUUGAACUCGCCGCCCCGGUCCGACCGGAACGCGCGCAGUUUGCAGUGCCCCUCCGCCUCGGCUAUGGCCUUGAUCCGUUUGAAACGGUCGAACGCUUCAUCCUUCGACUUCAGAAGCUCCACCCACAUAUAGCGGCUGUGAUCGUCAACGACGAGGAUAAAAUACUUGUUACCUCUCGGCGUCGCUGGCGAUAUCGAACCGCACAAGUCGGUGUGGACGAGCUCCAGGCCCUUUUCCGCUCGGUACUCCGUGGCCCGCGGGAACGACGAUCUGUGCUGCUUCCCGAGCACGCAACCAUCGCAGUACUCCGCCACGCGGUCGAUCUCCGGCAUGCCCUUGACCAUGCCAUUGGUGGACAUGGCACGCAGCGCCCGGAAGUGAAGAUGACCCAGGCGUGCAUGCCACCGCCAGGUCACGUCGUUGCUCUUCGAGAGCAAACAGGUGGGCGUGUCGAUCGUGAGUACGCCGGUGUACAGGCGCGUCGCCGUGCGCUUGACGCGGGCUAGGACGCGCCGCGCUGAAUCCUGGAUCGUCAUGAUGCCGUCCUUGAUGUCGACCGUGCACUCGCCCUCAUCGAGCUGACCCAUGGAGAGUAUGUUACACCGCAGGCUCGGGAUGUAGAACACCCCAGUGAGUGCCCGCUGGUCACCACUCUGGCCGCGGAACACGACGGAGCCACGUCCGCGUAUCGCCACGGUCGAUCCGUCCCCGAACUUGACAGUGCCAUGCACGGUCUCGUCCAGCGUCGCGAACACGUGCCGCUCGCCAGUCAUGUGGCUGCUCGCCCCUGUGUCGAAGUACCACACGCCCUCCGGCGAUGGCACGGGGACGAGCUUCUCCUCGUUGAGGUAGACGGCCUGCGGCGCGACGACGUGGGUGGUGCUGAUGCCGGUGACCAUGGCCAUGAACAGGCCCUGGUCGUGUUCGUCGCCGGCGCGCACUAAGUUGGCAUGUUCUCGCUUGCCCGCUUGUUCCUGCUCCCGCAGCCAGGUCCUGCACUCCUUCUUCCAGUGCCCUGGGAUGCCACAAUGGUGGCACUUUCCUUUCUUUUUCUUGCCGCCGGAUCCGCCAGAGCCGCCUGACCCGAUGUUGCCCGGUAUGCUCUUGCCAGCGCCCUGGGCCUUGGCCUUGCCGUUCGCCUUGCUCUUGCUGGUGUUGCCGCCGCCACCGCUUGACGACGAGCCUCCGCCGCCGCCCGCCUUCUCACGGGCCAGCCACUCCUCAUGAGUGAGCAAGAGACGCCCGGCGUUCUGCGCUCCAUCGUCGAGGUCGUAGUGGUCCUCGCAGGCGGAGAGGCGGCCGACGAGCUCCUCGAUGGUCAUGGUUUUCAGAUCGAUCAGGGACUCAAUCGCCAUGGCCAUCGGGCGGUACCUCCGCGGCACCACGCGAAGAAAUUUCUGCACCGCCUUGUGUUCGGAGACCGUGUCGCCGUACAGCUUGAGAUCGGCGACAAGGGCCGAAAGCCUCAGCCCGAAGUCCUCGACGGACUCGCCGUCCUUGAACCUGAGAUCUUCGAACUCCCGCCGGCGCACCUGCGCCUUGGCCUCGCGAGCGCGCUCGCUGCCCAUGCGCAUGGUCUUGAUUGUCUCCCAUGCCUUCUUCGCUGUGUCCUUGGCGGCCAGCACGCGCAGCAUCUCCGGCGGGACGCCGGUAAGAAGGAUCUGCAGCGCGCGCCGGUCAUCAUUCUCGUCGGCGGCGGCGUCGGUCACCGCAGGCCAGACGCGGGCGACCUGCAGCUUUACCUGCAUCACCAGCGCCCACUCCUGGUAGUUGGUGCGCGUCAGCAUCAUCGACGUCCCCGUCUCCUCGCGCACGACGCGCUCCACCACGCGGACCACGCCGCUGCCGCUGCCGGUGAGGCGCGCGAGCGGCGCCUUGGACGGCGGUGACUUGCUCUUCUUCUCCUCCGUUUCCGAGUCCGACAUGACCGCAGUGGAUCAAAGACCACUCGAUCAACCAGGCGCAAGAUCAAACACCUGCUGCUCUGAUGCCAACUGUUGUUGUCGAAAUCGCUACAGUAGCCGCUAAUCUGAAGAAGUUCAGAGAGAGGCAGAAGGAAGAAGACAGUAGUUUUUGUGCCGCACCACAAGCUGCAGCGUUUUCUGUUAUUCCCAUCUGCUAUAUCUCUUGUUACAGCAGUUGUCAACUCACUAGCUACCUCCCGAUCCGCUGGCCAUGAUCCGAUUCUGCCGUGCCAUCCCACGGCCUCGUCACACAGCUAUUGCGGAUCGGGAGAACAGGUAAACCGUGGGAUCGUGUGCAGAGUGCAGCACGCCCGUCCUAGCUACUUGCACGCGCCACAUGCGGCCAUGCAUUAUUAACAGAAAACAAAGCUAACUAUCGUGACAAUAGAGAUUACAGAAAGCUAACAAAGGUGGCCACCUGCAUCCCGCACUUCCCGGAGAAUGGAUCUGCUGAACCACACUAGUAGAAAAAGGGUCUAAUGUGCAGUUCAUUAGUCCCGGUUUGAAAUUGAGCCGGCACUAAUAUGACCAUUAGUGCCGGUUCUAACGGCUAGGCGGGCCGCUCCCUUUAGUACCGGUUCGUGCGGAACCUUUAGCACCGGUUCGUGCCACGAACCGGUAUUAAAGGGUAUGAUGGCAGGAUGUUGUCAGACUGGGGCACGUCCAGCACCUUUAGUACCGGUUCUUGUCACGAACCGGUACUAUAGGUCAUCCUGCAUAUAAACCCUUCAUCCAACUCGCUCUGUUCUUUCCCCUUUCCCCUCUCCUUCUCUCUGUUCUUCCUCUUCUCCCCUCGAACUCAUCACACAUUUUGCCAAAAUUUUGUCAAGAUUUGAAGGCCCCCAUCCAUUCAAGUGAUCACAAAGGUUAGCAACUUUGUUCUUUCAUCUUUCAUUGCUAGAUUAGCUCUUGCAAUGCUUUAUAUAGUGAUUGAUUUGUGGGUUUUAGUAAUUUGGGAGGAAUUAUAUGUGGUACUACAUUUGAUUUAUAUGCAAUUUGAGCUUAAAAUAACUCUUACUUUGUAUAUGUAUGUGUGGUUUACUUAGUUCCUUCUCGUCUUCGUCGUAACCACCGUCGAUUGUCCGCACCGACCCGUCGCCGGCACCACCUUGUGGUGAGCCUCUUGUUCUUAUCCUUUUUAUAUAAAAAAAUCAUGUUUUGUAUCAUUUAGAUAUAUAGUUACUUGUAUAAUUAUCUUACACGUACGUUGUUUGUUAUACAUAGUGCAAUGGUUUUUUGAUAUCCGUCCCCGUCGGCCCUCGUCCGUGUUAUGAUUCGGAUGUGGUAUAUUUUCUUUUAAAACUAUUUGUUGCAUUUCGUGUUUAUGACAAAUUGUGCCCAUCAAGUUGACAUAGAUAUUUUUAUCUAGUAGGUAUGUGAACUGGAAAUUCCAACCGACCCUAUUGUCGAGAAGUUAAAUUUAGUUGAAAGAGAAAAUGAGUAUUUGAAAGAAAAAUUGAAAAGAAUUGAAGGGGAGAAGAUGGAAUUGAAGUUGCAUGUUGCCGAUGUCGUCGAUGAUCACAAGAUCAAGAUGGAGAAAAUGCGGUUGAAGAUUAGAAAGAUUAGAAAAUAUGCCAUUGAUAGUGUGGCUUGGUAUCAUUAUGUUGUUGGAUCAAUUGUUACCUUAGUUGCGACCUUGAUCGCAUUUGUUGUUGCAUUUAAAUUCUUUAGCUAGAGAGUUAUUUGUAUGUUGCAUUUAAGUGUUGUAUGACCUUUAUGUAUGAACUUUAUGUAUGAACUUGUAUUAAUUUGGUCUAUUCGGUGGUGUGUAAUGAAGAUGCGCUGACAAUGGAUGUACGAUGACCGAUGCUCUCCCCAGUUCAUUGAUGGCGUGCAUACCUUUUUUAUUGCGGCUCAGGCAAACAAGCGGGUGGAUGGUUUUAUGCCUUGUCCAUGUGCUGGCUGGAAGAAUGGUCACAAUUACUCUAAUUCAAGAACCAUUCACGUCCACCUGUUUGAGUGUGUUUCAUACCCCACUAUAAUAUUUGGACCAAGCACGGAGAAAGAGGGGUUAUGAUGGAAGACAAUGAAGAAGAAGAGGACGACGAUAGCUAUCCUGGCCAUGGGUUCCCUGAAUACGAUGAUACAACAAUGGGGGAAGAAGCUGAGCUGGCCAUGCGGGAAGAAGCUAAAGAAGAGGCAUCAGAUGAGCCCACUGAUGAUCUAGGUCGGGCCAUUGCCGAUGCAAAGAGAAACUGUGCAAGUGAAAAGGAGAAGAAGAAGUUGCAGCACAUGUUAGAGGAUCACAAGAAAUUGUUGUACCCGAAUUGCGAAGGUGACAAGAAAAAGCUAGGCACCACACUGGAAUUGCUGUAAUGGAAGGCAGAGAAUGGUCUAUCUGACAAGGGAUUUGCAAAGUUGCUACUAAUGAUAAAGAAUAUGCUUCCAAAGGACAACGAAUUGUCCGAGAAUACGUACGAAGCAAAGAAGGUUGUCUGCCCUCUAGGUUUAGAGGUGCAGAAGAUACAUGCAUGCCCUAGUGACUGCAUCCUCUACCGCAGUGAGUAUGAGGAUUUGAACGCGUGCCCAGUAUGCGGUGCAUUGCGCUAUAAGAUCGGCCGCGAUGACCCUGGUGAUGUCGAGGGCGAGCGCCCCAGGAAGAAGAUUCCUGCGAAGGUGAUGUGGUAUGCUCCUAUAAUACCAUGGUUGAAACAUUUGUUCCAAAACAAAGAGCAUGCCAAGGUGAUGCAAUGGCACAGAGAAGACCGUAAGAAAGACGAAAAGUUGAGAGUACCCGCUGACGGGUCGCAGCAGAGAAGAAUCGAGAGAAAGUGUAGGGAGGAGUUUGCAGGUGACCCAAGGAACGCAUGAUUUGGUCUAAGCGCAGAUAGCAUUAAUCCUUUUGGGGAGCAGAGCAGCAACCAUAACACCUGGCCUGUGACUCUAUGUUUGUAUAACCUUCCUCCUUGGUUGUGCAUGAAGCGGAAGUUCAUUAUGAUGCCAGUGCUCAUCCAAGGCCCUAAACAACCCGGCAAUGACAUUGAUGUGUACCUAAGGCCAUUAGCUGAAGAACUAUUACAGUUGUGCAAUGGAAAAGGUGUACGUGCAUGGGAUGAGCACAAACAGGAAGAAUUUGACCUAAAGGCGUUGCUGUUCAUGACCAUCAAUGAUUGGCCUGCUCUUAGUAACCUUUCAGGACAGACAAACAAGGGAUACCGCGGAUGCACGCACUGUUUGGAUCAUACCGACAGUAUAUAUUGGAUAGUUGUAGGAAGAAUGUGUACCUGGGACAUCGUCGAUUUCUUCCGAGAAGGCAUCCCGUAAGAAAGAAAUGCAAGCGUUUAAAAGGUGAGGUGGAUCACCGAACGAAGCCUCGCCACCGUACUGGUGCUGAUGUACAUGAUAUGGUCAAGAAUUUUAAGGUAAUCUUUGGAAAGGGUCCUGGCGGACAACCUAUUCCGAAGGACUCGCCCAAUGUGGAAGAAGAAAUCUAUAUUUUGGGACCUGCCCUAUUAGAAAGACCUAGAGGUCCGCUCCGCAAUCGAUGUGAUGCAUGUGACAAAGAAUCUUUGCGUGACCCUGCUUGGCUUCUUGGGCGUGUAUGGGAAGACAAAAGAUACACCGGAGGCACGAAAGGACCAUCAACGUAUGCAUGGAAAAGACGGCACACAUCAGGGUCAGGCCAGCUAUGCUCUUACCAAAGAAGAGAAGGAAAUCUUCUUUGAAUGCCUACUUAGUAUGAAGGUACCGUCUGGCUUCUCGUCGAAUGUAAAGGGAAUAAUAAAUAUGAAAGAGAAAAAGUUUCAGAACCUAAAGUCUCAUGACUGCCACGUGAUUAUGACGCAACUGCUUCCGGUUGCAUUGAGGGGGCUUCUACCGGAAAAUGUUCGAUUAGCCAUUGUGAAGCUAUGUGUAUUCCUCAAUGCAAUCUCUCAGAAGGUAAUCGAUCGAGAAAAAUACCAAGGUUACAGAAUGAUUUGGUGUAAUGUCUUGUUAGUUUCGUGUUGGUGUUCCCACCAUCCUUCUUCAACAUCAUGACGCACGUCCUAGUUCACCUUUGCGAAGAGAUUAAAGUUUUGGGUCCUAUAUUUCUACACAAUAUGUUCCCCUUUGGGAGGUUCAUGGGAGUCUUGAAGAAAUAUGUUCAUAACCCCGCUAGGCCAGAAGGAAGCAUCUCGAAGGGCCAUGAAAAUGAGGAGGUCAUUGAGUAUUGUAUUGACUUUAUUCCCGACCUUAAGCCGAUUGGUGUUCCUGAAUCGCGACAUAAGGGCAGACUGGAUGGAAAAGGAACGCUAGGUGGGGAUCAAAUAAUAUGUAUGGACGGGCAUUCUCUCACUGAAGCACACUACACAGUUCUACAGAAUUCCGCCUUGGUGGCUCCGUAUAUGGAGGAACACAAGAAUUUUCUACACUCCAAACACCUGAAGCAGUCUGACGACUGGAUUACACGUGAACAAACGAGGACUUUUGUCAGUUGGUUGCAGACACGUGUCAUGCAUGAUGGCGAUAUUGAAGAUGACCUGUACUUGCUAUCCCAGUUACCUUCUUUGAAUAUAAUGACUUUCAAAGGGUACGAUAUAAAUGGGAAUACAUUUUACACGAUUGCCCAAGAUAAGAAGAGCACCAACCAAAAUAGUGGUGGCCGCUUUGAUACAACAACCAACCCGGGAAAGGAAACAUAUUAUUGUUACAUAGAGGACAUAUGGGAACUUAACUAUGGUGGUGGUUUCAAGGCCCCUUUAUUUCAGUGCAAAUGGGUCAAUAUGACACGAGGCGGGGUAACGGAAGACCCGCAGUAUGGAAUGACAACAGUGGAUCUCAACAAUCUUGCGUAUGCAGAUGAACCAUCCGUCCUAGCCAAUGAUGUGGCGCAGGUUUUCUAUGUGAAAGACAUGUCUACCAGGCCGAGAAAAAGAAAAGAUAAGGAAGCGAAUGGAUCAUACGAUGAGCCAAAGCGCCACAUAGUUCUUUCAGGGAAAAGACACAUCAUGGGAGUGGAUAACAAGAAAGACAUGUCAGAAGAUUAUGAAAAGUUUGAUGAAAUUGCUCCAUUCAAAGUGAAUAUUGAUCCGAGCAUCCAGUUAAAUGAUGAAGAUUGUCCAUGGUUACGACACAAAGGGACACACGCGAAGGAAAAGUUUCACACCCAAAGAUCCCACACUGGCAUGUGAUAGGCUUCACCGUCAUCACUUUCUUCUGUAGUGACUUUCUAGACUUAUAUAUCUGGAAAGUGCCGCUUCGAACAAACCGGAGGGAAUCUUUGUAAUAGUUAGGAUACUUAUGUGUUUUGGUAUUUGAAACGCAAGGAAAUUUUAUGUGCAAAAAUUGGAUGCACUUCGUCUACAAAUUAGUUCAUCAAAUAAUUCAAAUUUAAACUAUUCAAAUAUGAAAACUACUCUAAUAGAAAGUUUGUAAUAUUUUGUAACUAUAGAAAAAUUGUUCAGAAAUAAAUAAAUGGAGAUAAAUAAAGUAGAAAAUAAAAAAUACUAUUUUUUUUGAGACAAAAACUAAAUAAAAAUAAUAACUAAACUAUUCAAAUUUGAAAACUAGUUGCACUAACAGAAAGUUUGUAAUUUUUUGUACCUAAAGAAAAAAUAUUCAGAAAUAAAUAAGUAAAAAUAAAUAAAGUAGAAAAGAAAAGAAAUUUAAUUUUUGUUGAGACAAAAACUAAAUAAAAAAAGCCCACCUACUGGGCCAAAGCGGCCUGCAUACGACUAGAAACUCAACCUCAUACUAAAGGGGUGCCUUUAGUACCGGUUGUAGCCACCACCCGGUACUAAAGGGGUGCGCUUCCCGCCGCUUCGCUUGGCCAAAACAGACCUUUAGUAUCGGUUAGUGGCUCCAACCGGUAUGAAAGGUAGGUUCUAUAUAAGAAAACACUUCAAAAAAAUUCGCCAGUUCUCCCUUUGUUUCUUCUCCUCUGCCCCGUCAUCGCCGCCCCUCGUCGCCGCCCCCGUCGCCGCCCCCGUCCCGCGCCGUCGUCGCCCUCAUCCCGCGACGUCCCCGUCCCCGUCGUCACCAUCCCCGUCGCCGCCGCCCCUCGUCGCUGCCCCCGUACCGCGCCGUUGCCGUCCCCGUCGCGCCGUCGCCCCAUCCCGCACCUUCGCCGUCCGGCCCCUUGCCUCGCCAUCGCGGUCGGCUUGGAUCGACAUCGCCUCGACGUCGCCGUCGCCUGGACCUCGCCGUCGCCGUCACCUCGACCUCGCCCGCGCGCGCUGUGAGCCCCUCCCCCGGCCUCUCCUCCCUCCAAUCCACCAUGCCGCCGCCAGCGCCGGCCGCGCGCGCACACACACACACACACUACACGCGCGCGCACACAAACACACACACUCACACUACACGCGCGUGCGCACACACACACAAUUUUUCUAUUUUUAGUUUUUAGUUUUUUCUGUUUUUCAUACAAAGUUUUAGAUGAAUUAAUUAAUUAGAUUAGAUUAAUGUCAAAUAGUAUAUAGAAAUGUUAGAAAUGUUAUAGAAAUGUCAGAAAUUUUAGAAAUGUUAGUUUUAGCUAGAUGAAUUAGAUUAAUUUCAAAUUGUUAUAUAAAUGUUAGUUUUUAGUUUCUUAUAAUUUUAGUUAUACAAUUUUAGAAUUUGCAUAUAAGAAAUCACAAUCCAAUCAUUUAAAAAAUGUUACUUUUGUGGCGUAUAGUAUUUGUUCUCGACGAUGCCCGACCCGCAUCCUCGCCGUCGAUCCGUUCGCGACGACUUCCUACUUCAGAGGGCCCAUGUCCGGGACUGGGCUCCACCGGGCUGGCACUAGGAGAUGCUACCUUCAGGGGCUUGCACUUGGUGAGGAACCCGGGUCCCGUCGUCGACCCUGAGCUCCUUUGGUGGCAUUCCCGUGGGCCACUUUCGGUGUGGAGGGAGCCGGUGAUGACUGCAAGUAUACGGGAUAGUUGUAGCCUCUUUUGAUAAGUAAGAGUGUCAAACCCAACGAGGAGCUAAAGGUAGAACAAAAACUCUCUCAAGUCCUAUCGGCCACAGAUACGACUCUACGCACGCUUGACGUUCGCUUUACCUAGAACAAGUAUGAAACUAGAAGUACUUUGAAGGGGUGAUAGGAUAGGUUUGCAAGAUAAUAAAGAACACGUAAAUAAAAAGUAGGGGCUGUUUAGAUAAAUAUGCAAUAAAGUAAAUGUAGCGAGUGUGGAAAAGUGGUGGUAGGAGUUGUGAAAUUGUCCUCAAGCAAUUGACUACUUUACUAGACCGAUAGCAAGUUUAAUGUGGGAGAGGCCACUGCUAGCAUGUCAUCCCUGACUUGGAAUUCUAUGCACUUAUGAUUGGAACUAUUAGCAAGCACUCCGCAACUACUAACGUUCAUUAAGGUAAAACCCAACCAUAGCAUUAAGAUAUAUUGGUCCCCCUUCAAUCCCGUAUGUAUAAAUUUCUAUGCUAGUCUGGAGCUUUUGUCACUAUUGCCCUCCAAUACAUAGUCCUAUCAACAUACAACUAACCCUAUGGUGUGAUUCACGCGCACCCUCAUAUGAUGGGCACCAUAGGACAGCAACAUAACCACAAGCAAAUUAAAUCAAUCAUAGCAAUUCAUCAACCAGCAAUAGGGCAGCGAAGAUCUACUCAGACAUCAUAGGAUGGCAACACAUCAUUGGAAAAUAAUAUGAAGCAUAAAGCACCAUGUUCAAGUAGAGCGUACAAUGGGUUGGGGGAGAGUGGACCGCUGUAUAUAGAGGGGGGAAGGUGAUGGAGAUGUUGGUGAAGAUGACGGUGGUGUUGGUGAAGAUCGCGGUGAUGAUGAUGGCCCCCGGCGGUGUUUCGGCGCCACCGGAAGCAAGGGGGAGAGAGCCCCCCUUCUUCUUCUUCUUCCGUGACCUUCUCCCUAUAUGGGAGAACGGUUUGCCCUCUGGUCCUUGGCUCCCAUGGCGUGGGAGGGGCGAGAGCCCGUCCGAGAUUGGAUAUGUCUCUCUGUCUCUCUCUGUUUCUGCGUUCCCUGAUUCUACCCCUUCACCGUUUCUUAAAUAUCCGGAGAUCCGUAACUUCGAUUGGGGUGAAUCUUUCGCCCAUAUUUUUCUCAUAAAAUUAGCUUUCUUGCGGCGAAAGUAGAGCCUCAACCGCCUUACGGAUGGCCCACGAGUGCCCAGGGCGUGCCCAGGGGUAGGGGGCAUGCCCCCUGUCUCGUGGCCACCUCGGACACUGUUUUGCUUUGAUUCUUCCUCCGGAAAAUCUCAAAUAUUCCAAAAUAAUUCUCCGCCCGUUUUUAUCCCGUUUGGAUUCCGUUUGAUAUUGGUUUUCUGCGAAACAUAAAACAUGCAACAAACAUGAACUGGCACUGGGCACUCGAUCAAUAUGUUAGUCCCAAAAAAUAGUAUAAAAAGUUGCCAAAAGUAUAUAAAAGUUGAAUAAUAUUGGCAUGGAACAAUAAAAAAUUAUAGAUACGACGGAGACGUAUCAGCAUCCCCAAGCUUAAUUCCUUCUCGUCCUCGAGUAGGUAAAUGAUAAAAAAGAUAAUUUUUGAUGUGGAAUGCUACCUAGCAUAAUCUUGAUCAUAUGUCUAAUCAUGGCAUGAAUAUUAAGACACGAGUGAUUCAAGGCAAUAGUCUAUCAUUUGACAUAAAAACAAUAAUACUUCAAGCAUACCAACCAAGCAAUUAUGUCUUAUCGAAAUAACAUAGCCAAAGAAAGCUCAUCCCUACAAAAUCAUAUAGUCUGGCUAUGCUCCAGCUUCAUCACACAAAGCAUUCAAAUCAUGCACAACCCCGAUGACAAGCCGAGCAAUUGGUUCAUACUUUUUAAUGCGCUUCAGUUUUUUCAACUCUUACGCAAUACACGAGCGCAAGCCAUGGACAUAGCACUAUGGUGGUAUAUGGUGGUGGUUAUGAGGACAAAAAGGGAGAAGAUAGUCUCACAUCAACUAGGCGUAUCAACGGGCUAUGGAGAUGCCCGCCAAUAGAUAUCAAUGUGAGUGAGUAGGGAUUGCCAUGCAACGGAUGCACUAAGAGCUAUAAGUGUAUGAAAGCUCAAACUGGAAACUAAGUGGGUGUGCAUCCAACUUGCUUGCUCAUGAAUACCUCGGGCGUUUGAGGAAGCCCAUCAUCGGAAUAUACAAGCCAAGUUCUAUAAUGAAAAUUCCCACUAGUAUAUGAAAGUGAAAGCAUAGGAGGCUCUCUCUAUGACGAACAUGGUGCUACUCUGAAGCACAAGUCUUGUAAAAGGAUAGUAACAUUGCCCCUUCUCUCUUUUUCACUCAUUUUUUUCUUUUAUUUUUUUUUGUUCUUCUCUUUUUUUCUUUUUUCUUUUUAUUUUUUGGUGGGCUUCUUUUCCCUCUUUUAUUUUUCAUAAAGUCCGGAGUCUCAUCCCGACUUGUGGGGGAAUCAUAGUCUCCUUCAUCCUUUCCUCACUGGGGCAAUGCUCUAAUAAUGAUGAUCAUCACACUUUUAUUUACUAACAACUCAAUAUUACAACUCAAAGCUAGAACAAAAUAUGGCUCUAUAUGAAUGCCUCCGGCGGUGUUCCGGGAUAUGCAAUGAAUCAAGAGUGACAUGUAUGAAAAUAAUGAAGGUGGCCUUGCCACAAAUACGAUGUCAACUACAUGAUCAUGCAAAGAGCAAUAUGACAAUGAUGAAAUGUGUCAUAAUAAACGGAACGGUGGAAAGUUGCAUUGCAAUAUAUCUCGGAAUGGCUAUGGAAAUGCCAUAUAGGUAGGUAUGGUGGCUGUUUUGAGGAGGGUAAAUAAUGGGUUUAUGCUACCGGCGAAAAUUGUGUGGUAAAAUAGAGGCUAGCUAAGUGUAAGGAUGAGUGUGCGUAUAUCCAUGGACUCGCAUUAGUCAUAAAGAAAUCAUAUACUUAUUGCAAAAAUCUACUUAGCCCUCGAAGCAAAGUACUACUACACAUGCCCCAAGAGGGAUAGAUUGGUAGGAAAAGACCAUCGCUCGUCCCCGACUGCCACUCAUAAGGAAGGCAAUGAAAAAAACACCUCAUGCUCCAACUUCGUUACAUAACGGUUCACCAUACGUGCAUGCUACGGGACUUGCAAACCUCAACACAAGUAUUUCUCAAUUUCACAAUUACCCAACUAGCAUGACUCUAAUAUCACCACAUUUAUAUCGCAAAACUAUUGCAAGGAAUCAAACAUAUCAUAUUCAGUGAUCUACAAGUUUAUGUAGGAUUUUAUGACUAACCAUGUGAAUGACCAAUUCCUGUCAUCUCUCUAAAUAGUUAUAAGUGAAGCAAGAGAGUUUAAUUCUUUCUACAAAAUAUAUUCCCACAGUCUAACAAAUAUAAGUGAAGCAAAAGAGCAUUCUACAAAUGGCGGUUUUCGAUGUGAAGAGAAAUAGGCAAUCCAGACUUCAAAUGAUAUAAGUGAAGCACAUGAAGCAUUCUAUAAAGCCAUACUCAAAAGAUUUAAGUGAAGUACAAUGAGCAUUCUAUAAAUCAACCAAGGACUAUCUCAUACCAGCAUGGUUCAUAAAAGAAAGGUAAAAAUUAAAUGCAAAAGACGCUCCAGGACUUGCACAUAAUGCAUGAACGAAAUGAAUUCGAAAACAUACCGAUACUUGUUGAAGAAAGAGGGGAUGCCUUCCGGGGCAUCCCCAAGCUUAGAUGCUUGAGUCUCCUUGAAUAUUUACUUGGGGUGCCUUGGGCAUCCCCAAGCUUGACCUUUUGCCUCUCUUCCGUUUCCUCAUAUCGAGACAUCCUCGAUUAGACACUACAUCCACACAAAACUUCAACAGAAAACUCGGUAAGAUCCGUUAGUAUAAUAAAGCAAAUCACUACUCUAAGUACUGUUGCAAACCAAUUCAUAUUUUGUUUUUGCAUUGUGUAUACUGUGACAUAACUUUUCCAUGGGUUAAUCCACUGAUAUAAAUUGAUAGAUUCAUCAAAACAAGCAAACUAUGCAUCAAAAACAGAAUCUGUCAAAAACAGAACAAUCUGUAGCAAUCUGAACAUCCACCAUACUUCUAGUACCCCAAAAAUUCUACCAAAAUUAGGAAAAAUAAACAAGUUGUACAGCAAGACAGUGCAAAAGGAAUCAGAACCAAUUGACGUUCCAGAUAACAAUGUAAAAUCUUGCACUACAGCCAAAGUUUCUGUCCUGCACCGUACAAACCAACAAGCAUUGUAAACAAACCUAAAGGCAAACCUUGGCACAUUAUUUUUAUAAUACAAUGGAAUUGUACAAGGGGAUAAUUAUUUUUGAUGAAAAAUUUCUGUAAUAAAGAUUCACAAAGUUUCCGUGAGCAUGAACAAAGUUCAAGGAGCUCUCCCACUUCAACAAUGCUUGUCUCUCUCACUUUCACUUUCCUUUUUGAAAAGUUUUUUAGGUUCCCCUCUUUAUUUUUUUCUUUUUGAACUAUAUAAAAGCACUCAACAGAAAUAAAUGACUCUCUAAAACUUCCGGGUUGUCUCCCUGGCAGCGCUUUCUUUAAAGCCAUUAAGCUAGGCAUAUAGUGCUCACGUAAUGGAUCCACCCGGAUCCCAAGGUAUAUCAAAGCCAAUUUUAAUUAACAAUGAUUUGUAAUUUAGUAGUGAGCACAAAGUAUUAUAUAUCAAGCAACAACGAAGUCUAACUCUCUUCCUAUGCAUCGGCAUGUCAUAAAAGAACAAUUCAUGCACACAUAAUAAAGGCCAAUGCAUAGUAUAAGCAGUUUCUUGCAAUUUCAUAGUAUGGGAAACAUAAAGAGGUGGAGAAAUAGUUCCUCUCUCAUAAUAAUUGCAAGUAGGAGCAGCAAGCACAUGCAUAUUACAUUCAUCAAAAUCAUCAUGUGCAAUGGUAAAAGGCAACCCAUCAACAUAAUCCUUAAUAAGCACAAACUUCUUCGAUAUAGUGUAGUUUUGAGAAUUCAAAAAGAUAAUAGGACUAUCAUGCAUGGGUGCAAUAGAAACAAUUUCAUGUUUUACAUAAGGAACUAUAGCAAGUUCAUAUCCAUAAGCAUAAUUCAUAUUGGCAUCUUGGCCACAAGCAUAGCAAGCAUCAUCAAAAAGGGAUAUUUCAAGAGAAUCAACGGGAUCAUAGCAAUCAUCCUUCGGUAAGCACGAAGGGGAAUUAAAUAAUGUAUGGGAUAAAGAGUUACUCUCAUUAGAAGGUGGGCACGGGUGAUCAAUCCGUUCCUCCUUUUGUUCUUCGCUCUCCUCCUCAUUUGUUUCAUCCAAUGAGCUCACAGUUUCAUCAAUUUCUUCUUCCAUAGCUUCCUGCAAAAUAUUAGUCUCUUCUUGGACAGCGGAGAAGACCUCAAUAUAUGGUUUAACAUAGGCAUUAGAAGCAUAAUUAUCAUAACAAUAUUCAAGUAUGGCAAAGUUUUCAGAUUUAUAGAGAGUAGCAUCAUACUUUUCAAUCAAAUAAGAAAUUUCAUAAGCACCCUUAAAAGCAACAAAUUCUUCAAUUUGUUGAACAUCAUAGUAAUUAUAAACACACUUAGCAUAUGAAGAUACGAUUCCAUUAUCACUAAACAAGCAAUGAUAGGGUAGGUGUUUCUUAUGGUCUUCAGAACAAGAAGUAAAAUCAUAUAGUUCACAUAAAGUCCAAGCAUAGCAUUGCAAACGCUGAAUUUGAUCCCAUAAUAGUUUCCCUUUUUCAGAUAUACGGUGUCGCACAUAACAAGCAUGCUCAUCUGAUUUUCCCUCAACUAAGCUAGUGGGGGUUUCAGCACGAGCACAUAGGGAUCAAAGAUGAUCCAAGUAAAAAGCUUCAGGAGUGCGAUAGAUUUUGAGUGGUUCUUCAACCAUUGGUGUAGUAGGUACAACUAUUUUUUUUGGUAUUUUGCGUUUCCUACCCAUAACUAAAGAUAGAAAACAACUAAGAACAACAAAUAAAAAUUACUCAGUGAUAAAUCAAACAAGCACACAUGAGAAUAUUCACCCCACGCUAUGACUCCCCGGCAAUGGCGCCAGAAAAAGGUCUUGAUGACACGCAAGUAUACGGGAUAGUUGUAGCCUCUUCCGAUAAGUAAGAGUGUCGAACCCAACGAGGAGCUAAAGGUAGAACAAAAACUCUCUCAAGUCCUAUCGGCCACAGAUAUGACUCUACGCACGCUUGACGUUCGCUUUAACUAGAACAAGUAUGAAACUAGAAGUACUUUGAAGGUGUGAUAGGAUAGGUUCGCAAGAUAAUAAAGAACACAUAAAUAAAAAGUAGGGCUGUUUAGAUAAAUAUGCAAUAAAGUAAAUGUAGCGAGUGUGGAAAAGUGGUGGUAGGAGUUGUGAAAUUGUCCCUAAGCAAUUGACUACUUUACUAGACCGAUAGCAAGUUUUAUGUGGGAGAGGCCACUGCUAGCAUGUCAUCCCUGACUUGGAAUUCUAUGCACUUAUGAUUGGAACUAUUAGCAAGCAGUCCGCAACUACUAACCUUCAUUAAGGUAAAACCCAACCAUAGCAUUAAGAUAUAUUGGUCCCCCUUCAAUCCCGUAUGUAUCAAUUUCUAUGCUAGUCUGGAUCUUCUGUCACUCUUGCCCUCCAAUACAUAGUCCUAUCAACAUACAACUAACCCUAUGGUGUGAUCCACGCGCGCGCUCAUAUGAUGGGCACCAUAGGACAGCAAAAUAACAACAAGCAAAUUAAAUCAAUCAUAGCAAUUCAUCAACCACCAAUAGGACAACGAAGAUCUACUCAGACAUCAUAGGAUGGCAACACAUCAUUGGAAAAUAAUAUGAAGCAUAAAGCACCAUGUUCAAGUAGAGGGUACAGCGGGUUGCGGGAGAGUGGACCGCUGUAGAUAGAGGGGGAAGGUCAUCGAGAUGUUGGUGAAGAUGAUGAUGGUGUUGGUGAAGAUCGCCUUACGGAUGGCCCACGAGAGCCCAGGGCAUGCCCCCCUGUCUCGUGGCCACCUCGGACACUGUUUUGCGUUGAUUCUUCCUCCGGAAAAUCCAAAAUAUUCCAAAAUAAUUCUCCGUCCGUUUUUAUCUCAUUUGGAUUCCGUUUGAUAUUGGUUUUAUGUGAAACAUAAAACAUGCAACAAACAGGAACUGGCACUGGGCACUGGCUCAAUAUGUUAGUCCCAAAAAAUAGUAUAAAAUGUUGCCAAAAGUAUAUAAAAGUUGAAUAAUAUUGGCAUGGAACAAUCAAAAAUUAUAGAUACGACAGAGACGUAUCAGCCGGCCACGCUGGAGGUGGUGCGUCGCUGUGUCAGGGAGGAGGACGAGCACGUCCGUCGCUACAUCGCUUCUAUGGACGUCAGGUUCUGCAAUACCUGGCAGGGUCUUUGGGGAGAUGACCAGAGCUAUGAUCCUGUGAUGGUUCCUUUUCUUUGGGUGUCCACCGACCGCGCCUCAGGAAACACGAGUGGCCUAGAUUAUUCUGUAGUAUUCGAUCUUUAUUAGCUAGCUACUAGUGAUGAUAUAUAAUAUUUGAGAUGAUGUAUUCAAGAAUAUAUAUUAUUCGAGACGAUGCAUAUUAUGUACUAUGAUUUUGGAUUUCCUCUUAUUGAUUGCAUGCAUGCAUAUUGUAAUUUGAAUACUAAAUUGUUUUAUAUUUCUUCUAGAUUUGUUAAAUAAAAGCUAUGGCGGACAAUACCGGCAGAGAGGGAGAAGAGGCCCUGUUCGAGAUCAUACUCCCCCCUCGCGCGCCAGAUAAUCGAAAUGAAGAAGAUGACGGCUCCCAAUAUCUGAACAAUACCGGGGAGGGUGAUGAUAUGAUAUUCGAUCGCGACGACCGAAUUGAUGAAGUCAUGGAUUAUGAUGGCGAAGAAAUUAAUAAUUAUGAUGGUGACAAAAUUAAUGAUUAUGAUGGCAAAGAAAAUGUUGAUUUUGAUAAAACAGAGACCGGCGAGGUAUAUUUAUGUAAGCAGGCAUGUGGUGAUCAUCACAUGUUUUAAAUGAUUUGAAGAUAUAUUAACGUAUCAAUCUUUCUUCUUUUCAGCCCUCCGGAUUGAGCAAAUCUUCUACAGGCAGAGGCGAGGCAAGGGAACAAGUUGAAGCAGGCGUAAAGUAAUACAUCGAUGCCAUCAAAACUAAUGGUGAACCAAUAGCGCCUAAGAACAUUGCGAUCAAGUUCGUUCAUUAGUGCGGAGUUCUUGUGAAGGACAAACUCCCGAUCUCCCUUCAAGAAUGGAAAUGGUCAUCAAAGCCCCGUCCAGAUCUUACUUUUGUCGAUGACAGAGCAAAAAAGCACUUUGGGAAGAUCUCAUGGAACAUUUCACCCUAUGAUACGUCUCCAACGUAUCUAUAAUUUUUGAUUGCUCCAUGCUACUUUAUUUACUGUUUUGGACUAUAUUGAGCUUUAUUUUCCACUUUUAUAUUAUUUUUGGGACUAACCUAUUAACCGGAGGCCCAGCCCAUAAUUGCCAUUUUUUGCCUAUUUCAGUAUUUCGAAGAAACAGAAUAUCAAACGGAGUCCAAACGGAAUGAGACCUUUGGGAACGUGAUUUUCUCACCGAACAUGAUCCAGGAGACUUGGACCCUGCUCCAAGGAACAACCGAGGAGGUCACGAGGGUGGGGGGUGCCCCCCCCCCCCUAGGGCGCGCCCCCUACCUCGUGGGCCCCCUGGUGCUCCACCGACGUACUCCUUCCUCCUAUGUAUACCUACGUACCCCCGACAGAUCAAAUAUGGAGCAAAAAAUCUAAUUCCACCGCCGCAACUUUCUGUAUCCACGAGAUCCCAUCUUGGGGCCUGUUCCGGAGCUCCACCGGAGGGGGCAUCUACCACUGAGGGCUUCUACAUCAAGACCGUAGCCUCUCCGAUGAAGUGUGAGUAGUUUACUUCAGACCUUCGGGUCCAUAGCUAGUAGCUAGAUGGCUUCUUCUCUCUUUUUGGGUCUCAAUACAAUGUUCUCUCCCUCUCUUGUGGAGAUCUAUUCAAUGUAAUCUUCUUUUUGCGGUGUGUUUGUUGAGACCGAUGAAUUGUGGGUUUAUGAUCCAGCUUAUCUAUGAAUAAUAUUUGAAUCUUCUCUGAAUUCUUUUAUGUAUGAUUGAGUUAUCUUUGCAAGUCUCUUCGAAUUAUCCGUUUGGUUUGGCCAACUAGAUUGGUAGUUCUUGCAAUGGGAGAAGUGUUUAGCUUUGGGUUCGAUCUUGCGGUGUCCUUACCCAGUGACAGAAAGGGUUGCUAGGCACGUAUUGUAUUGUUGCCAUCGAGGAUAACAAGAUGGGGUUUUUAUCAUAUUGCAUGAAUUUAUCCCUCUACAUCAUGUCAUCUUGCUUAAGGCGUUACUCUGUUUUUAACUUAAUACUCUAGAUGCAUGCUGGAUAGCGGUUGAUGAGUGGAGUAAUAAUAGUAGAUGCAGAAUCGUUUCGAUCUACUUGUCUCGGACGUGAUGCCUAUACACAUGAUCAUACCUAGAUAUACUCAUAAUUAUGCUCAACUCUGUCAAUUGCUCAACAGUAAUUUGUUCACCCACCGUAGCAUACUUAUGCUCUUGAGAGAAGCCACUAGUGAAACCUAUGGCCCCGGGGUCUAUUCUCAUCAUAUCAAUCUCCAUUACUUUAUUACUUGCUUUGUUUUACUUUGCCUUUUACUUUCACUUUGCAUCUCUAUAUCAAAAAUACCAAAAAUAUUAUUUAUCAUCUCUAUCAGAUCUCACCCUCGUAAGUGAUCGUGAAGGGAUUGACAACCCCUAAUCGCGUUGGUUGCGAGUAGCUAUUGUUUUGUGUAGGUACGAGGGACUCGUGCGUGAUCUCCUACUGGAUUGAUACCUUGGUUCUCAAAAACUGAGUGAAAUACUUACGCUACUUUACUGCAUCAUCCUCUCCUCUUCGGGGAAAUCCAACGCAGUGCUCAAGAGGUAGCAAGAAGAAUUUCUGGCGCCGUUGCUGGGGAGUUUGCGCAAAAGUCAACCAUACCAAGUACCCAUCACAAUCCCUAUCUCUCGCAUUACAUUAUUUGCCUCUCGUUUUCCUCUCCCCCACUUCACCCUUGCCGUUUUAUUCGCCCUCUCUUUCCCAAUCUCCUCCUUUCUUUCCCUUUCGCCUUUUUCUCGUUUGCCUUUUUUGCUUGUGCGUUGGAUUACUUGUUGCCAUGGCGCAAGAUAAUACCAAAUUGUGUGACUUCUCAAAUACCAAUAAUAAUGAUUUCCUUAGUACUCCAGUUGCUCCUCUUAAUAAUGAUGAGUCUUGUGAAAUCAAUACCGCUUUGCUGAAUCUUGUUAUGAAAGAUCAAUUCACCGGCCUUCCUAGUGAAGAUGCCGCUACUCAUCUAAACAAUUUUGUUGAUUUGUUUGAUAUGCAAAAGAAGAAAGAUACGGAUAAUAAUAUUGUAAAUUGAAGUUAUUUCCGUUUUCACUUAGAGAUCGUGCUAAAGUUUGGUUUUCGUCUUUGCCUAAAAAUAGUAUUGAUUCUUGGAACAAGUGCAAAGAUGCUUUUAUCUCUAAGUAUUUUCCUCCCGCUAAGAUCAUCACUCUUAGGAACGAUAUUAUGAAUUUUAAACAACUUGAUCAUGAGCAUGUUGCCCAAUCUUGGGAAAGAAUGAAAUUGAUUCUUCGCAAUUGCCCAACUCAUGGUUUGAAUUUAUGGAUGAUCAUACAAAAAUUUUAUGCCGGAUUGAAUUUUGCUUCUAGAAAUCUUUUAGAUUCGGCCACGGGAUGUACGUUUAUGGAAAUUACAUUAGGAGAUGCUACAAAAUUAUUUGAUAAUAUUAUGGCUAAUUAUUCUCAAUGGCACACCGAAAGAUAUUCUAGUAAAAAAGUGCAUGGUAUAGAAGAAAUCAAUGUUUUGAGUGAAAAGAUGGAUGAACUUAUGAAGAUGUUUGCUACUAAAAAUACUUCUCUUGAUCCCAAUGAUAUGCCUUUAUCUACUUUGAUUGAGAAUAAUAAUGAAUCUAUGGAUGUGAAUUUUGUUGGUAGGAAUAGUUUUGGAAAUAACGCGUAUAGAGGGAAUUUUAAUCCUAGGCCUUAUCCUAGUAAUCCUUCUAAUAAUUAUGGAAAUUCAUACAACAACUCUUAUGGAAAUUUUAAUAAGAUGCCCUCUGAAUUUGAGAGUAGUGUUAAAGAGUUUAUGAAUUCACAAAAGAAUUUAAUGCUUUGCUAGAAGAGAAAUUGCUUAAAGUUGAUGAUUUGGCUAGGAACGUUGAUAGAAUUUCUCUUGAAAUUGAUUCUUUAAAGCUUAGAUCUAUUCCUCCUAACCAUGAUAUCAAUGAGUCCCUCAAAGCCAUGAGAAUUUCCAUUGAUGAGUGCAAAGAAAGAACCGCUAGGGUGCGUGCUUCCAAAGAUGCUUUUAUUAAAGCGUGUUCUUCCAAUUCCUAUGAAAAUCAAGAUGAAGAUCUAAAAGUUAUUGAUGUGUCCCCUAUUAAAUCUUUGUCUUGCGAUAUGAAUCUUGAUGAAACUGAAUAUGAUCUUCCUUUACCUAGAAGGCGUUCUAAGAAUUCGGAGUUUCUACAUCUUGAUGGUGAAAUUGAUGAAAGUGGGAUUGAAAGAAAUAAAAACCUAGAUGUUGCUAAACCCACUAUUUUGGAUCUCAAGGAAUUUAAUUAUGAAAAUUGCUCUUUGAUUGGUUGUAUUUCCUUGUUGCAAUCCGUGUUAUAUUCUCCUCAUGCUUAUAGUCAAAAUAAGGCCUUUACCGAACACAUUGUUGAUGCCUUGAUGCAAUCUUAUGAAGAAAAACUUGAGUUGGAAGUUUCUAUCCCUAGAAAACUCUAUGAUGAGUGGGAACCUACUAUUAAAAUUAAAAUUAAAAAUUAUGAGUUUCAUGCUUUGUGUGAUUUGGGUGCUAGUGUCUCCACUAUUCCCAAAACUUUGUGUGAUUUGCUAGAUUUCUGUGACUUUGAAGAUUGCUCUCUAAACUUGCAUCUUGCGUAUUCCACUAUUAAAAAGCCUAUGGGAAGAAUUAAUGAUGUUUUUAUUGUUGAAAAUAGGAAUUAUGUGCCCGUAGAUUUUAUCGUUCUUGAUAUAGAUUGCAAUCCUUCAUGUCCUAUUAUUCUUGGUAGACCUUUCCUUAGAACGAUUGGUGCAAUUAUUGAUAUGAAGGAAGGGAAUAUUAGAUUCCAAUUUCCCUUGAUAAAGGGUAUGGAACACUUCCCUAGAAAUAAAAUAAAAUUACCAUAUGAAUCUAUCAUGAGAGCCACUUAUGGAUUGCCUACCAAAGAUGGCAAAACCUAGAUCUAUCCUUGCUUUUAUGCCUAACUAGGGGCGUUAAACGAUAGCGCUUGUUGGGAGGCAACCCAAUUUUUUUUGCUUAUGUUUAGGAAUAAAUAAUCCAUCUAGCCUCUGGUUAGAUGUAGUUUUGUGUUUUAAUUAGUGUUUGUGCCAAGUAGAACCUAUAGGAUAAGCUAUGAUGAUAGUUGAUUUUAUUCUGCUGAAAAACAGAAACUUUGUGCUCACGAGAAAAAAUUCAAUAAAUCAAAGAAACGUGCUUUUGCAUUGAUUAUUUUUGCUGCUGAUCAAAAAAACAAAUUGUCCAGUACGUCCUAUUUUGGUAGAAUUUUUAGAGUUCCAGAAGUAUGCGUUAGUUACAGAUUGCUACAGACUGUUCUGUUUUCGACAGAUUCUAUUUUUCGUGUGUUGUUUUCUUAUUUCAAUGCAUCUAUGGCUAAUAAAUUAGUUUAUAAACCAUAAGGAAGUUGAAAUACAGUAGGUUUAACACCAAUAUAAAUAAAGAAUGAGUUCAUUACAGUACCUUAAAGUAGUCUUUUGUUCUCUUUCACUAACGGAGCUCACGAGAUUUCUAUUGAGUUUUGUGUUGUGAAGUUUACAAGUUUUGGGUGAAUUCUUUUGAUGGAUUAUGGAACAAGGAGUGGAACGAGCCUAAGCUUGGUGAUGCCCAUGGAACCCCCAAGGUAAUCCAAGGACACCAAAAAGUCAAAGCUUGGGGAUGCCCCGGAAGGCAUCCCCUCUUUCGUCUACUUCCAUCGGUAAUUUACUUGGAGCUAUAUUUUUAUUCACCACAUGUUAUGUGUUUUGCUUGGAGCAUCUUGUAUUAUUUGCGUCUUUGCUUGUUAGUUUACCACAAUCAUCCUUGAUGUACACACCUUUUGAGAGAGCCAUACAUGAUUUGGAAUUUGCUAGAAUACUCUAUGUGCUUCACUUAUAUCUUUUGAGCUUGAUAUUUUGCUCAUAGUGCUUCACUUAUACCUUUUUGAGCGUGAUAAUUUUUGCUCUAGUGCUUCACUUAGAUCUUUUAGAGCACGGUGGUGGAUUUGUUUUAAAGAAACUAUUGAUCUCUCAUGCUUCACUUAGAUUAUUUUGAGUGUCGUCAAUAGCAUGGUAAUUUGCUUAAAGAUAAUAUAUUUGGUAUUCAAGAUAUGUGAAACUUUCUUUUGAGUGUGUUGAAUACUAAGAUAAGUUUAAUGCUUGAUAAUUGUUUUGAGAUAUGGAGGUGAUAAUAUCAAAGCAAUGCUAGUUGGGGUGAUUACGAAUUUAAAGAAUGCUUGUGUUGAAGUUUGUGAUUCCCAUAAAAUGCACGUAUGGUGAACCGCUUUGUGAUGAAGUUGGAGCACAAUUUUAUUUAUUGAUUGUCUUCCUUAUGAGUGGCGGUCGGGGACGAGCGAUGGUCUUUUCCUACCAAUCUAUCCCUCUAGGAGUAUGCGUGUAGUGCUUUGGUUUUUGAUGACUUCUAAAUUUUUGCAACAAGUGCAUGAGUUCUUUUGAUUAAUGUUGAGUCCAUGGAUUAUACGCACUCUCACCCUUCCACCAUUGCUAGCCUCUCUAAUACCGCACACUUUUCGCCGGCAUCAUACACCCACCAUAUACCUUCCUCAAAACAGCCACCAUAUCUACCUAUCAUGGCAUUUCCAUAGCCAUUCCGAGAUAUAUUUCCAUGCAACUUUCCACCAUUCCGUUCAUAUGACACACAUUACUUUUGUCAUAUUUCUUUGUGCAUGAACAUGUAGUUGACAUUGUAUUUGUGGCAAGGCCACCUUCAUAAUUUUCAUACAUGUUGCUCUUGAUUCAUUGCAUAUCCCGGUACACCGCCGGAGGCAUUCAUAUAGAGUCAUAUUUUGUUCUAAGUAUUGAGUUGUAAUUGUUGAGUUGUAAGAAAAAUAAAAGUGUGAUGAUCAUCAUUAUUAGAGCAUUGUCCCAGUGAGGAAAGGAUGAUGGAGACUAUGAUUCCCCCAUAAGUCAGGAUGAGACUCCGGACGAAAAAAAGAGGCCAUAAAAAAAGAGAAAGGCCCAAGACGUAUUUCACAAAUAUAACAAAAACUAUGGACACAUGUGCAAUUUUUUCAUGUAACUUGUUUUAAAAUAUCUUAGAUAUAUUAUACAAAUAUAUUUAAAAUAAUAAAGUAGUAUAUAUAGUACCACAUGCUAGUAUAUGAGACAUGUGGGGUAACUACCACCGGAUGGUAGGAUGGAUUUUCCCUAUAUAUAUAUAUAUAUAUAUAUAUAUAUAUAUAUAUGAGAGAAAAAGAGAGAAGGGACAAUGCUACUAUCAUUUUACCACACUUGUGCUUCAAAGUAGCACCAUGAUCUUCAUGAUAGAGAGUCUCAUAUGUUGUCACUUUUAUAUACUAGUGGGAACUUUUCAUUAUAGAACUUGGCUUGUAUAUUCCAAUGAUGGGCUUCCACAAAAGUGCCCUAGGUCUUUGUGAGCAAGCAAGUUGGAUGCACACCCACUUAGUUUCUUUUGUUUAGCUUUCAUAUACUUAUAGCUAUAGUGCAUCCGUUGCAUGGCAAUCCCUACUCACUCACAUUGAUAUCUAUUAAUGGGCAUCUCCAUAAUCCGUUGAUACGCCUAGUUGAUGUGAUACUAUCUUCUCCUUUUUUGUCUUCUCCACAACCACCAUUCUAUUCCACCUAUAGUGCUAUGUCCAUGGCUCACGCUCAUGUAUAGCGUGAAAGUUGAAAAAGUUUGAGAUUACUAAAGUAUGAAACAAUUGCUUGGCUUGUCAUCGGGGUUGUGCAUGAUUAAAUACUUUGUGUGAUGAAGAUAGAGCUUAGCCAAAGUAUAUGAUUUUGUAGGGAUAACUUUCUUUAGCCAUGCUAUUUUGAGAAGACAUGAUUUCUUUGAUUAGUAUGCUUAAAGUAUUAUUACUUUUAUGUUAAUAUGAACUUUUGUCUUGAAUCUUUCGGAUCUGAAUAUUCAUACCACAUUUAAGAAGAUUUACAUUGAAAUUAUGCCAAACUAUCACUCCGCAUCAAAAAUUCUUUUUUAUCAUUUACCUACUCAAGGACGAGCAGGAAUUAAGCUUGGGGAUGCUUGAUACGUCUCCAACGUAUCUAUAAUUUUUGAUUGCUCCAUGCUACUUUAUUUACUGUUUUGGACUAUAUUGGGCUUUAUUUUCCACUUUUAUAUUAUUUUUGGGACUAACCUAUUAACCGGAGGCCCAGCCCAGAAUUGAUGUUUUUUGCCUAUUUCAGUAUUUCGAAGAAACAGAAUAUCAAACGGAGUCCAAACGGAAUGAAACCUUCGGGAACGUGAUUUUCUCACCGAACGUGAUCCAGGAGACUUGGACCCUGCUCCAAGGAACAAUCGAGGAGGUCACGAGGGUGGGGGGCGCCCCCCCUAGGGCACGCCACCUACCUCGUGGGCUCCCUGGUGCUCCACCGACGUACUCCUUCCUCCUAUAUAUACCUACGUACCCCCGACAGAUCAAAUACGGAGCAAAAAAAUAUAAUUCCACCGCCGCAACUUUCUGUAUCCACGAGAUCCCAUCUUGGGGCCUGUUCCGGAGCUCCACUGGAGGGGGCAUCUACCACGGAGGGCUUCUACAUCAACACCAUAGCCUCUCCGAUGAAGUGUGAGUAGUUUACUUCAGACCUUCGGGUCCAUAGCUAGUAGCUAGAUGGCUUCUUCUCUCUUUUUGGGUCUCAAUACAAUGUUCUCCCCCUCUCUUGUGGAGAUCUAUUCAAUGUAAUCUUCGUUUUGCGGUGUGUUUGUUGAGAUCGAUGAAUUGUGGGUUUAUGAUCCAGCUUAUCUAUGAAUAAUAUUUGAAUCUUCUCUGAAUUCUUUUAUGUAUGAUUGAGUUAUCUUUGCAAGUCUCUUCGAAUUAUCCGUUUGGUUUGGCCAACUAGAUUGGUAGUUCUUGCAAUGGGAGAAGUGUUUAGCUUUGGGUUCGAUCUUGCGGUGUCCUUACCCAGUGACAGAAAGGGUUGCAAGGCACGUAUUGUAUUGUUGCCAUCGAGGAUAACAAGAUGGGGUAUUUAUCAUAUUGCAUGAAUUUAUCCUCUACAUCAUGUCAUCUUGCUUAAGGCGUUACUCUGUUUUUAACUUAAUACUCUAGAUGCAUGCUGGAUAGCGGUCGAUGAGUGGAGUAAUAGUAGUAGAUGCAGAAUCGUUUCGAUCUACUUGUCUCGGACGUGAUGCCUAUACACAUGAUCAUACCUAGAUAUACUCAUAAUUAUGCUCAAUUCUGUCAGUUGCUCAACAGUAAUUUGUUCACCCACCGUAGAAUACUUAUGCUCUUGAGAGAAGCCACUAGUGAAACCUAUGGCCCCCGGGUCUAUUCUCAUCAUAUCAAUCUCCAUUACUUUAUUACUUGCUUUGUUUUACUUUGCCUUUUACUUUUCACUUUGCAUCUCUAUAUCAAAAAUACCAAAAAUAUUAUUUAUCAUCUCUAUCAGAUCUCACCCUCAUAAGUGACCGUGAAGGGAUUGACAACCCCUAAUCGCGUUGGUUGUGAGUAGCUAUCGUUUUGUGUAGGUACGAGGGACUCGUGCGUGAUCUCCUACUGGAUUGAUACCUUGGUUCUCAAAAACUGAGGGAAAUACUUACGCUACUUUACUACAUCAUCCUCUCCUCUUCGGGGAAAUCCAACGCAGUGCUCAAGAGGUAGCACCCUACCAGAUCAUUUCAUAGUUGUAGAUGUGGAGAAAGUCAAGGACGCUGCUCUUAGGAAGAUGGCAAUUGCAUUCAACAACCACAAGAAAACUGUAUGGAAGGACUACAUCAAAGCAGGAAAGAAGACUCCAGAAUUCAAGGGAACACUGGAGAACCAAAGAGAACAUUGGGACGAUUUCGUGAAAUUCAAGGAAUCAGAACUAUCUAAGGAACGGACCAGAAAAAAUAAGGCCAAUGCCGCAAAAAAGGAGCAAUUCCAUAGGAUGGGGCCAGGUGGCUACGCGAUGGAAAUGCCUAAGUGGGAUAAGCUUGAACAAGAGAUGCUGGCUGCAUAGGUCACUCCAGUUACAUUGAGCUGGCCCCCCAGGUGCAGAAGUUGGUUCUAUGCGCAUGAGGGGCGUUGGACCCGAAGACACGCUCGGUUUCGAAGAAGGCAUGUCUUAAAGGAGCCGAUGAAAAGUUAGUUGAAGCAAUAUAAGAAGCUCGAAAGGGGGUGUUCACGCCCAACAGAGAGAACAACGAGCUUACGCGCGCCCUUGGAAAUCCUGAACACCCGGGAAGAACAUGAGGCAAGGGCAUUGUUCCAUGGUAUGAGGGCUUUUCUGAGUGAAAUGCCGACUACAGAAGCCGUGCGAGAAGGAAGAUGGAGGAGGAGAAGAAGAAGAAGCUGGAGGACGAGCAGAGGAAGCAGGAAGCAGAAUGGCUUCAAGGCCUAGAAUCAGCGCACGCGGACUUGGCACUCAAAUUGCAGAGGCAGCAGGAGCAGAUCGGCUCGCUUAGCCACGAAAGGGGGUCCCAGCAGCGGCCGCAGCUAGCGGAUGAUCCAGCAUUGGAUAGCACCAUCCCAUCCAUGCCGAGAAGUAGCAUGGGUUCCGCCCCGGGCGACACACUGCUGGAUAGAUACCCUGUGGAUGCCAUCAUGGAGAACACUAACUGUGAGCUACACUUCAAAAUAAAGGAUAUAUCCGUGAAGGCGGCAGACGUCGUUGCUUAUACAAAUCCCCCCGGAGCAACCUACCAUUCCAGAACGAUUCCAGCCGGCUAUGCUCAUGUCGUGGUUGAUGAGGUGGUGGACCAUUAUUCGGGGCUACAGCUUGACAUUCCUGGAGGUGACGAGGAGCAGACACUGGGAGAGGCCAUACAUCGUAUCAUCCUAUGGAGAAAGGAUUGUAUCAUCUUUCGAAAGGCCACCGACACCGCGUCAGCUAGAGCUUGAAAUUCCAGGAGGUGACGAGGAGCAGACGACUCACGCUCCUCCAACGCGUGAGGCCACUCCUCCUGCUUCAACUCAGCCAACGCGUGAGGCCACUCCUCCUGCUUCAACUCAGCCAAGGCGUGAGGCCACUCCUCCUGCUUCAACUCAGCCAACGCGUGAGGCCACUCGUCCUGCUUCAACUCAGCCAACGCGUAAGGCCACUCCUCCUGCUUCAACUCAUCCAAUGCAUGAGGCCACUCCUCCUCCUCCAAGUCCACCAACGCGUGCCACUCCAAGUUCGACACCGCGUCAGCCAUCUCCGCUGCCUCAGCAAUCGCGGAAGAGAGCCGCUGCAGCUAUGGUGCGUAGUGCUACAAGUCGAGGUAGUACAGGAGGUACAGGCGGAGGCAAGUGAUUUCAAUAUGGUCCAAAAAUCCUUGCGCCUCUUCCGCAGAGGCCUUACGACAUGACCAAGGAGCAAAACAAAUCCAUAGUGAAGGCCCAAGUGGAGGCCCAUUUCGCACCAAAACCGGCACUGCCGCUAAGGGAGAAAGUGCCCGAGGAGAAGAUUGACCAGUUUAUUCGUAUGGCGCGACCACCAGCUCCCAAGCCUGUUGACUUAGACUACGAGCGCCAAAUCAGGAAGGCACAUCGAGCACGACAACAGGGGUCGAGCUCGAGCUUGAGGCAAGCAGCUGGCCAAAAAUGCGGGAAAACCGUUCCCCAGCUAGGAGAACAGGUGGCGCAAUCGAUCCCCCCACUUGUUGUACCAACACAUGAGAGUACCGCCUCCGGUCAGCUGGUAAUAACCGACGAGCAUAGACAGAACGCUGAAAUGCUCGGUAUCACUUUUGGACAACUCCUCGAGAUUGAGCCCAUGCCUAAGCUUAAAGAGCAAGACAUAAAAUGGAAAUAUACCCGCGGCCAACCUUUGGUAAGGCCUGAGGAGGUCAAGAACCUCCCAACGAGAAUGUAUCAAUUGCAUGAUUAAUACAUGAAAAUUACCAAGAGUAACAAUCGAGAGGGCCUCAUGGUAAAAGUCAAGGAAGAGUAUUACUUCCAUAAGCUAGCUCUGUCCAUUGAGUAUUCAGAACUAUUUCAAUUAUUCCAUCAAGAAGCACUCGACAAAUCCAUCAUCAGUUUGUAUUGUCUGUAAGUGAUUUCUUUCUGUAAUUCAAGUCUCAAGCUAGUUGUAGUGCUCAUUGAUCGAUCAUUACCUGUAAUUAUCCUCACUAUAUUCUUUUCUGUGGUAUUAUGCAGGAUGAAGAUGUAUGAAAUGAAAAAAGAUGGACGCUAUGGCAUUGGGUUCAUUGACCCAAAUACCAUUAAUGAAGAAACAUGGACAUAUCAGUGGUAUCAAGAAGAAGUAGAGAAAAACAUGCUAGAGUUCUUGAAACGCCUCAAUACUAAUGAACAUAUACUACUUCCUUACAACUACACGUGAGUCACACUGUCUUGUACUAUAAAUUCUGUUUUUACUUACUAGCUAGCUAGAUGUCAAUAAUUAAGUGUAUAGGGGUUUAGGGUAGUUGAUGAGUGUUAUGCACAUGCCCGCUUAAUUAAGACAUGCAAACGUAUGUGCAUGCAGUUACCAUUGGAUCUUGUUAAUCAUUAAAGUUGACGAAGGAACAGUUGAAGUACUGGACUCACUACUUAAAGAAAAACACACCUACUCAAUCGUGAAGGGGAUAGUCGACAGGUAAUUUCAAUCAUUAUUAACUAUAUGUCGGCCACUUUAGUUCAUAAUUUCCUGAUAUCAACUAUUUAAUAACUCGUUUAUUCAUUUUCCAGGCGAAUGGAAAGAAAAGCUGUAUUGGUUUCGACCCAAGAUAUAAUUAAUUAAGUAGUACUAGCUAGCUACCAUGCAUCUCUUUAAUUCCGGACUAUAGAACCGGCACUAAAGCCCCUUACGAACCGGGGCUAUAGCCCGGUUCUGCACUAGUGCAUCUCUUUAAUUCUAGUUUCAAUACCAUUAAUUAUCAUGCUUGAUUAAUUAUGAUCUGAUUAAAUUUUAUUCUCGUAAAGGCCCUGAAGCAGGCACAGGGGAGAGAUCAGUGUGCAUACUGCGUUUUCGAGAACAUUCGCAUGAUGACGUCUGAAAGGACCAAAACUGAUAGACAGCUAUGGGUACGCGCGUUUGACAGAACACUAUUCACAAUUUUUACGUCAUUAUCGAUAUCUAGUCACAUAACUAAUACACAUGCAUAUUAAUCUUUUUCUUAACAGUUCGGAUCGGUGCGGGACACGCUCCUAACAAAGGAGCGCAUACGAGCCCUUCAAGAGGAAAUAGCGGGAUUUUUGCUCGACAAGGUCAUAGAUCCCAAAGGGGAAUUCUACUACGAGUUACCGCCCCAAUGAACUACUCCCAAUUGUCAUCGUGCUCCGAAGACACCAAGGCAAAUGCCACUGGCUCUGAAGGCUACAUGUAGGAAGAACUGUGUGUGUGUGUGUGUGUAUACGGUUCUACCAGAAAUUCUAUUUAUAUAUAUGCAUAAUGUGUACAAUAUGUAGUAUCGUAAAAUACCAGCAAACAAAAAAAAUUAAAUGAAAAACACAAAAUUAAAGGAAAAAUAAAUAAUAAAACCAAAAUCCCCCAAACUUUUUAGUAUCGGUUGGUAACACCAGCCGGUACUAAAGCUCUCCCCACACCCGGCCCUGCCUCGUGCCACGUGGUGGCCCUUUAGCGGCGAUUUGUGCCUAACCGGUACUAAGGGAGGGGAUCUUUAGUCCCCACCCUUUAGUGCCGGUUACAGAACCGGCACUAAAGCCCCUUACGAACCGAGGCUAUAGCCCGGUUUUGCACUAGUGCCAGCAGGUGCCACCCCGGGCACACACUACCACUGUGUCGCCAUCAUACAUAUGUGCGCCAACCGCGCCUGCACGUUGCUCAGCUCCAGCACCAUACCUUGUCCCGGGGGCGCUGGCCCGUGCCAACACCCACGCGUGAAGGAACCAAGAGGCCCCACCACUGACCGCGCCAAUCGGGCUUCGCCUGGCCGUGCCUUCUGAGGAAGGCGAGGAAGGAGGAGGGGCAGCCUGUUGGUGGCGAUCUAGGGCCCCCCUUCUUGUCGCCACGCGGAGGCGACGCAAGAGGGGUGGGAUUUGUUUUCCGUUGGAUAUGGUGGCAUUUAGUACCUGGCAAUCAACACAUGUUCUUCCAUUGAUCUAAAUGACAGUUCAAAAGAAAAAUCUUUGAUUGCGUAUCUUUCACAAAGAGGACAUGUAUGCCCAGUCAUGCAUCAAUGAGAUCUAUAUUAAAGUUCAAGGACUCAAGAUAGGUAAGAAGUAACAAGAGGAUUGGGAGAUAAUGGAACAAGUCACUCUCCCAGCCUCUGCAGCAGCUCUAUAAAUUACAGAGUGUGCUAGUAUCUGAAAACCUAGAGCGUGUUGGAACCAAGGAUCGAUGAACAAUCAGAAGAACACGAGGAGAUGGAACACCCGCGGCGACGGACGCCCCCCGGCGAAGAACACCGGGGCCGUUUUCCUUCACUGUAUCCAAUUGGCUCAACGAACAAGACGCAAUGCAUUAAGAAUCAUUAUAACCGUGCAGCUUUCGAGCCCUCUCAGGCCAUCAACGUUCAGAGCCGUCCGAUCGUCACUUUUUGCCAUUUUUGACCGUCGGAUUGGCCCUGGAUCGCAUGUACGCUCCUCCGUUCGCUACAAUGGAGCGCUAACCGUCCCGGGCCGCUGCUCCGGUGACUUUUUUGGGCUUCUGUCGUUAAAUUUGGCUUAAUGGGCUUUUACCAGCCUCCCAUCCGUGCAGUCGAAGGGGAAAAAAACACGACUCUCGCAACUCUCGUUUGGCUCACAAGGUCGCAACCUUCCUCGUUCGCGUGGCGGCUCCUCGCGACCAUGACGGCUUCGAUCGAUGCGUGAGCGACGACUCACAUGGCCAAUACGCUAGGUUCUGCCGACACGACAAACGGCCUUGUCGGGCGACGGCACCGGAUCCGCUGGGUUGUCUAGGCUCGGUUGUACUUGCACAGCACGACGGGAAGAUGCAGUGGCGGCGAACAGCAGUAUGUCGAUUGGAGUUCUAUCGCCAGCGAUUGAUUGAGUGGUUAAUGGCCGUUCAAAGCACGUCAGUUUCGUUUGUCUAUUCAUAUUUUUUCCUUUAAGUCACGGGCGCCCAUAUAAUCCCAACCUGGCCGCUGCUCCUUCCACACUUUCCUGACUUCCACAAAUCAUUCUCCCACAGCCAUUGGUGAUGCUUAGGUCUCUAAUUUAUCCCAAUNNNNNNNNNNNNNNNNNNNNNNNNNNNNNNNNNNNNNNNNNNNNNNNNNNNNNNNNNNNNNNNNNNNNNNNNNNNNNNNNNNNNNNNNNNNNNNNNNNNNNNNNNNNNNNNNNNNNNNNNNNNNNNNNNNNNNNNNNNNNNNNNNNNNNNNNNNNNNNNNNNNNNNNNNNNNNNNNNNNNNNNNNNNNNNNNNNNNNNNNNNNNNNNNNNNNNNNNNNNNNNNNNNNNNNNNNNNNNNNNNNNNNNNNNNNNNNNNNNNNNNNNNNNNNNNNNNNNNNNNNNNNNNNNNNNNNNNNNNNNNNNNNNNNNNNNNNNNNNNNNNNNNNNNNNNNNNNNNNNNNNNNNNNNNNNNNNNNNNNNNNNNNNNNNNNNNNNNNNNNNNNNNNNNNNNNNNNNNNNNNNNNNNNNNNNNNNNNNNNNNNNNNNNNNNNNNNNNNNNNNNNNNNNNNNNNNNNNNNNNNNNNNNNNNNNNNNNNNNNNNNNNNNNNNNNNNNNNNNNNNNNNNNNNUUCCCCCAAUUCUUCAUCCGUUCUCAGAAAAUUUGUUUCAUUGAUGUUGUUCUUUCAGUUCACAAACAAUGCAGGUUCGUUCUGCUAGGUUAGCUAAUUAUGCUGGAUUAAAUGGUUUAGGCAUUACCCAUUUGGAAUGUGAUGCGCUGAUUUCAAUUUCACUGGUUUUGUUCGAGUUGUUGCUAUAAUAGUUUAGAGAGAUCUAUAUAUUACCCCCUGCUGCUCGCAUUAUUCUUUCACCAAGUGCACUUAGCGUAAUCAUCUGAGUUUUUGCAAUCUGCUGCAAUAUUAUCCCUUUUACGGAUGUAUUCUUUGGCUAAUAAUUCAAAAUGACUGCAGGUUCUUUAGACGGGCGGAUUUCUUUAUUUCCUGCAGCCGGAUCUGCCAAUAUAGUGGCCAACGGACAGGUUACUAUGAGUAUGCUCCUAUGUUGUUAUGCCUCAUUUAACUUAGUGCCCCAUCUCACUAUCUAUGCGUACUAUAUGAUGCCACUCUGCCAUUCUCUAUUCUUACAAUAUGAUAACACUCUCUAUGAUUGAUUGAAAUACUUGCAAUACCGCCUGUUUUUCUUGCCCUAUGUAGAAGGUUAGUUAGCAAGUAAAAAAUGCACAAACGAAAUAGGUAAAUUUUUCAAGGCGUUGAUGCCUCCGCAUCACAUUCUGGAUAUAAACAUAUUGUGCUUAUCAGAUCACUUUGACAAAAUUCCGAUGCAGAAGAAUAAGCAAACCAAGUGAAACCGAAGUCCAGUCGAUUGAUCCAGAGAACCUGCUUUAAUUUUGGGGGUGCAAAGAAUAGCAUCAAUAAGAAAUCAAUAACGUGAGCAGAAUUGGGAAAAGAGUGUAGAUAGGAAGGAGGGAACACCUGCAGAAGGGGGGAGAUGAAUUAUUGACUUAGUGUGAACCAUGCCUGCUGGUGAAGGAUUUGCCAAAGUAAGGAGGGGAAUGAGGAAGCAGAACUGGAUGAUGGAGCCCACGCUGCCUGUAUGUGUAAUUCUACUGGUUUUAGUGUGUCUAGCAUAUUCUUUAUCCUGCCAUUCAUUUAACAAAUUGAGCAGUGCACAAAACUGAGGUCCUGAUCUCAGCCUACAAUGUUAUUUUUCCUGUAAUUUGAUGUCAAUAGAUCAAUUUUGAUGCUUGCCCUGCUGAAAGUUACACCAUGAAAUAUAGAGGAUUAGUUCUGUCAGCAAGGUAUCAGAUUAUUAAACUUAUCAAGUUUAGGUACCUUGUGAAUUUAUGGUCGGAGCUCAGAGGAAGUUGAAAAGUAGCAAACAAGUCAGCUCAGGUUGGUUUUGAUGAACUGCUUGCUAAUUUGAUACAUAUCGACAUACAGUUCCAUGUAUAUGUUUGCUAUAUCACACCGACGGCUGAGGCCGGCCAUCGACGCCCGACGAUGGUGACAAUGGGCAAGAUUUUUUUUUGGUUAGUCGGCCCUUUGAUUUAUUCUAUGUGAUAAUAUUAGUCCGCACUAGGAUUUAGGCUGUACCAAUUUCUUGAUAUAGACGGAAUUAAUUAGGGGCAGCAAUCUCGUGUUUUAUCCUCACAAAUUAGACAUGACAUGUUGAUUCUAUCAUUUGAUUAAAUUUGUCGCCGGUUAUGUUUGUGUUUGUGUAGUUAUGAAGAGUAAAAACAACAUAUAGAUUUUACGAGAUAGUUGGAUCAAGCAAACAAUGAAGGACCACAACAAACCAUCAAAAUCUUUCAACAUAUUUGCUAUGUAUAAGAAAUCUUUCCUCAUAACAGUACAUUUGGUUACUAUACGCUUGUCCGCAGGACUAGCAAGUCUGUGUUUCAUAGUAUUCCACCACUGUUGUCCUCUGUAACAAGGAAAGAAUGUGAUGCACGCCUGCAACAAUCCAUAGCAAGAAUUGCAACAUGCUAUUUAUAUCACCAUCAUCACUUUGUUUCUGUGUUGUUAAGCUAUUUUGUUUCGAAAUCUUCAUGGUGAUGCGAAUUAGUGAGAUCAUGAAGUAACCAUAAGUUCCAGAUCUUCGGAUAAAGAUUGUCUACAAGAUGAUGCAUUAGAUUUUUAUAGUUAACUAACAAUUAUAGCGGGUAUGCCAUUUUACCGUUCUAACAUCAAAGGAGUAUAUACUCAUCAUGGUGAUUGUAAAAACAAGUGACCCUUCUACUUUAGAUUUGUGGUUACUUGUGGUUAACACAUAAUAACUUACAUUUCAAUGUCUCCAUAUAUUUCUGAAUUCACUAUCAUUCUAUUGAAAAAAUGGACGGGCGCGGCAGCGCGCGCCAUCAUGGUCUAGUUUUCUUAUAUAGCCCAGCACACACAGGGCCGGCAGCCACACUUGGCCACGCACGCACGUAGCACCCACUAACCAACCCUACAUGCAAGUCCAUAUCCAGCUGAUGCAUGCACGCACUAACCAACUAGCCUACUACUUCCUCCGUCCGGAAAUACUUGUCCUAGAAACACUAGUAGAAAAGGGGGCAUCAGUCCCGGUUCGUAAGGGCUUUUAGUCCCGGUUCUUGAACCGGGACUAAAGGGUCGUUACUAAUGCCUCCCCCCUUUAGUCCUGGUUCAAACUGGAACCGGGACUAAAGGUCGCGGCCACGUGGAGCUCUACGUUUAGUCCCAGUUGGUAACACCAACCGGGACUAAAGGAAAUUCUAUGAUUUUUUUUUCUAAAUUUUUUUUGAUUUUUUUUAUUUUUAAAUUUCUGAAUUAUUUUAACCUCUAAUCUCUAAUCACCACCUCUCAUCACUGCUCAAUUUAUCCUCUAAUCUCUAAUCAUCCCUCAUCAUUCCUAAUCAUCUAACUUCUCGAACGGUCACCCAUCCUCCCACUCCCUCAGCCUGAGCACGCUUUAUUUCCGGAUUCUAUUCUCCCUCGUUUCCAAGUCUGCACUUGUUGUUUUCUUGACAAUAGUAAGAUGUAAAUCCUAUUAACCCUCAGGAAUUUUGCGUGAGCAUGAAGUGACACAUUUCACUGUUUGAGUUUGAAACUAUUGUUUUAAAAAACAAUAAUUAUUUAGUAACACAAUAUUUCUUGAAUAAUUAGUUUGACCAUUGUUUGACCAUAGUUUGACCACAGUUUGACCAGAUUUGACCAAAAUUCAAAAUAACUAAAAUAAUUAUUUAGUAACACUAAUAUUCUAGAAUAAUUAGUUUGACCAUUGUUUGACCAUUGUUUGAACACAGUUUGAAUUUUUUUUGAUUUUUUUCACUCUAGAUCUUAAAAGCCCCGUAACUAUUUUUCUGUUAGGUUUUUGAGGAUUUUGAAAAUGUUUAACGGUAGACCACAUAUCACAUGGGAAACUUUUUUUGACAUUUUCAUCAUUUUCUUUUUUUUAACUGAAAACGCGGCCCGGGGGGUGGAGUUUGAAAAAUGUGACCUUUAGUACCGGUUCGUGCCAUGAACCGGUACUAAUGCCUCAAACCCCAUUAGUACCGGUUGGUGGCUCGAACCGGGACUAAAGGUCUAACCUUUAGUCCCGGUUGGUGCCACGAACCGGUACUAAAGGGCAUCGCACCCUUUAGUCUCGGUUCGUGGCACCAACCGGGACUAAAAGGUCUAGACGAACCGAUACAAAUGGCCGAUGUGGCCCCUGGACGCACGAACCGGGACUAAUGCCUCCAUUAGUCCCGGUUCUAGACUAAACCGGGACUAAUGGGCUAAUCCGGGGUGGACCAAAGCCCUCUUUUCUACUAGUGAAAUGAAUGUACCUAGCCUUAUUUUAGUUAUAGAUACAUCCAUUUUAUCCAUUUUUAGAACAAGUAUUUUCGGACAGAGGGAGUACUAGCUAACAACACGUAGCGCUCACGGAAGCAACGCUCUUCCCGCGCAUGCCUCCCUGGCGAUCCGGUCUUUUCUCCAUCGUGAGCCCGCCUGCUCGUCUGAACGACCUGGCCCAGGUUGCUUUGCUGCACACUACCUCGGUCGCCCUGUGACUACAUGCCUAGCCACAAACCGGCUCAAACUAGACUCACUCCGUGAUAUGGACACAGACGUGAGCACGAACUCAGGCGCCACCGCGACACACACGCACCACGAACACAGACACGGCCAUGAACCGAUGCCUGAACUCGCCCUAGAACUAGACACAUACUGGUCACCACGACGAGUCGUGGUUUAUGCCUAACAGAGCGAGCAGCAAGGUACUGUAUUACAUUUCCACUGAUGCAUAGGUCCGGAUUAAAUCAAACUUCAUGAGAUAUAUAGCUAGGUCAUAUUUCCUUUCCUGCUGGCAAUGGGGACACCUUAAAUUUUGCCCGUACGAAUAGUGAUGCCUUAAUUUUUAUCUCCAUCGUAUAUGUUAGCAAGCUAGCUAGGUUGGGAGGCAAAAGGGAACUAAGCAUGCAAACAUAGCUAGCUUGUCCGCUUCAAGGUCUUUUCACACGAUUGAAUUCUCAAUGAUGUAGUUAAUUGUCGCUCAGAAAUGCACAUCUUUGCUCUGAAAAUACUUGUCGGAGGAAUGGAUGUAUCUAGACGCAAUUUAGUUUUAGAUACACCCAUUUUCAUCCAUUUCUCCGACAAGUAUUUCCGGACAGAGGGAGUAGCUGUCAAGACCUAGAAAGGGCACCAUGUAGAAAAACGUUUCUGCUCCGGUGCUCCCCCCUGGGUUGAACGCGAGGGGAGAAACACAAGGACGGCUGAGAUCUGUCAAAAACGAUUCGUGAAGAGGGGCACGAUCGUCUUUUUAUGCCCGAGGAGAACGUGCGUACAGCCCUGUAGAAGCCCGCACCGGCGCGCGUACAACCCUGUACAAGCCCGCACCGGCCCGAUUACUUUUGUACACUGAGGGUAUACAUGUAUUGUACGUGGGCGUUUCGUUUUCCCUUGUCACGUGCUGCGGUCGUGGGCGUGGGCGGCGGCGGUCGUGGGCUAGAUUAAAAAUUACAAAAGAAAUAAAGAAAAUAAAAAAGAGAAAUAAAAAAUCAACUACGCGAACAAAAAAUUAAAAUAAAGAACAUUUUUUAAAUUUGUGAACAAAACUUUCAAAAAACAUAUUUUGAACUUCGGGAAAGUAUUUUGAAAGUGUGAAUAUUUUUAAAAAAAUUGGGAACAAAAUUUGAAACAGGAACAUUUCGUGAAGUUUUGAACAAUUUAUGUGCAACACAAAAUUGUUUUUGAAAAAACGAAAAUAAACUUGAAAACGGGAAAAAUAAAAACGAAAAAAAUGAAAAAGAAAGAAAAAGAAACAGAAAAAGGCAAAAAAAAGAAAAAGAAAAAAGGAAAAAGAAAAAAAAACGGUUCAGGAAUCUCCUAGAAGGUUCCCAAAACCAAAGAAAACCGGCUGGGAACCAGCUAGAAAGUUCCCAAAACCGGAAUGGCUGAUAAGUUUAACGGGCUGGCCCAUCCCGAACGGUCGUCGCGGUCCCCGUGUGCGUCGCUGCAGCAGUUUGCCGCAAAGAGCGGCAAAUAAAAAAAACCUUGUAAACGAGCCACGUAAGGGACGAACUGGGUGGGCUGCGUUUUUGUCCUGUUCUUUUAUGUGUCGGGGCAGGCUUUGGACAGUGGGCUGGAAAAGACAAUUUUUUACUUUGUUUGUUGGGUUUUAUUCUGCCGGGGUCAGCUUCUGUUUUCUUAUUAUUUCCUACAAGAGGGAACGGACAUAUACAUAGACUGAAGUGCAUUGUGUCCGUAUUAGGAGCAGUAUGACAUAUUUAGCUUACAAGCCUUGUAAAUUAUUAUUAUUAUUACUUUUUUAUUUUUUAUUUUAUUUUCCAAUUUUGGGUUUAUACCGGAUUGUUAAACUAAGUUUUAGCCAAGUCCCAAUCAACUCUUUGGCCAUGAGAUUUUCCUAUGCUUGUUUUUGUAUUAAAUUGAAAUGUUUUAGGAGCGCGACUGACCUGUUUCAUUUUCUUCUUUGUUUUUUAUUUCUCUAGUGUCGGCCGGGUAUGCGGUAUGGGCUGACCUUUAGCGGUUAUUUUUUCUUGUCUAGUUUUGGGAUUUCCCUUUUUGUUUUUUAGGCUGCAAUUUUUCAGCGGGGAAAACAUACCGUCGGAAGAGGGAGGGGAAUCGGUUGAGAACUGUCGGGAGAAACCAUUUUGUAUCAUCAUUAUAUUUUGUGUUUGUUUUGUAAGUGUGUAAUGUUUUUUUGUCUAUGUUUCUUGUGAUGAUGAUUUCUAUUAUUGCGUUUUGUAUUUUGAACCUUCUCCUGCUUUUCUAUUGUUCUUAAAACUUUUUUGUACCAUUUUUUNNNNNNNNNNNNNNNNNNNNNNNNNNNNNNNNNNNNNNNNNNNNNNNNNNNNNNNNNNNNNNNNNNNNNNNNNNNNNNNNNNNNNNNNNNNNNNNNNNNNNNNNNNNNNNNNNNNNNNNNNNNNNNNNNNNNNNNNNNNNNNNNNNNNNNNNNNNNNNNNNNNNNNNNNNNNNNNNNNNNNNNNNNNNNNNNNNNNNNNNNNNNNNNNNNNNNNNNNNNNNNNNNNNNNNNNNNNNNNNNNNNNNNNNNAGGGUCAACUUCAUGUCUGCCACCACGCAUGCAACUGCAAGUGUCACCCUCGAUUGCAACUCUAUUUUUCUGUGUGAGAGGGGCAGCUCCAUGUUUGUCACCAGGCAUGCAACUGCAAGUGUCGCCCUUGACUGCAACUAUAUGUGUUGUUUGUCGGUCGCGGAAGGGAGGCAGUUGCAUUACUACCACUAGGCACACAACUACAAGUGUCGCCCCAUCUGGAACCGCAUGUCAUCAACGUGAUUGCAUCUCUAUGGUGUUUUUGUCCGGGGAGGGAGCACUUUCGUGUCUGCCACUAGGCACACAACUGCAAGUGUCGCCCUGAAUGCAACUGCAUGUCUUCAAUGCGACUGCAACUUACCAGUGUCUUGUCGAGGGUAAGGAAGUUGUAUGUCAGUCACUAGGCACGCAACUGCAAGUGUUGAACAUGACUACAACUGCAUGUCUUGAACGCGGUUGCAACUUAUAGUGGUGUUUUAUCGUAGGAGGGGCUAGUUGCAUGUUUUCCACUAAGCAUGUCUUCAACGCGAUUGCAAGUGUCGCCCUGACUGCAAUUGCAUGUCUUCAACACGACUACGACUUACCGGUGUUUUGUCAAGGGGAAGGAAGUUGCAUGUCAGGCACUAGGCACGCAACUGCAAGUGUCGCCCUUCGAUUGCAAACUGCAUGUCUUCAAUUCGAUUGCAACUUAGUGGUGUUUUGUCAGGUGAGGGGGCAGUUGCAUGUCUUGUACUAAGCAUGUAACUGCAAGUGUCGCCCGCGACUGCAAUUGUAUGUCUCCAACGCAAUUGCAACUCCGUUGUGUUUUAUCGGGGAGGGCGGUGGAAGUUGCAUGUCUACCACUAGACAUGCAACUACAAGUGUCGCCUUCGGUUGCAAUUUUGUGGUGUUUUGUGGCGAGGGGAUAGUUGCAUGUCUGCCACUAGGCACAACUACAGAUGUCACAUUUCAAUUGUAUGUCGUCCAUCCUAUUGCAAUUGUAUGUCCUCUAUACAACUGCAACUUAAUGGCGUUUUGUUGAGGUUAGGGCGGUAGUUGCAUGUCUAAUUAUUUGAUUGAAUUUAUUUGCAAAUACCAAUGUAUAAUGAAAAUAUUUUCUUAAAAUACAAAUUUCUUUUAAAAUUGGGCUAACACUUUGCAUUUAUUUUUUCAGGAACAAGAAAAGAAAAAUGAAAUAAGGCUUAAAACAACCAUGAAAUUUGACAGGUGUUCAUGAAAUACACCUUUUAAAAAAUGCUAGCCUAUUUAAAAAAACCAUGUAUUUUUCAAUAAAUAUAGAUAUUUCUUGAAAGAAAGAAAGUACAAACAAGAAAGAAGAAAAUAAAAACAAAGGCAGAAGAAAAAAGAAACAGGAGGCAACUACUCCUAGGAGUAGAUAAAAAAAACAAUGAAGUAAGAAAAUAGAGAAACAACAGAAAGGAAAGGGAAAAAAACUCAAAAUUAUUGAUGUUCCAACUUUUUUAGUCUAAUUCAUUUUUCCAACUAAACCAGAAAAUAUUUAAACCCGUAGCUAGGGUGUGCGCUGGGGUAGUUAUAUACCCACACAUAACUAUUAUCUUUUCAUUUUAUGCUUUUUUAUUUUAAAUUAUUUCUAUAGUGUUUUCUCCAUUGUUUUUCAUCUGUCCAUUUUCCACUUGUUGAAUAGGCUGAAGUAUUUCUCCCAGGAGCCAGCAAGUUUGCUAGCCAUGUAUUUGUACCUGUAACAGAAUAGAGAAGGAAAUUAAAUCGGUAAAAAGAAAACAAGUCAUAUGGGGCAAGCCCAGCCCAAGGCGUGGAGACAACGAAGCAGCACCAGCCGCCAAACAGGCCUAGGGCCGAUGGUGCUGACAUCAGCGACUGAGACUUAACUAAGUCUCAGUCGACUGAGAUGUAGACACUCCCUUAAAAAAAGUAGACAUAUUUAGCUAGGUCUUAUCUAGAUGUGCUCUUGUCUACUACCUCCGUCCGGGUUUAUUAGGCCCAUGGGAAACCAGAGGUUGUCCCUAUUUGUAAGGCCCUCAUGCAACCUAGGUAUUUUCUCCGGGCCUCAUUUUCUUCAUUACCACUUAAUAAGACAAUAAAUCGCUUGCUUUUCCUCUGUUAGCUGGCGCAUGCGUCCAUCGUAUUGGGCAGGAGCAGCAGCAUUAAAUUGAGCAUGGACUGCAUGCAGGUAGGUGCGGAAUUGAGCAUGGACGGCAUGCAGGUACGUGCGCGCAUGCAGCACGAUUGCAUUGUUUUGACAGUUAAUUGGGCGUAGAAGCCGAAGUAUAAUAGUGCUAAUUGUAAGGAAUUAAUGUUAUGUCUUGGUACAUGAGUUCUUGUCGAAGGGCCCAAUAAAUCCGGACGAAGAAAGUAGCACUCUAGCUAGAUAUUCAUUGCAACCGAACUGAAUUCAUUGCAACUGAAUUGAAUUCAAGACGGCUAUCAGUGAUCAACUGACUGGGGGAGACGAUCUGGCAAAAGAUCUGUAGCACGUAAGUGCGGGGGCAUGCAGCCCCUUUUUCUUUGGACGUCGAUAAUUGACACACGUGUGGCAGGAAAGGAGAUGCACCACACGUCUCUAAUGCAAAUAGAUUGCCAUGUCAUCGCAUGCAUGCAUGCAAGAAUCUUUUCGGAUUUUCAGUUUUUAAAACAUUUUAUCUCUUAAAUGAAAAAUCCGAUUGAAGAUCCGUUUUCAUCAUUAAAUCCCUCGCGGCGAGAUCUUCAAAACUAGAUCUCAUAUUGAUAUAUUUCGGCGAUUUUUUUUUGGCUAAAAGUUGACAUGUCUAUUGCACAUGAAUUGCCAUGAUAUUUACACUGAAGUUGCCAUUAUAUGUUUCAACUAUUUUCUUUUACAUUUAAAAAUAAAUUUUAACAUAUUAUAAAACGGAGAAUUAAGAAAUUAGACUUGCCAUGCACCAUAAACUAAAAUUGCCAUGAUACAUGCACUUAAAAUUGCCAUGGUUCAAUAAAAAAAAUUAUUUUCAUGAUCAAAGUACUGGAAUUGCCAUCAUCAAAAAACUAAAAUUUCCAUGAUCUACAAACUAAAAUUGCCACAUGGCAACUUUAGUUUAAGCACUAUGGCAACUAUAGUGUAAACAUCAUGGCAACUUCUGGGCAAAAAAAAAAAUUCGUCGAAACAUAUCAACAUGUGGUCUAGUUUUGGAGAUCUCGUCGAGACGGAUUUAAUGGUGAAAACCGAUUUUUAGUUCGCUUUUUUAUUUAAGAGAUAAAAUAUUUUUAAGCCGAAAACCAAAAAGAUAUCUGCUGAUGUCAUCUAUUCAUACGUGGCAAAAUGAGUGGUGAUGAAGGUGUGUGGGCGAUCUGCAAACGACCACAUGUGUGGGCGUUAGUUUUUUCGUUUUCUUUUGGCUUUUGAUUUUCUCUCGGGUAGUGCUCACAAGAGAUAGCAUUCCCAAUUCACCUUCAGUACCGUUGUUUUCUCGCUUUUUCUAAGACGUUUAUUUAUUUUCUUUUCUUUUCUUUUUUAUUAGGACCAGCCUAUUUUCUCAAUUUAGUUCUCUUUAAUGUACAUAUAGCAAAAGAGUCCGUGCGGUGCUACGGGAGAGAAAAAGGCCGUGUUGUCAUUCUAGAACUUGUUGUUGAUACCGUCUGCAGGUGCCACUGGUUUUUUUAGCCGUGCAUGUGCCACUGGGCAUGGUUUUUAUGUUCCUGGAGUCACUAUUAUGCUCAUAUUCCUUUUAGGAUUAAGCCGUUUUUUAUUCCCUUUGGCACGAUCUAGGUUCAUGAUGGAAUAAAGGUUCCAUUUUCAUGGUAAUGUUCUCAAUGUCUAUGAAUUUGAAAAACACUGUUGAAUUUGAAAAAUGUUCAUGAAAUAAAAAAAAAAUCUUGUUAAUUUGAAUAAUAUUUAUGAAUUUGAAAAAUCUUCUAGAAUUCAUUUUUUUGAAUUUGAAUACAAAAUUGUCAUUUUUAAGAAUUUUUUUCAUGAUUUCCAAAAAUAUUUUAGGAUUUGAAGAAUAUGUGUGAUUUCAAAAAUUAUUCUGGAAUUUCGAAAAAGGUUUAAGAGAUUUUUUAAAAGUUCUAAAAAUCAUGAAUUUAUUAUAAGAAAAUAACAAAGGAAUAAAUUACCAGAAGAACCCAAAAGGAAAAAGGAAUGAGAACCCGGUCAGUGAAUGUUCCAGAACCUUUCAAAAACCGGAAGAGUGAGUAUGUUGGAAAUCUUUGGUUGGGCCAGACCCAAUACUUGUGCGCGUUUGCCUGAUAUCCACCGCGCGAGAGAUGAUGGUUGUUGUAGCAGCCCGGGGGAGAGAGGAGAGGGCGGGACACAGGAGCAGUCGGGCACGGACUCUCAGGGCUGACCCCACCGAUUUUGGUCUGGACUCUGGAGUCGACGACGAAGUUUGGAUAGGUUGGCCCCAUAAAGUCGAGGACCCGGCCGGCCUAGCUACUACGUACACGAUCAACAUCUAGUCGUAAUCAAAGGAAACCUAAAAGUUGAGUAGCAUCUUCAAAUCGAUCGCUGGAAGGAGAGAAGCGAUGGACGUCGUCGCGGAGGAGGUGUGCGUGAGGGCCUCUUCUAUUCUCAAGCUCCAAUAACAUGUGGAAGACAAUCCCUUAUAAAGAGGUCCAACUCCUUCUCCACUAGCGGGGUGGGACUAAACUUCCCACUACACCUAGUGCCAAUAAACUCACAUGGGCCCUUAGAGAUUUUUCAGAAAUUGCGAUAUGGGCCUAAAGCCCAUCCCAAAUUUCAGCAAUCCCCCACCAGAUCUCGAGGGCCCAUUGUGUCCUCUAUUCCAGUUGCUGUUUCGAUAUACUAGUGUUUCAGUGAAGACCUGUUAAAGGCGAGCUUCACCUGGAGCAAGUAGCUACACUCCUUCGCAACCUAUGUGAGCCCGACUGCUGGUCACAGUCUAUCAGUUUGGCAUAAAAAAGCUUCACCACAUGUCUUACUAGUACUAGCCUGCCGAAGGCAGACCCCUCGGGUGAAGCAUAUAAGUCACACUCUUGGCCUAUUCAUGAGCUUACUAGAGAUCACCCCAAUCUCGUAGACUAUGACAAGCAGUCGGGCUCACAUAGGUGUGUUCCUCCAAAGAUCGCUCUGUAGGAUAGCAUCUUGCUUACAUAAGCUUUGGAACACAUUAAGACAAUAGUCAUCCUACCAUAUAGUAUUGAGAGUAUUGCAUCUCCAACGGAGUGGGUUAGUAUAGUUACUCUCCUCAGUUCACCACUGGCUUGUUUUCCUAGGUCCUACUUCACAGGAUGUCCGAUCACAUAGGUUGGGUUAUCACCAUGGCAACUCAUGUGGGUCUCAUACCCAUCUCCCUCGAUGCAUUAUCUAUCACAACACGUGAUCGCCCUUUUGGAAAGGGAUCUGCCAAAUUCUUAGCCAUAUGGACAUAGUCCAACGCUAUCACUCCGGAGUUUCUUAAUUUCUGACAGCUUUUAAUCUCAUUUUUAUGUGUUUGUUGGACAUCAUGUUGUCCUUUGAACUCUUCACCUUGGUGAUAACAGUAUGAUUGUCACAGUUCAUAAGGAUAGUUGGAACCGAUUUAUCAACCAAUGGCAAGUCCAUCAAAAGAUCUCGAAGCCAUCCUGCUUCAACACCAGAUGUGUCUAAUGAUGUUAAUUCUGCUUCCAUUGUCGAUCUCGCCGUGAUAGACCGUCUCCGUCCAGGACCACUUCUGGCCGACCAGUGCUGGGUUCCAUGGCGUGGGAUCCUCCUCCUCCUCCUGCUACACGCCCUCCAUGGCCUCCUCCUGCACCACGACGUCGAACUCUAGGGUGGCGACGCUGCCGGCCGUGGUGAGGGCUAUCAUGUGUUUGAGGCCCUGUCACUGGGCUCGUUAUGGGUGUGGAGGGAGUCAUCCAUGACCCGCCUCACCAGCUCCUCCUCCUCCUCGGUUGUCGUCUGAGCAGGCAGUGGCGGGGAUGACAUCAGGGAUGGCAUUGGCGUCAGUCCGCGGACCAGCCUAUGUCCGCGUGGCUGGGGAGGGCUGACGGCGCGCUCGCGGUGGGGCGGGCUUGGAGCAUGAUCGACAAAGAAUGAUUGCCGAUGUAGAUCGUGCUCGUCGUAGAGCCACGUGUCCCACAACAGGGAUUCCACGACAUACCUCCAGUGGUUAUCGAGGUCCGACGGCAGGCCACCUCCUCGAGUCGAGCGCGGUCGCUCAUCGGGAUCGGUGGGAUGGGCACCCAAUCCGCGGAGAGAUGCCGGUUAUUGGGAAGGUGCACGUCGCAUGAUUGUAGCGGCGUGCUUGACUCCCAGUAACGCUUGCAAAUCUCCGCCUUCACGUACGGCCUUAUGCGAGGUCCGGCCGCACGCGACGUGGAAUGCGGGUGCCGGAGGUAGAGGUGGAUGUGGAGGGGUGGAGCGGUGGCAAUGGCCGAAGGAAGAUCCAAUGACAUCCCAUGGUAGCCGGCGGCAAGGUGGAGCUAGGGUUUGGAGAAGGCGAGCGCGUCGGGCUUCGAGGAGGCACGUGUCGCUGGGAGUGGAAGUGUGGACUCCCAUCGAUCCACGACUUCCACAUUAAAAGGGACCACGACCGCUCGGCUGGGGUGGCUGCCAGGCAGGGCCGCUCGCGCGUGCAUCAUAAAUAUGGACUGUGAGAGGUAGAUGGGCCGCUGCCACGCGAGCUGAUAUAGACCGAACCUCGUGGCGAGAUCCGAUCCGUUGUUACGGCUCGACCUUUCACGGCACUCCACCUUUAGUAGCAGCAACCUCUCGCCCGCGCACGCGAUGUACACGAAGUACAGAGUUUGAACCUUGCGGCCCAGCACGAGAAAACCAAUCUCGAAGGUACUCACGUGCAAACAAUUUCCACGAAGAGAAACUGUAACACAUAGGUUUUCUAAGAUCCCUUCAAAACUUUGUCUACCCUGCAAACACAUGGUGUCGAUUUCAUAAAAAAAUAGGCGGCUACUAGGCAUCAGCCGGCUGAUCUUUUCGUAAGAUCAGCCGCCUAGCCAACCGUUGAUUAGCAUCGAUUUGGCCCGCUUGAUUCCUUGACCACGCCACCGCUUUCAUCCCAAUUUAGGAUAGUAUAACUGAGCCUAAACCGAGCUCUCUUACGAUUUAGCCAUUUCUGACCGUCCAUUUGCUUGAUUUGAAAGAUCUUGGCCGUCAAAUCUGCUCUCUAUUUCGUCCACCACCACAUAUUAUUCUUACUGGGCCAAAUGUCCUAAGGGGCUGCUGCUCCACAGGAAAAAUCUGAGCUUUCUGGUAAAAUGGGCCUCUUACCCAGCCCAUUUAUCUAAACCAGCAGCGGUCCGCAAGUGUUCGGCCUCCAGAAUUUUCCAGCCUCACUCGACCCAUCGAGAGAGAUGGAGGACAAGGGGAUCGGGCGACCCUCCUUCGCUCCGCCCAGAUUUCCAUCGAGAGGGAGGAGUGAGGACGAGGGAGAUCGGUCGCUUCGUGGUUGCGAGGGGAGGCGGUCGUGUGUUCGGCCCUGUUAGGUCGGACAUGCCAGCCGCCCGUGACGCAGGCGACCGGUCACGGGCUCACGGCCAAGCGCCCCGCGGGCUCACCAUGAAACGUUCAUGGUGAUUAAUAGAUGCCUGGCUCUUUAUUUCUCAUUUUUCAGUUUCUCUCCAAGCAUUCAUGGUGAAUGAUGUGCGCUCCUCACGGUGAUUAAUACUAGAUGCCUGGCUCUUUGUUUCUCAUUCUUCUGCUGCGUAUAUAUGCUUCCACUCGGCUCACUCUUCUAACUCCGGCGAUGGAACGAAUAUGGUGAAUCCUAACUGGUUACGCGCGCAACGCCAAUCGCUACGGUCGCUGCGACCCGCCGAUGCGAGUGGCCGUGGCCCACCUGGUCCCAUGCAAUUAUCCCUCGUCUUAUUUUUUCACCGGCAUACAGUUUGAAUACAGUCAAAUCGUAUCUGUACCAUGCCUGCCCAUACCUACAUCGUACCCGCUCGCCCUUUUCUUUCUCUCCACACCCACGCCCGUACUCUCUCUCCAUUAAUCUCAUCUCUCUCUCUCUGUCUCCAUUAUCUCAAGAUCCAUCCAGCCCUUCCUCCUCCACGGCCGGCCACCCUCCCGAUCUGGAGGUCUCCGACCAGAUCAUUCCCCUCCCCACCACGGCAUGCGGCAUGGAGUCCCGGGAUCGCUCGCCGUCAACCAAUGCUAUGCGGAUCUGGCGAGUCCUAACUCACCAAGAUCCCAUGACGGACAAGGUUUGUUGCGCCUCCUCCUGAAGCUGUCGAGGACCAUGAACGCCACUUCCUCUCACCGGCUCAGCACCAACACUUUCACUACCCGCAGGUAAUCCCCCUGUCCCCCGCUCCAAAUCCAGGAGCUGGUCGGCUUCCUCUGGUCAAGUCCGCCUCAACGAGUUGGGAUUGCUUCUUCCUGAUUGCCCAUGGAUUUGUAAUGCAAUUUGAUAAGGAUUUAUUUGUAGGUGUACAAAAUUGCUUGUUCCCGGAUGGAUAUAGUAGCACAUGGAUCCAUCACCUUUGGUCUUGUCUGGUGUUCUCCCGUGCGUGACGAAUUUCGAAGGUGCGGGUGUUCUCCAGUUAUUCUCCUAUUUAUUGUCUUUCUUGCUUGUGAUUUGAUUUUCUUAACUUUCCUAAUUUAAGGAUGAAACAGAGGCUGGGCGACAGGGAGAUUACGCUGGAAGUGUGUUGCCUUGUGCCAGAUCCGCCACGAAGUGAGCUGGCCCUCUCCUCCUCUCAUGCCGACAUCGGCAUAUUGCCCUGCUUCUUCCACGGCUUGAUGAACCUACCUUCGCCAGCUUGAUUGAUUUUAAUCGAGAGAAAACUAGUUCGAUUGAGUUUUAUCUUAAAAAGGCUAGUCAUCGCCUGAUGGCCAUUGUAUAGAUAAAAUAUGCUGCAGUUUAUUCUUCCUGUACUACUGCAAUAAGGCAACGUUUCAUCACUAUUUAGUUCUAUGCAAUUAUCUUUCUGUUUUUUGCUCUGGUUCAUGAGCAGUAAAUUUUAAAGUUUCCAACAUACAGUUUGCAAUAUUAUGGGCAGAAUUGUACAAGAACUUUUUGGACGUCUCCAUCGCACUUUGCCAAAAUUUGUCAACGGACUUUAUAGAGUUUAACAGAGAGUUGUUUUUACAAUAUUAUGGGCAGAAUUGUACAUGAGCUUUUUGGAUGUCUCCAUCGCACUUUGCCGAAAUUCGACGAAGGACUUCAUAGUUUAACAAAUAGUUGUUUUUGCAAAGCAGGUUCUUUGAAUAAAUUGCAAAGGACUUUAUAUCCAAUUUGCUUUUAUUUUUUGCUCUAGGUCCAAAUUUUGGAGUUUCCAACAUAGAUUGCAAUAUUUUGGGCUGAAUUGUACAAGCACUUUCUGAAUGUCUCCAUCGCACUUUGCCGAAACUGUUGAAGGACUUUAUGUUUUAAAUUUUUCAUCAAAACCUGAAGAAUUGGUCCAGAGAUUAUAACAAGUUCUUCACGUUUUGUUGAUAAAGGUCGAAAGAAGCUCUAUUUUGAAAUCUUUAAUAGAGCUUUAAUAGAGCUUCUUUCGACCUUUAUCAACAAAACGUGAAGAACUUGUUAUAAUCUCUGGACCAAUUCUUCAGGUUUUGAUGAAAAAUUUAAAACAUAAAGUCCUUCAACAGUUUCGGCAAAGUGCAAUGGAGACAUUCAGAAAGUGCUUGUACAAUUCAGCCCAAAAUAUUGCAAUCUAUGUUGGAAACUCCAAAAUUUGGACCUAGAGCAAAAAAUAAAAGCAAAUUGGAUAUAAAGUCCUUUGCAAUUUAUUCAAAGAACCUGCUUUGCAAAAAGAACUAUUUGUUAAACUAUGAAGUCCUUCGUCGAAUUUCGGCAAAGUGCGAUGGAGACAUCCAAAAAGCUCAUGUACAAUUCUGCCCAUAAUAUUGUAAAAACAACUCUCUGUUAAACUCUAUAAAGUCCGUUGACAAAUUUUGGCAAAGUGCGAUGGAGACGUCCAAAAAGUUCUUGUACAAUUCUGCCCAUAAUAUUGCAAACUGUAUGUUGGAAACUUUAAAAUUUACUGCUCAUGAACCAGAGCAAAAAACAGAAAGAGAAUUGCAUAGAACUGAAUAGUGAUGAAACGUUGCCUUAUUGCAGUAGUACAGGAAGAAUAAACUGCAGCAUAUUUUAUCUAUACAAUGGCCAUCAGGCGAUGACUAGCCUUUUUAAGAUAAAACUCAAUCGAACUAGUUUUCUCUCGAUUAAAAUCAAUCAAGCUGGCGAAGGUAGGUUCAUCAAGUCGUGGAAGAAGCAGGGCAAUAUGCCGAUGUCGGCAUGAAAGGAGGAGAGGGCCAGCUCACUUCGUGGCGGAUCUGGCACAAGGCAACACACUUCCAGCGUAAUCUCCCUGUCGCCCAGCCUCUGUUUCAUCCUUAAAUUAGGAAAGUUAAGAAAAUCAAAUCACAAGCAAGAAAGACAAUAAAUAGGAGAAUAACCGGAGAACACCCGCACCUUCGAAAUUCGUCACGCACGGGAGAACACCAGAUAAGACCAAAGGUGAUGGAUCCAUGUGCUACUAUAUCCAUCCGGGAACAAGCAAUUUUGUACACCUACAAAUAAAUCCUUAUCAAAUUGCAUUACAAAUCCAUGGGCAAUCAGGAAGAAGCAAUCCCAACUCGUUGAGGCGGACUUGACUAGAGGAAGCCGACCAGCUCCUGGAUUUGGAGCGGGGGACAGGGGGAUUACCUGCGGGUAGUGAAAGUGUUGGUGCUGAGCCGGUGAGAGGAAGUGGCGUUCAUGGUCCUCGACAGCUUCAGGAGGAGGCGCAACAAACCUUGUCCGUCAUGGGAUCUUGGUGAGUUAGGACUCGCCAGAUCCGCAUAGCAUUGGUUGACGGCGAGCGAUCCCGGGACUCCAUGCCGCAUGCCGUGGUGGGGAGGGGAAUGAUCUGGUCGGAGACCUCCAGAUCGGGAGGGUGGCCGGCCGUGGAGGAGGAAGGGCUGGAUGGAUCUUGAGAUAAUGGAGACAGAGAGAGAGAGAUGAGAUUAAUGGAGAGAGAGUACGGGCGUGGGUGUGGAGAGAAAGAAAAGGGCGAGCGGGUACGAUGUAGGUAUGGGCAGGCAUGGUACAGAUACGAUUUGACUGUAUUCAAACUGUAUGCCGGUGAAAAACUAAGACGAGGGAUAAUUGCAUGGGACCAGGUGGGCCACGGCCACUCGCAUCGGCGGGUCGCAGCGACGGUAGCGAUUGGCGUUGCACGCGUAACCAGUUAGGAUUCACCAUAUUCGCAUCAGCAUGCUGCACUUCUAGGUUCACCUCUAUCUUUAUUUUUUAUCAUCCAUGUAUGAUUUUCUUCUUCGACCCAAGAUUACAUUGUAUCCUCAAUCCAAAUUUUGUACAGGUAUUGGUCUACUGGGAGGUGGUCAAUUGAUUCGGCCAGAUAUUGGAAACUGGUUCUCACAUCUUUUUAUUUCUGAAAUUCUUCAGCCGAUAGUUUUAAUGGCUUUUGGACAGGUAAUUACUUAACUUGGACUGCCAGAUGUCUUAUUGUUUCAUCCUUUACCAUCCAUGUUACCGAAAAAGGGUUUCCCCCCGCUUUGUAUACAAAGCAACCAACCGAACAUCCAACGAUAGGUGCUGGGGCGGAAGCAGCACAGUCACGCCCAAAAGGAAAGAAAGAGAAAAUACAAAAGAAACUAAUGCCAACAACGGCGGAUCGACAAAAAACGAAGAAGCCUCGAGGCCGCUGCGCCCACCGGAGAUCGCCCACCAAGCUCCGAGCUUCCAAAGCGCCGGUACCAAUCAGCACCUCCAAGAAGGACCGCGACGAUGACGACGCUGCUGCCAAGGGUUUCCCCCGGUACGCUGUGAGGAGAGAGGAAGGGUAGCCCCGACGCCCUUCAGGAAGGUCAGGCGGUACCUACAAGCGCCACCGCGUCAGUGUCGGCCAAGCCAACAGAGAUUUCUUCCGAUCCCAACCACCACCUCAGGCACUCCAGAGCUCGCCACCAAACAGAGCCUCACCCUGCGCCAACCCGGUCACGAAGCUUCUCACGCCGUCUCCCCACAGCAUGUGAAGCAUGGUCCGCACAAAGGAGAGGAGCCGGGACUAGGGCAGCAGCACCGUCGGCACGCAGGAGGGCCCCACCUCCACCGUCUCGACGGUAGCUAACCGGACGCAAUAGCAGGAACAUACUAGGCCCGUGGUCGCACAGGCCCGGCCGGGAUCUCCGAGGCCUGUAAAGUUCCCGCCUUUGCGCUGCAGCCGGCACGCCGUCGACGCCGCCGCCCCUGUCCAAGCCGCUCCCCUGCCUCCCCGCAGAGAGAGCCGCCAAGUGGAAGCACCACCACCAUGUGCGCCGCCGGCCACCACCACCAUGUGCGCCGCCGGCCACCACCACCAGGUCGCCGGACCGCCACCGGCCGAGCCGCACCACCACCGCACGCCCGCGAUGGAGGGAACCAACACGGCCGCCGGGGGCCCGAAGCCGGACCCCAGCCGCCGCCCACNNNNNNNNNNNNNNNNNNNNNNNNNNNNNNNNNNNNNNNNNNNNNNNNNNNNNNNNNNNNNNNNNNNNNNNNNNNNNNNNNNNNNNNNNNNNNNNNNNNNNNNNNNNNNNNNNNNNNNNNNNNNNNNNNNNNNNNNNNNNNNNNNNNNNNNNNNNNNNNNNNNNNNNNNNNNNNNNNNNNNNNNNNNNNNNNNNNNNNNNNNNNNNNNNNNNNNNNNNNNNNNNNNNNNNNNNNNNNNNNNNNNNNNNNNNNNNNNNNNNNNNNNNNNNNNNNNNNNNNNNNNNNNNNNNNNNNNNNNNNNNNNNNNNNNNNNNNNNNNNNNNNNNNNNNNNNNNNNNNNNNNNNNNNNNNNNNNNNNNNNNNNNNNNNNNNNNNNNNNNNNNNNNNNNNNNNNNNNNNNNNNNNNNNNNNNNNNNNNNNNNNNNNNNNNNNNNNNNNNNNNNNNNNNNNNNNNNNNNNNNNNNNNNNNNNNNNNNNNNNNNNNNNNNNNNNNNNNNNNNNNNNNNNNNNNNNNNNNNNNNNNNNNNNNNNNNNNNNNNNNNNNNNNNNNNNNNNNNNNNNNNNNNNNNNNNNNNNNNNNNNNNNNNNNNNNNNNNNNNNNNNNNNNNNNNNNNNNNNNNNNNNNNNNNNNNNNNNNNNNNNNNNNNNNNNNNNNNNNNNNNNNNNNNNNNNNNNNNNNNNNNNNNNNNNNNNNNNNNNNNNNNNNNNNNNNNNNNNNNNNNNNNNNNNNNNNNNNNNNNNNNNNNNNNNNNNNNNNNNNNNNNNNNNNNNNNNNNNNNNNNNNNNNNNNNNNNNNNNNNNNNNNNNNNNNNNNNNNNNNNNNNNNNNNNNNNNNNNNNNNNNNNNNNNNNNNNNNNNNUUCUAUCCAGAAAUGAGAAAAGCCCAAUAAUCAUGCGGAUAUUUGCAAGUAUUGUGUGUGGAUUUUCAAUGCAGGCUUUGCAUCUUUCCAAGAAUAAGGGGAGUUUCUUUCUGGAUUAAUAUUGUGAAGUGUGAACAUCAUUUGAAUCAAGGUGGAAGGAACUUUGAUUCGAGAUACCUCAUAUCCAUGCCUAAAACUGAAACUUAUCGGUUCUUGACAAGCUUACUUAACAAUUUGCUUACGUUUUUCUGCCUUCCAUGUAAAUGCAGCCUAUACUUUGAUGGAUGUUCAUGUGCAGUUCUCUCUAACUUACAGAAUUGAGUAUUCAUCCAUUAUCAUUGAUGGAAUCAACAACUAAUAAAAUGGGGGAGAAAUUCCUCUAUUUUUUCCAUAGCAUGCACGAAUGGGUAACAAAAAUGAUUUUUUUUAGUCUUUACACAUACUACUAAACAGUAGUAACUGAUAUCCCUCUUCUAUUUUCCAUACCAUGCACGAAUGGGUAACAAAAAUAUGCAUCAAAUUUGUGUGAACCGUGUUAUGUUGCCAUCAAUAAAGAUUUCACCAUCGGAAACAAAACUCCCAGUAUACUGUGCUAUCAUCUCUGAAUUCAUGAUAUUCUCAUUAUUUGCAGAAGUUUUAGUUUUGUUCAUUUCCAUUUGUAUGAUGUAGAUGUAUGGGAAAUCUAAUCUUAUGAUGGUCAUUCAGGCAAGAUACACUUGAUCUGGGGGCUGUGAUGUCAGCAAAUUAUUGGAAGAAUUAAGUAAGUGCAGUAUGUAUCUCAUUUUUUUCUUCUAAUAAGGGAAGGCAUCAUGACAUAUACUCCCUCCGUUCCUAAAUAUUUGUCUUUUUGAGAUUUCAAAUGGACUACCACAUACGGAUGUAUGUAGACAUAUUUUAGAGUGUAGAUUCACUCAUUUUACUCCGUAUGUAGUCACUUGUUGAAAUCUCUAGAAAGACAAUUAUUUAGGAACGGAGGUAGUAGUAAAUAAGUGCAGACCAUUGGACAGGUAACGUUGUUGUUCGUUUCAAUGCUCUUCGUUGUGUCCGUGAUCAGAUUCUGUGCAUAAAGAAGUGCAUUACCUGUAACAUGUGUUCAUCACAUAAGAUCAUCAUAACAACCAUCCUUUUGGCAGGGUAGGGGCUAUUUUAGUUGCGACCUGAGGGACAACGAGCUAGAGGAGGAGUUGGCCAGCAAGAGUGCUAGAUUUAGGGCAAGUUUGCCGAAGCACUUUUAUUAGUUCCAUCGACAAUACCAGGACUGGAGAACUGAAAGUCCUUGUAGAUGCAAGUGGUGUGCUAUUAAACCAAAAAUACUAAAGUGCGCAACAUAAAGUUCAUGUUUUCACAUGAUUUCUUACUUCUUAAAUCGAUUUUUUUGCAGGAACAAGAUUGACAACGGCCUUUUGGAUUGCACUCUUAACAAAGCUUCGGGCUCAAUGAAUUAGAUAUUUGUGAUGUUUUGAAGGAAGACUAUAGCAUCUUGGAGUGCACUAAUAUUAAUAUAUAAACCCUUCAAUAUUUGUGUCACCCAAAGGCUACAAAUUCUGUAAUUUACCCAAAUACUUAGCAUUUUCUCUACCUAAAUAUGAGUGUAUUGUUUCAGAUCAUAUAUUCCCAGUAUUAUUAAGACACCGUGUGAAGUUAUUUGCACUGUUCUAAUGCUACUUUUCGCAAAUCCUUGAAUGUGCCCUGCCUUCUGUGAUGCACUCAAAGUAUUUGGGAGAUUUGAAAAUGUACUCAUCUGAUAACUCGUUACAUGUACAUUUUCACUAUAAAGAUUCAGGGACCUUGAAUCUGAUUUGUCAAAUGUAAUAUUACACGCGAAAAAGCCAUUAGGAAAAAAAAUAAAGUUGCUUUAAGCAAUAGAACAUUGAUAACCAAACAUAUGUUCUCUCCGGUUGGUCCUCCAUAGGAGCAUUUGUUUCUUUUAAAAUGACCAAAAAAAAGCUUAUGUGAAGCUAUAGUUUUAAUGUGCGAACGAAUCAAUAAUUCAACUCUACGUUGUACAAAAAAUAAAAAUUCAACUCGCACGCCUGUGGACCAGCUAUUAUGAGCUUCAUGCGAGACACUAUCACUUUGCACUAACAAAUUAUAUGUAUAAACUAACAUGAACUCUAUGUUUGUACAUAAAUUUCUAACGCUCUCAUAACAUUCAAAAUAGACGGGCGCGGCAACGCGCGCUAUCAACGAUCUAGUACGCCAUAUAUCUCCCGCAGCUACUCCAGUCAUCCAUCAGGCAUGUACACGAGUGCAACACAUAAUCCACACUUCCGACGCGAUGAGCCACAUUUGGACGACAUGCAGCACCAGCUUCAGCCUGCACCAUGAACCGUCGCUAGUCAUCGCACAGAAAAACACUCACGAGCUCGGCACGCACCGACCACGGUUGCAACACCGGGUUGCAGCAACGAAGCUACUGCGAGCCUGCGACCAUCCAUUGAAGCAUCAGCGAUGCUCUAUUAUAGCACCGACGAUGCGACGACGGCCCAACAAUGCUCCAUAACAACACUGGUGACGAUCCGUUGCAGCAUCCAUGAGGUUUCGGCGGCCGGCGAUGCUUUGUUGUAGCAACCGCGAGGUUCUGGCGUCCGACGAAGCUCCGUUGCAGCAUCCGUGAGGUUCCAUCAGCCGACGAUGCUCCGUUGCAGCACUCAUGAGGUUCCGUCGGCGGCGAUGCUCCGUUGCAACACCCGUGAGAUUCCGACGUCCGACGGCUCCGUUGCAACAUCCAUGAGAUUCCGUCGGGCGACGAUGCUCCAUUGUAGCACCCGUGAGGAUUCGGUGUCAGACGAUGCUCCGUUGCACCAUCUGUGCGGUUCCAUCGGCCGGCGAUACUCCAUUGCAGCACCAUUGAGGUNNNNNNNNNNNNNNNNNNNNNNNNNNNNNNNNNNNNNNNNNNNNNNNNNNNNNNNNNNNNNNNNNNNNNNNNNNNNNNNNNNNNNNNNNNNNNNNNNNNNNNNNNNNNNNNNNNNNNNNNNNNNNNNNNNNNNNNNNNNNNNNNNNNNNNNNNNNNNNNNNNNNNNNNNNNNNNNNNNNNNNNNNNNNNNNNNNNNNNNNNNGUUGCAGCACCCAUGAGGUUCCGACGUCCGACGAUGCUCCGUUGCAACAUCAAUGAGGUUCCGUUGGCCGAGGAUGCUCCAUUGUAGCACCCGUGAGGUUUGGGUGUCAGACGAUGCUCCGUUGCACCAUCCGUAAGGUUCUGUCGGCCGACUAUUCUCCCUUGCAACACCCGUGAGGUUUCGGUAUCAGACAAUGUUCCAUUGAAGCAUCUGUGAGGUUCCAUCAGCCGGCGAUGCUCCGUUGUAGCACCCGUGAGGUUCCGACGUCCGACGAUGCUUCGUUGCAGCAUCCGUGAGGUUCCCUCAGCCGGCGAUGCUCUGUUGUAGCACCCGCGAGGUUCUGACGGCCCGACGAUGCUUCAUCAUAGCACCGAUGAUGCUACAUUGCAGCUCCAAUGAUGCUCUGACGGCCAAGCGAUGCUCCAUUUUAGCACUUGCGAGGUUCAAGCAGACGGACGAUGCUCCAUCACACCAACGGUGAUGCUCCGACGGCCUGGCGAUGCUCCAUUGUAGCACUCGCGAGGUUCAGGCAGAUCGAUGAUGCUCUAUCACACCAACGGUGAUGCUCCGACGGCCCGGGUGAUGCUCCAUUGUCUCACCGGUGAACCCUUGAGCACAUGGCGCUACUCAAUGGCCCACGAGCUCGUGUCGCGAUGCCGGCGAACCCUUGCUGCACCAGAUGCAUACCACAUGCACCAGAUGCCGGCGAACCCUUGUUUCACGUAAUAUCAGCCCGAUGAAAUGAAUCGUUUUCCAAAAAAAAAACCUCCUUUACAUGGCGCACGUACGUGGACUUAUAUAAUGGUCGACUCUAACUUGACCGACAAACUCAACGCAUCUAUCUCUGGUGCCAUCUUACGUGACCUUCUACUAAUUUAAUAGCACCUGCCUUUUACAUCUCAACAGGUACUAAACUGACUUAAACUUAACUUAAGAUAAAAAGGUACUCCCUCCGUUCUAAAAUAGAUGACUCAAUUUUGUACUAAAGUUAGUACAAAGUUGAGUCAUCUAUUUUGAAACAGAGGGAGUAUCUAUAUAGACUUGUGCGCCAUCUUCAAGUGCUUCAUGUGCUGCGGGUGGGCCCCAUUCCAUGUCCUUUAAUGACAAGAAAUCACGUAUCAGGCUCCAAGAAGUGUUGCCACGUUGAAAAAUUUUCCUUUUACAUGGAAGUGGCAAGAAUAGAAAUAAAUCUCUCUCCUUUAUAUUGUUGACUGAAUUGAAUAUAUCACAGCUCGCGUGCUCCCUUUCAUCGGAUCCGGCUUGCCUGCUUCCUUUCCAUGCUCUCAUCCGUGCUUCCACUUCAUCCUACGGCUGUCAUUUUCUUUUUUUUUCUUUUCUAAUCUAAUCAUCUCCCCCCUCCUCCCCGAUUUUUAGGGGGUGGGGCCGGGCCUUAUUUUCUUCCAAUUAAAUCAAGCACGGGGAGGGAGCAGGCAAGUCUCGUCCCCUUUCAUCAGCGUACAAUCCCAUCUCUUUUCAAGUAUUAUUGAUACACGUUGAUUUUUCCUUGCGAAAAUGAGCAUGGUUAAUUUUGCAUGCAUGUUUUCUGCCUUGAUUUAGCCCUUCACCGUCCACGUAAUUAUUCUCAUAUAAUAAAUAUACAUCCACGGACUUUUCUUCUUUUAAACAAUUGACUUGCAGCUGUAUUUUGUGAACGUCCAGAACACUAGCAUUAGACAUGGCCAUAUCACCAGCAGCAACCAUCGUAUGUAAAUUACUCAUGGUCGUAUCACGGGCCCGAGGUGGACGCGGAGCAAACGCGUGGGCGUUCGUUCGACGUCCGUGUGAAUGCAAACCAGACGCAAGUUUGCGUAGAAAAUAGGGCGGGCCGGACGCCAAACGGACAAAAAAUACAGAUGCGUUCAUGGGUUGGGCCGUGCCGUCUAUCUGUUUGGGCUCAAAUGGUCAUACACGGAGCGGAUGUGAUCAUGCGUUGGAGUUGGCCUAAGCCCCAAGCCGACUCGCCCCUUCUUCCUCUCCUGGCAAACCCUAGCCCCACCUCACCGCCGCCGCUCCUUGGCCACCCAUGGAGGAGGAGGAGGGCGAGAGCCGCGACUGGGCCGGGAUGCAGUCAGACGCGCUCUCCACCAUAUUCGGGAAGCUGGACGCGGCCGACCUCCUCACGGGAGCCGGGCAGGUAUGCCACGCGUGGCGCCGUCUCGCCGACAGCGACACCACGCUGUGGCGUCGCGUCGAGAUGACCCACGAUGGAGACAUCCUGGAGGCCGGGGCCAUGGCCUGCGCCGCCGUCGACCGCGCCGCUGGCACCAUGGAGGCCUUCUCGGCCGACACCUUCGUCACUCAUCUCCUCCUCCGCUACAUCUCCGACAGGUUGCCACAUCUUUCCUCUUCCUGUUACAUACAUGCCCAUUUCUUCCGUGAGGUUGCAAAUAAUUUCGUUGAUUGGUUCUGAUGACCAAAGUUGUAUGUAAUUGUGAGUCUCUGCCAGUUAGUACCUUUAGUUGGGCUGAGAGGACAGUCUUGAUCGUACUCCUCGUAAAUUAAAACGCAUAUCAUGAUAUAUCUUCUUAACUCAACAUAAGCUCCUGGUGAUAUACGUUUGCUCUUGCUUAGAAAAUGGACCUUUCUGCUGUGUUAUUUGACAACCUUUUUGCAUCCUUUUAUUUCUGCAAGGAAUUUGUUCUCCGUAUGAACCUCAGAUUUACUUUGUAGUGCCUUUUGAUGUGGACCGUUGCUUUAUCAAAUUGGGGUUCACCAACACAAAUGAACUUGUCUUAAAUUUCUGAAAAUGUUCAAUUGGUAAUCAGUAUUUCGUACAGAAGAUUAGGUGUUGGUUAUGUUAAGAUCAAAUGGCACGCUGGGAGCCCGAGAGUGGGUUAAUCGAUCCAAGAUCAGUGUACAAUAUGUAAAUAUCCUUUCAUUUCCUUAUCUUUUCUGACAAUUCUAGUUUUAGUACCAAAAAAGUUUUUUUUGUAAUAACGUAUACAUAAAAUUGGAGGGAGUGAAAUGCUACUCAGCAGUAAAAUGCUUAGAAUAUAUCGCGUGAGUCUCUAGUGCUGUAUCUUUGUGCGACUCAAUGUGCCUUGCUAAAUGCUGCCUAGCACAUAGCUCGGGAGAAUACGGUGGAGCAACCCAGAAAAUGUAUGUAGAGUAGAAUAGUGAAGGUUUGUCAUCCCGGAGGGAAUUGGCCUGUUCUCUCUGCCAAUAGCACGAUUCCUGAGGCUGGUGUCUUGUGCUCUUUGGGUACAACUAUAGGGAUUGAUCCCUAAAACAUACUCCCUCCAUUCCAAAACAAAUGUCUCAACUUUGUGCUAACUUUAGUACAAAGUUGUACUAAGCUUGAGGCACUUAUUUUGGGACAGAGGGAGUACAAGGGUAGGUGAGGUUCAGCAUGGAGACUUCACAGGGCAAAAGGCCAUCUGAAUAUUUUUGUUGGUUGACAGCAAAUUACCAUGCUGAUUGGGUGACUUCUAUGUGCAAAAUAACCAUUCUACUUAAAGGCUGAACGUUUUAGUGAGCCUGCACAUUUCAUGUAGUUAACUACAUACUCGAAUUGGUUCAUAUUUGUUGCACUGUCGGGGCCUCCCCUUCAACAUUUCCUUCAUACAAACUGUUGAAGGCCCUUUGCUGGGUUGCACAUUCCAUACCCUUUGUGUAAAUCUGUAUCAUGUAGUAAUAACAAUCAGUCAACAACUAUACUAUGUAGUGAACAAAUAAAUGUGUAAUUGUUAAUUGUUAGUAGCUACUCCCUCCGUCCCGUAAUGUAAGACGUUUUUUGACACUACAAUAGAGUCAAAAAACGUCUUACAUUAUGAGACAGAGGGAGUACUUUCUGUUAUGGUACUGCAACUUCUAUAUCCCCUCGCUGAAGCAAAAAGCCUCCAUUUUUUUGAAAUAUUCCUGCGACCAUCUUUUUAUUUAUUUUUUGUGAAAAGGGUAUGAGUUUAUUCCUCUGAAAUAGUGUUACAGUCCGCUAAUACAAAGCAACCAUCUGUUUGCUUGGUAAGCGUAGUGCUAGUCAGAGCUCAUAUUUUCUUUUUGUUGUGUUGAUCUGUUGGUGCAUUGAAAUAAAGUGAUCUCACUUUUAUUGAUUGAUGUUUGAAUUUGCUGGAUAUACCAAGUAUGAUUUCUACCAGAAGCGUGGUGUCAUAGGCUUGGGGUAUAAAGCUUUUGGUUGAGCGAAGAUUCUGAUUGUGGCUGAUAGGAGGGACGAAACUGUACACCUCGUUUACCCAUGGUUAUUGAGCUAGUAAAUUGCCAAAAACCACCACAUUAGCGCCUAGGCUUGCAGAAAACAUUGGUUUACGAUUUCUUGCCAAAAACCACUAAUUUUUGGGCUAAUCUUUUGGCAAAAACACUAGUUGAUGGCUUUGGCCCAUCUGAUGACGAUUAUGACUGAUGGAGCCCACCAUUUGCUGAUGUGGUGCAACAUUCGCGAUAAACAAUGUUAGACGGGUCAUUUGCAAAAAACUCCUCCCUCCCUGAAACUACCCUGAUCCAGAUGGGGAUCGAGCAACCCCGUCGUGCGAGCUUUGUAACCCGAGGAGGAAGGAGGAGGCAGUAGGCCGGCGACCCCGUGCUGGGGGUGCGCAGGUGGGUGCCGGGGGUGUCAGGCGACCCCGUGCUCGCAUUCCAGGUGGGCGCCCUAGGGCGCCUGUUGGGUCCUGGGGGUGGCCGGCGACCCCAUGCUCGCGUUCUGGCCUUCCAGGUAGGUGCCCGAAGGUGUCCUCGACAGAUACAGGAGGGUGGCCGGGGAACUCCCGGCUAUAGAGCUUCAUGGCAGAGGGGAGGCCGGUCCAGAGCGCAUCACUGGCAAGCUCAGCGGCGGCGCCGCCUCGUGAAGGCCUCGGCUGCCACGAGGGGCGAGGAGCCAGAGGGGCAGGCGCAUGCGUUCUUCAACCGGUGAGCUCCGGCUGCCACGAAGAUGGCGGCGGCGUCUGGCUCUGUGGCGGGCCGUGCUCGAGGUCUGGGCCAUUGGACAACGACGAGGGCACUCGCCGGCCGACGACGACAUGGGAGGAUUUUUUAGAGAUGGAGAGAAAAUGAUUGACUAAUCAAUGUGCCGGCCCACCCGCCCAGCCAACUCCGCCGCCGAUUGCCGCAGCAGCCACGUGCAUGUGCCCGUGCCCUCUGCUCCCGCUCCUGGCGACGAGGCCCAUGACCGGCGUCCUGCAGCUUUGCUCGGCUGCUUGGGAGCCCAAAUAUGAUUUGGAGCUGAUUGCUUAUUAUUAUUAUUAUUAUUAUUAUUAUUAUUAUUAUUAUUAUUAUUAUUAUUAUUAUUAUUAUUAUUAUUAUUGAAGGGUGUCCCUAUAAAACUAUAGGGACUAUUUGUAAAUCUAGACAAUUCCGCAUCUAACGUCAUCUACUGUAGAUCGUUAUGCCAGGUCAUCAAAUGUGGGACCCACAUGUCAGAAUCACAGUUAAAAUGCCCAAAGAGACUGAUCAAUGUUUUUUUGCAAAAGAUUAGUCUGAGAAUCAAUGUUUUUUUUCACAAAUUCUUAAACCGGUGUUUUCUGCAAACCUAGACUUCAAUUUGGUGGUUUUCUGCAAUUCACUCUUGUUGAGCAGAGAGAGACAGAACGCCCGACGUGAUAGCAGGGGAACAAAGAUUGGGAUUAAACUUGCUUGAUUACUUUUCAACCAGUGUUUGGCCAUUAUUUAGGCUAUGCGUACAAACUUAUCUGACUUCACCUCAAUCUGAAUCUAACUCAACAAUUCCUAAUUAUUCUGACUUCCUAAUUGAAAAAUAACCUAUUCAAACUCUUUCUUAAUUAUAUCUAUAGUCUUUACUGGAGUUGAAAGUAAGGAACUCUCUUCUUGGACCACACGUCAUUAGCGGAAUCUAGUUUAGGCUUGAAUUUGCGCCUGCUGUAGGGUGGAUGCCACCUGACACAUGUUUCAUUGCCCUCUUCUGCUCUUCUUCUCAUCGUUUGACUGAGUGUGAUAUGUAGAAUUCACACACAGUAUCAAGUCAUGUGGUAUUUUGUUAGAACUGCAUAUUGAAGUUCAUUUGCAUGUGACUGCAGUUAUCAACCUUUUUGAAGAUUAUGUUGUUCCAGUGAUAUUUCUCAUUGUGAGCUUGGAAAGCAUGUUUAGAUUUGAUAUAGCUUAAAUGUUUGGGUUGGUUAAAAACUUACCAUGUCUCAAUGCAGAGCAUUCUCAUUGAAGAGCCUUCAGCUCAGCUUUUGUGAUAAAGUAUCUGAUAAAGGGUUGGCAGAGGCAAUUAAUCGCCUUCCUCAGAUUGAAGAACUGGAUAUUUCGUUCUGCUCAUUGUAUGGCAAUUUUUGCGAGUUAGUUGACAAAAGCCGCUCACAACUGAAAUGCUUUAGGCUAAAUGAACGCUGGGCUGAUUUUCAUAAGCGGUUUGAUGCAGCCUAUGAGCGCAUGGAGAUUGACCCAGAAGCAUCAUGGAUUGCUAACAGUAUGCCUCUUCUCCAAGUCCUUCAGUUGAUUGGUAGGGAAGUAACUAAUGAUGGACUGAUAGCAAUCCUUGACCAUUGCCCUCACCUUGAAUCACUUGACAUACGUAUGUGCUACAACCUCCAAAUUGAUGAUGCUAUGAAAUCAAAGUGUGCUAGAAUUAGAAACCUUAAGCUUCCUCAUGAUCACAUCUCUGAUUUCAAGUACUGGGCCUACGUUGACAGUGAGGAUUACAGUGAAGAUUACUCUGGUUCUGUUUUUGAGGUUGAUAUGCACGAUGAUUUAUUGGAUGUGGUCAUGGGUGAUGAUUCUGAUGGUGAAUUCAAUUAUGUGGAUGAUUAUGAUGAUGUUGGCUCAGAAUCUGCCAUGUAUGAUGUCGAUGACAUCUAAACGCUGACCAUGGGCUUUCACUUUGGCGGGAUUUGGAGCUGAAAUGAUGUGGUGUUCACCUGUUGUUGAAUGAAAUCCUUGAAGUGGGGUUCGGGCACUUUGUUAUGUGUGAUUCUCUUGUGUUCGUGUCACCUGUUUGUUUCUCACAUUUUUGCAAGAAACUAAUCCAUCCUUUUGCUGUGAGACUGGGUUGUUCGAUUAUCACUCUUUUCACUUGUAGUUUGUGCUGCCUUGUGACUUGUCAUGGAAUUA